ACCAAUGGCCUCCCUCUCGUCUGCACCAUGUAUGCAUCGAGUGAAUGCUAUUUUGGUGUCAACCUCAACCCUCUUUGCAAGCCAAGUGAAGUUUCCUACACUCUCAUUCCCACAAUGGCCUACUUUGAGUUCUUGCCGGUUCAAAGGAACAAUGGGGUCAAUAGUUCUAUAUCGGUGCCCAAAACUCUCAAUGAGAAGGAACAACAAGAACUGGUUGACCUGGUUGACGUUAAGCUUGGCCAAGAAUAUGAACUCGUUGUCACCACUUAUUCAGGUAAUACAUUAAGUAAAUAUUUUAAGAGUUAUAAUAUAAUUUUACUUGCCUGCAUCUACUGAAUCUACAAAUUAAUGCUUUUGCAGGGCUUUAUCGUUAUAGAGUUGGUGAUGUGCUAAGGGUAGCAGGGUUCAAAAACAAUGCACCGCAGUUCAAUUUCAUAUGCAGGAAAAAUGUAGUUUUGUGCAUUGAUUCAGAUAAGACUGAUGAGGUUGAACUUCAAAAUGCUGUGAAGAAUGCAGUGAACCAUUUUCUGCCAUUCGAUGCAACAUUGGCUGAGUACACUAGUUAUGCAGAUACCACUACAAUUCCAGGCCACUAUGUGCUGUACUGGGAACUUAGUCUCAAUGGUACCACCCCAAUUCCUCCCUCAGUUUUUGAGGACUGUUGCUUGACAAUUGAAGAGUCCCUCAACAGUGUAUACCGCCAAGGGCGUGUAUGUGACAAAUCAAUUGGACCCCUUGAGAUCAAGAUUGUUGAACCGGGGACAUUUGACAAGCUGAUGGAUUAUGCCAUCAGCUUAGGUGCAUCAAUUAACCAGUACAAGACUCCAAGAUGUGUGAAAUUUGCUCCCAUUGUUGAGCUGUUGAACUCAAGGGCUGUGUCUAGCUUCUUCAGUCCAAAAUGUCCCAAAUGGUUUCCUGGCCACAAGCAAUGGAUCAACAUGAAUUAAGGAAAAAUCAAGGGGAUAAUACUCUUAAUUGGUAGCUUUUCAAUGGAAGUGCAUAAGAACUGUUUUUGUAAUCAUCUUAGGUAAAAGUUAAAUGAAGCCAUUCUAGAUUAACCAUCCCCUCUCAUGAUAUCAUGUUUCUUUUCCUUUCAACUUAUCUUAUAACUGUCGUUUAAUAUGCAUAGGGACUCUUGAUUUAGCCAUGUACCAAAACAGUUCAUACGCCCCCCCAAAAAAAAAUCUUUCUUUUUAUCUGUUAAUAUCCUGAUAAUCAUCACAUUUUAUGGGAAUUUGGUCUUAAUUCCAGAAAGGAAUAUAUCCUUUUACUGAAAUGGCAAACAAGAAAGGUAACUACCAUAAACACCCAUCUUUUUCCCAUUACUUUCAAGAAAAAGAAAACCAACUUUUCUUCAUUACAUUUAUUCAUUAUCUCUUGUAGUUACAAACUAAUUAAACUACUGUUUCUGAAUGUUCGAACUUGAAAUGACCAAUAAAGCUACAAACUGAAAAGCUCAAUGCACAUAUCCUGGAAUCUAAUACCUAUGCAGAACCAAGCCUAGUAGCCUGGCUUGUUAUAAAUUAAUAAAGAAACAAUGAUACCUUUUUCAGUGGAGUAAAGAGAAUCCAAUUUCUGUCAAAUGAUGAUAGGUGCUUUAGAUGAAAGACUUUAUAAAAAUUGGAAUCAAUUUACAUGCAUACUCCUUAAUGCUAGAUUAGGGUUUGAGUUUAUAAUUAGCUAAUCAGCCAAUACUUUAUCAUAUCAAAUAAAAUCACCUGACCACUCAUUGUUUCUUGUUAAAUCCCAUUCAUUAGCUUAUACUGAAAUUAGUUCAUAUGAAAUCCUCUUCAAGACUAUAACCUUUUAAGAUACAUGCAUUCGAAAGAAUGUAUGGCAAAAAUUUAAUUGUCAUAUUAAAACAUGACAAUGUAAGCCACGUGUGAGAGUGUGUCACUUGGCCCUUGCAAUCAUGUUUCAGGUCAUAAAAUUGUCCAGGAAUUUAUACAUAAUGGUCAAGGAAAAAAAACAGAACUCAGAAGACAAGAACUGUUGAUCAGGCACCAACUUUUGUCUUAAAGUGGCAGGGAGAGAUAAGGUAGAACCAGAGGCUGUUCCCUUUACUAGUACCAUUGUCUGAGAAAACAAACAAAAGCAGUUUAGUUUUUUCAAAGAACAAAUUGAGAAUCCAGACAGGCAUAAAACCCAGAAAAAGAAAAGAGAGAGAGACAAUUGAUUCAGUUUUUUUCAGAUAAAACCCAUUUUUCUAUCAAGAAAGAAAGAAAUAAAGCAAUUGAAAUUUGAAAGUGAACGAAAAGGAGAUAAGGCCCUUUUUUUGUGUGUGUGUCUGCUAGUUUAGUGUUGUGGAGGCACUGUUGCCAUGUUCAUAAAUGUGUUGGAAUAUCUCAUGAUUUCUUUACUGAUUUUACUUUUGAACACCAUUGACCAAGAUUUCUCCACUCCACAAAUCCCACCAAUCGAUUCUCAACAAAUGCAUUUUCAGCUAAAUUCAAUGUUCUUUGAUUAAUUAACUAGAGUUGAUUUCACUAGCUUGGAUUAUAAAAGAUUUUGAGCGUUUAGAUUGCCACCCAUCGUUUUAGGCGGGGAAGAAAGAAAAUAUAUAAUAUCGAUUUCUUUUAAGAUCGUUUACGCUAGUUAAUUUAAAGAAAAUAUAAAUUUAUUAAAAGAUAUAAAUACUUAUAAUAAAAUUUAUUAUUUUUAAAAAUUUGGAGAGUUUUCAACUAAGUUGAUCUUUCAAUAACUCAUGACAUAAUUUGGAUUAAAACCAUUGACAACCUUUAUAAGUAUCCAUUAUUUAUUUAUUUUUAUAUUUUUGAAUUAUCAAAAUUGAAUAUGGCAAUGACUUAAAAAAAUCACUACUUAAUUGAUUAUUCUAAUAUUUUACCAUCAGACUACAUAAAUAAUCAGUGUGUAUUUUAAUAACACAAAGUUUGUAUGUGGAAGAAGGACGAAAGUUUACAUAGAGGUGUGGAGAGCCUUUAGGUCAUAAGAGGUGCUAAGGUAGGUGUUUGUGGCUUGAGGAAGUGUUUGAGCAGAGUAACAGUGUGUAAAAUAUCCUGGGAUAGAAUGUGAUAGGAUUGGGCUAUUUAUAACCUUUAUGGUACCUAGGACCUUCAUUGUACAAGUGUCUUAUGGGGAAGAGCCAAUGAUAUAGUCAUCAAUGGCUCUUUACAUGUUUUUUUCGAUGUGAUUGAAUGAUGCAUUGUUCUAUUAGGAGGAUCUUAUGCGGCUCCUACGAUAAUUUUGAGGGUUUGUGUAUAUGCAUAUGUCGUUUUUUUUUUGUACAAGAUUGAUGCAUAUGAGUCACUGAAGGAUGCAUUGGCCGGUGUAAUUUUAUGAUUAAAACUUUCCUUUUGUAGGUUGAUGGAUCUUUGUUAUAUUUGUUGAUGAUCAUUUGGUGAAGGUUGAAGAUCUCAUUCUAAGCAAAGUGUUAGAACUAUCCUUUGCAUUAGGUAUUCGGUGAAGCUUUGAUGGUUUCUAGUUGCAAUAAAAUGGUGAUAAAAAUAUAAUUUUAAAUUAAUAAUUUAUAUCACUAUCACUUCGAUAAUUGUAGCUCCACGAUAUCAUUGUCAAAUCAUAAUUACAAUGAAAUAUUUUCAUUUAAUGGAAGUAUUUCGACAAUAAAAUCCUAGAAAAGCAUAUUACAAUCAUAAAUAAUUUAACUACUCAACUCAACUAAAUAAGAAAAUUAACUAAGUAUUAAAUAUAACAACUAACAAAUAAUUAAUAAUGAAAUUAACUAAAUACUAGAUUCAACAUCAAGGUAUAGGUACUUGAGUUGGUGUAUAGCUUAUAAGUAAUGUCUAGUUGUACCUAAGUUGAUGUAUAGCUUAUAAGUAAUAACUAAACUCUUAAUCAUCACUAUCAUCAAUCUUCACAACCUAAGUUGGUAUGUAUCUUUGUUAGAUUGCUAACUAUUCAACUAGUUAGCUAGAGUCAACUCUCAUAUUUUCCUAAGAUUUUACCAACUUGGUGUCAUUUAGAUCAACAAUGAACAUAAAUUGAAUAAUUAAUUCUUUUUGUUCUAGUUAUAAGGGCUAGAUGCAACGUCAAUUGCAAGUUGAGAAACAUUUGAUAGACAAUUGUAGCUUGCCUUAUUUGGUUAGUAUAUUUUGACCAAAAUUAUUUGUAGCUUUUAAUUGCUUAUCUUUGAGGACUUUUAGUAGCUCAUUAUUGAAGACAUAUCGUGUAAAACUCAAGCCAAGAAAGGAUUGAAUCAAUACUUUCAAUGUGAUUGAAGUUCCAAUAAAUAAAAGGUUUGAUCUUCAAGGCGUUUGAUGUCGAGAAGAUCUUUGCCAAUAUACUCUUUGUUGAAGACAUAUUCAGAGGCUACUUUUGAGGAAUUAGAUAUUCACAUUGAUUGUAUGUUAACAGAACACAUUAUGCUUAUAUAUGGGACAACUUGUUUAAGUUUAAUGUACGUGAGAGAGAGAGAGAGAGAGCAUGCAGUUGUUCAUUGAGAAACUGAUUUUCAAUGUAUAUUUGCGUAAGUAAAUUAUUUUGUUUAUCAAUUUACAACUAAGCGUCCAUGGGGAAAGACUUAGUGGGAGAGUGAUCUAGAUUGGAGUAGAGUGAGGUUGCAACUUGGUGAGUUAAACUUAAAACGCAUAUUGUAUUUUUUGAUUUAUAGUGGACUACUCUUUGGGCAAGGUUCAGCAGAUGUAGAAAGUUUUCAAACUAUGUAACUAAACUUUUGUUUCCAUAUCUUAUUUUACAAUUAUUAGUUAGUUUGUCUAGUUGCAAUUGAACAAAAAUCUAGAACCAAAUUUAAUUAAUUCUGAAUUCGAAACAUCACAUGUCAUUGAUUUGUAAUUGAGAGGAAAGGAUCAUCAAUCUCAAGAUCCCCCAUAUUGGAUGAAACAAACUAUGGCUACUAGAAGGCAAUGAUGGAAAGUUUUAAGUCUAUGGAUGAACAUGCCUAGCAUUCAAUUUUGACUAGUUAGGAAUCACCAACAACUAAUGCAUGUUGUUUGAGGACUUCCAAACCUGAAGUGACUUGAACUAGAAAUGACAAAAAUCUGAACAAUGCAAACUCCAAGGCCCUUGUUGUCAAUUUAUUUUUGUGGAGUUGAUCUUCAAAAGUUCAGGUGAAUAUCUAAAUGUACAAUUUCUAAAGAAGCUUAGACUAUUCUUGGAGCUAUUUAUGAAGGGACUAAUACUAUGAAACAAUUUAAACUUCAUUAUUGACUACAAGGUUUGAAAAUUUAAGAACGCAAAAUAAUGGAACCUUAUUUGAAAUCUAUGCAAAGUUUUGUGACAUCUCAAAUCAGGCUUUUGCCAUUGGUGAAGAAUAUUGUUUUGCAAGUUGCAACCAUAGUUGCAACGAAGGGUGAAUCUUCAAUAGAAGACUUAUAAGAGCAGAUAACCCUACUCACUAAUCAUAUUGAUAUGGCAUUUAAAAAGCUGACAAAAAGAAAUAGGAAGUUUGAUGAGAAUAAAAUUCUUGGCAAAGCAAAGGUAAAAGGAGUUGUAAUAAAUAAAAAUUCUCUCAAGGAGAAAAAAAAGGGUAUACAAUGCCAUAAGUGUUAAGGCUUUAGUCACAUUCAAUUUGAAUGUACUAGUGUCAUAGGCUACAGUUCAAAACCCAUGACCAUCACACAUAAUGCAUUCCAUGAAGGUUUAUCAUUGACAUGGGGAUCAUUUGACCCACGAGAGCUGGCCCAAUUCAAAGAGCUAUUGAAGAAACCUGUCUAUUUGAAGCCUAGGUGGCCUAAUGAUAUGGAUAUGGAAGGUUAGGCUACUUUGGCAAUUAAGGAAACUAAUAUUAGAAGAUUGAGGGAAAUCAUAUACUAUAAGAUUAGAUUUAAUUUGAUAUUGUAAAUCUUGUAAAUCCUUUGAUUGUAAGGAUAGGCUUAAUCUUGUCCUUCGAUGUAACUUGAUCUAGACUGUCGAUUUUGGGGGAGCUCAACUAUAAAUAGAGAGUUUCCCCCUCAUUUGUAAAUCAUUCAAUGAUCCAUUCAUCGAUUUUAGUCUUGUAUUCUUUGAUAAAGUAAUACAAUUAAGAGCAUUUACUCAAACAACUCUCGUGCAUAAGUUUUCUGUGGCUAUUUUGUUCUUUUGAGCCUUCUUUUGAUUGUGUUGCUUUCACUAUAUAAAUUGGUGCCUUGGAGGAUUUCUUUAUGAAUCCUUAAUUUUUUGGUGGUGAGCUUGACUUAGACAUGUUUGGAAUAAAAGGAUCGCUUAAGGCUGCACAGAUUGCGAGACUAAAGUUUUAGCCCCAUGACAAGUGGUAUUCGAGCUGAUUUGUAAAGGAUCGUUGAGAUGUUGAAAGAAUUUUCUAAUCAGAAUGAGUCAGUGGAGACCCAUUAUUUGGCAAGAAAACCAAUCCUUUUGAAGGACAAGUUGUCGGCUAUAGGCUAUAAAAGAACGAGUGGCAAAACUCGAGGAGUCCAUAAGGGUUGAGAAGGAGUCAUUCAAAGUGGUCGAGGAACGGAUAGACGACUUGAGGAACAAUCCAAGGACUAUGUAAUCAUGUCUCUCAAUUCUAAUAGGGAAAAUGUACAAGAGUUUUUAAAUUCCCUUAGGAAUAAGCUGAUGGAGAGGAAUGAUACUCUCGAGGCCAUGGUGAUGGCUUUGAAAGAGGAAACAAUGGCCACGACGAAGGUUUUGACCACAAGAACAGAGGAGCUCGAGGGAGAGUUUGCUUAUGUCAAGCAGCCAUAGGGAAUGAAGCAUCGAGUGUAACACUAAAUCGUGAGGUAGAUGUCCCGAAGCCGAAAGAGUUUGCGAGGAUAAGGUCUACAUACAAUGUGGACAAUUUCUUAUGGAGGAUGGAGCACUACUUCUGUGUCAAAGGUAUCAUGGAAGAUGCGAUUAAGGUAAAUAAUACUUCUAUGUUUCUUACUAAUAUUGCACUUUUAUUUUGGCCAGACAGGUCCACAAAUAAAUGGCAUAGUGAAAUCAGGACGUGGAAAGUGUUCCAACAUGAGUUGAAGAUGCAGUUUUAUCUAGAAUUUUCUGAACAGGAAGCUCAGGUAAAAUUCCUAUGACUUAUGCAACGAGGCACAAUGGGGGAGUAUGUUCGAGAGUUCAAGGAAUGCAUGCUCCAAAUUUUAGAUGUGAUCUAGAAAGAGGCAUUACUUAUUUUCAAGAAUAGGUUAAAGUCAUGGGUCUAACAGGAAUUGCAAUGAGAGGGUGUCUAAGAGUUGUCCAAAGCCAUGAUGAUAGAGGAGUCCGUGGUCAAGUUGGGUUUAAGGAAAGACAAGCUUGUGUCUUUUGAGUCUAAGAAAAGAGGCGUAUGUGGGCGAAACCACAUGAGAGAUAAUGGCAAUGGCAAUGGCAAUAGUGAUGGUGAUAAUGGGAAACCACAAGUUGGGAAGAAGAAAACCAACAAAAUGAGGGACAAGAUCAAAUGAUUUCUUUGCGAUGGUUCACAUAUGUUAAAUAAAUGUCCAAAGAAAUUUGUGUUUUCUGAGAAGGAUAAGUCAGAAGGUAAGGGCAUAAGACUUAGGUCGAGCACAAAGGGUGCCGAAGCCAAGGAGGGCGAAAGAAAAAACAAGCUAGUAGAGUGUUUAUUGUGUCAUGGUCCGCAUAGGUUGCGAAAAUGUCUGAAGAACCAUCGAAAGGUAAGAGGAGCAAGAAGAAGCGAGUAAAAUGCUUCUUGUGCCAUUGUUCGUAUGAGUUAUGGAACUUUCCAAAGCAAUCCAUGGUCAAGAAAGGCAACGGCGGAGCUUGUUGAGUCAUCGGAGAGGUUUCCACCCAAAGAAGAUGUGAGUUUGGCAUCGAACUUAAGGGAAAAAGUGGCGAUGUAAACAUUGAAGCUAGGACUAAUAAUGCUCAAUUCGAGGAAAGCGGCGAAGUUUGCUAAGUUGUCGGUGAGACUUCCACCCAAGGAAGAGGUGAGUUAUGCUUCAGACUUAGAGGAAGAAGUAGUGAUACAAACUUUAAAGCUAAAAUCAAUGAGGCUCAUUUCUGUUGAUUCAUCAAAUUUGCGAAAGUGGUGAUGCAAACUAGACAGUUGGCCAGAGUAAAUGCUAUGAGUAAGGUACAUUUUGAAAACAUUGAUAGUGUUUUACAUUCUAACUUGUUGGCUUGGACAGAAUGUAAGGGCCUUUUCAAAGUUCUUAAGCAAUGAGGCUGAGGGACUGUAGGCAUGCCGAAACAUAGUUGUGAGAAUCGAGAGAAUUCCAAUUGAAGCGAUUUAGAGUGUAGACAAGUGUGAGCCGUGGCUUUUUACCAACGAGAUGUACCAAUGAGUAAGACAGUUCGAGUUAAGAGGUGACAAAAGUCGAGGAAAAAGUUUUGAAAGAAGGGAUGACCCAAUAGUGAGACUAGUCGGGAAAAAGUUAAGGCGAAAUAAGGGUAUUUGGAGAAUGGGUUGGGAGAAUGUCACAGGCCGCAGUUCAAAGCCUAUGACAAUCACACAUAAUGCAUCCCAUGAAGGUCUAUCAUUGACAUGGGGAUCAUUUGUGUAACACCCCAAACCCGGCCUGGACGUUAUGGCCAAAUCUAGCGAUGUCACAUGGAAAUGUGUUUGAAAACCAUAUCAUUGUUAAAACCAUUUUCCGUUUAGAACUUAUCAUUAUCUUCCAUUAAUUCUCAAACCGUGAUUCAUUUUCAAAAUGAUAUACUUUGCGGAAGCUUUUAAAAUAGUUUGCUUGUGCGUGGUAUUUUGAUAAAACAUUCAUCCCUUUUGAAAACCCGAAUUUUACUUACUUCUAGCAGAUAUAAACAGAAAACAGUAUAAAAUCCAAAUUUUAGGUAAAAAUCCAUAGGGGCCAUUAUUACAUAAAAAUAACCCAAAUUAAAACUUAAAAUCGUAAAUAUGUAUCAAAUAGCAAAAGAAAGAAAAGAGUUGUGUGACCACUACUUAGGCCUCCACCGCACCGAUCCAUCUAUGUCUAGGGAUUACCUGUACAGAUUAAACAGAAGGGGUGAGUUUACGUAAACUCAGUGUGUAAUUCCCAUGCCACAAACAAACAAUAACAGAUAAUCUCAGUUUGGGCCUAAGCCCAUUUUAGUAUCACUAAGUAUUAGGGCCUUAGCCCAUCACAGAACAGUAACAGUGACAGUUAUACAGUUAUAAAAUCCUACCCAACCAGCCUCUACACUCCAUCUCCGUCCAACCCUACACUCCAUGUAGGGAUAUAAUCAACCCACCCAUCCCUACACUCCAAAUAGUAUUGAAUGCGGCACUCGAUAGUUGUUGCAACUGAGCUCUUAGUAAGUUAGGCUUGAAGCCUUUCAGUACACUUCCUCCAAUCAAUAUCAAUCCCCAACCCAAUGCAAUGCAUCAUACAAACAUGUUAUGGUAUCAUGUAUAAUCAGUAUAGUGUAUAUAGCAUGCUUAACAUACAGACAUACAUAUCUAUCUCAUAUAGGCAUAUAAUAGUAUUUUAACCAUUUCAGUCAAUUAGGGCUCUAGGUAUACUUACUGACCCUACAGUAGGUUCACAGUCGACUUGGGCGACCCGUGCAACCUUAAUAGUCAAACAGUGAAGAUGGGCCUACAGGCCUAUGUUGCAAGCCCAUGUAGGCCCACACUCUCGUGUGGCCCACACGACCCAAUUCUACCCGACCCAUGAAUCGCACAUGGCCAGCCUCGACGAUCACAUGCCCAUGCUCGAUCAUACAGCCUACCAUACUAGCGGUCCCACGCUUGUGUGGCUUCUUCAAUCCUAUCUUUCAGCUUUUCACCAACUAAUGUUUUUAGUGAUGUGAUUACACACCUGACUUUGUUGGGAGUUAAGCCACACUCCUGGUACACCAAAACCUAAAUUCAACCAAAACGUCAUUCAAUCAACUACAUAAUUCAUUAAUCAAACAAAGCCAAACGACGUUAAGGAAUGAUCAGCAACUGAAACCCCUUACCAAAAUCAACCGAAACUGCACCUUCAAUUCCUUGAUGAAGCACCAACCAACCCUUGAUCUCCACCUAGCACGAGAGCCACAAAACUCUUUUGUUUCAACCCUUAAUUGUAUUUCACUUAACAAGUCAAUUAAACCCAAGAAUAUACAUACAACCUUUCAUUAAGCAUCUUAUUCAACGAUACAAAAAACACUUACUCACUUACCAACAGUCGAUAGGGUAGAGUGCAAAAUCGAAAUAGACAAAGGGUAACGUAGAACUCACCUUUCAAUAUUCGGCCAAGGAGAGGAGCCAAAAUUAUGCACGGCCAGCUUGAGGGGAAGAGAAGCUAGCGUAAAAAAUUGAGAACAGAAAAAAGGAACUGAAUUUUGAACAACGACAGUAAGUGAGGGAAAAAUAAUUAAAACAAAACCAAAAAGGAGUAGAAAGAUGGAGAAGAAAAUAGUCACAGCAAAAAGAAAAUCGAAUGACACAAUCAGUACCAAAGAAAUUAGAAUAUACGAUAAAAAUCAAAUGAGAGAAGAAAAAACCAAUGAGGAAAUUUGGCAGCAACAGGGAAGUUUUAGGGGAAGCAAACGACAACAAAAUUGUAAAAUAAGAGAGAAAGGAAAAAAAUCUAUCUGCCACCGAAAUUUCGAAACAGAGAGAGAGGGAGAGCCGAAUUUUACAUCCCCCAAAUCAAGAUAACUUCCCACAUCCCAUAAUUUCCUCCUAAAAUCACUCCAACCUACCCACUACUCAGACUUUUAAUGAAACACAAACUCUUGCCGUCCAUCCUUGCAAAAAUUAAAUCCCUUCGUGCAUGCAAGGAUUUGAACUUCAGACCUCAGGCAACAAUAAUAUGCCACUCAUCCCCUAGACCAACAGGCCCAUUCUGACAUAUUUCACCAACAUUUAUUAAUAAGCCUACUAGUUGGAGAUAGGGAUUUAAUCAUUUAAAACAAAAAAUUUACCCAAGCUAAGGCUUGAAACCAAGACUUCUCAGACACUCCCAGAACACAUAACCACUAAGGUGGACAUAUAUUUGUGUCACAAACAUACGAAAAUAAACAUAAAGGAUUUUAGGGUGUUACAAGUUGACCCAUGAGAGUUGGCCCGAUUCAAAGAGUUAUUGAAGAAGCUUGUCCAUUUGAAACUUGGGUGGCCCAAUGAUAAGGAUAUGGAAAGUUAGGUUGGAUAUUUUAAAUCUCGUAAAUCCCUUGUUGUAUGGAUAAACUUAAUCUUGUCCUUCGAUGUAACUUGAUGUAGACUGUCAAUUUUAGGGGAGCUCAACUAUAAAUAGAGUUUAACAGCCCGGUUUAGACCCUAGUCGGACAGUGGUUUUGAGACUAAAAAUCUAAGUCAAAAAAAUAUUUUAAUAUUAUUUUUCGUGCUUAUAGUACGUGAGUUGACAUGUGUGAAAUUUUCAUGAAUUAAUUUUAUCAUUUGUGUGCCGAUUUGUGAAAAAGGACUUAAUUGCAGAAAAUGAAAAAGUUGUGUGUCAUUUGUUAAAGUGCCGAAUUGACAUGGAUUUUUAAUUUUGAGGUCCUUAAGAUGCAAAUGGACCAUUGAAUUAAUGCAUGGACAAGUAUGGACAUUAGUUAGUGGAUUUUUAAUGUUAUAUGGCUAAGGUUAAAAUAGUAAUUUUUGUGCUAUUAUUAAUCAAAUAAAAACAAACAUGCAAAUGUCCAUCAUCAUCUUGUUUUGGCUGAAACACAAAAGAAAAAGAAAUAUUUGAAAAAUUCAUUAGGUUCGACACUUGUUUAGUGAGAUUAAUGUAUGUUCUUUGCUUGGUUUUUGAUAAUUUUUACGUUUUUGAGAUCGUUGCUUUGUAUAUUACCUAGCCCAUGUUUUAAUUUUUGGAAUUUAUAAUGAUUUUGAGAAUUGCCAUUGAUGAGAAAUUGUUGUUUUUUUUUGUUUGAUGAUGAUAAAUAAAUAUUUGUUGAUAGAUUAUUAAAUUUUGUUAAGUAAUUUUUGAUAAAAAUCUAAAUUAUGGGUUUAUUUGUGAAAAUGAAAAUUGAGGGGAAAAAAUUUGAAUUAAAUGAAAUAUAUGGGCUGAUAUGAGCUAUAGGGAUAUUCGGCCAAGCUAGGAUAUUUUUAAAGUAUGUGUAUUUUGUGUUUUGUGAAAUAGGGACUAAAUUAUGAAAAAUGUAAAAUGUUAGAGGCUAAAAUGCAAUUUGCCCAUUUAUGUGUUUAUGGAAUAAAUUUGUAUGAAAUGUGUUAUUAAAUAGUCAAAGUUGAAUUUAUAUAGAUCAAGAACAAAAGAAAACGAAAUUAGAUCGGGGUAAGUCGAAAGUGGUCGAGUAGUCGAUUCCAUCCGCUUGUCUUCAUCUGAGGUAAGUUAGUGAAUAAAUGAUGUUAAAUUGAAUGUAAUGUAUUUUUUAUAUAUAUACAUUGCCGAAUUAAAUUCAGCAUAGAUUGAUUGGUUACGAGCUUAAUUUGAUUGAAUUACAACAUCCGAAAGCCUUAUGAAUUAUAGGAUUUUGAUAUUUGAUUUCGCGUAAGACCACGUCUGUGACGAUGGCAUCGAUUUGGGAUUUACGUGUAAAAACAUGUUUGGGACAUUGGCAUCGUAUAUGAUUAUGUGUAAGACCCUGUCUGGGAUAGUGGCAUCGUUAUAUGACUACAUGUAAGACCACGUCUAGGACGUUAGCAUUGUUCGAGCUUUUUGAGCUAUCCGAGUAUCCUUUUGAUUCCGAAUGGUUCAACGGAAAAUGUUACGGCAAAACCAAAUGUGAGUUUGAAUUAAAUGGUUCAAGUAUAUUUGAGUUAUAUAAAGUUUGGAAGUAAAGGUAAGUAUUGUAGUAUAACAUGAUAAUGUGAAAUAAUCGCUUAAAUAUGUUUAUAUUUAUGUGUAUUCAAGGUUGGGAGUUUUCGGCCUACUUGUAUGAAUUAUAUAUGUUCUUUGUUAAAAUAUUUUCUUAUGACUUACUAAGCUAUUUAAGCUUACUGUGUGUUCAUUCGUUCGCUCGUUGUUUUAUAGAUUUUGGAAGUUAGUUACGAGCUCGGGGAUCGUCAAGGAAAUCUGUCACACUAUCGAACGCUAUUUUGGUAUUUUUUUGAAGCUUGAAUUUUGAACUUAUGUCAUGUAUAGGCUAGCAUUUGUUUUGGUUGGUCUUGAAAUUUGUAUAUGUUUAGCCAUGCGAAAAAGGCUUGAUCUUAAAGCUAAUGAUCAAUGUUUAAGUAAAUUUGGUCAUGGUAUAUGCAUGUGGUAAUUUUGAUAUAUGGAUGUGUUUCAGUUGUAGAUUGUUAAUGGUGCUAAAGAUAGUGAUAAUCGGUCAUGUGUUAGCUUAAAUCGCAAAUAUAGAUGAUGGUUUUAAUCUAAAUUCUGGUUCGACAAUGGUAAUUUAUUCAUGUAGUUAAUUGUUUAGUUAUAUGUUAAUGUUGAAAUUGGUUGUAUUCGUUAUGUGGGAAUUAUGCUAUACUCGGAUAGUUGACAAUUUGAAAUGGUAUGAUUGCAUUAGUAAAUUGGAUAGAAAUGUUGAAUAAAGUGUAUAUGUAUAUUCAGUUAAAAUAUUAAACUCAUAUUAUUGAGUAUGUGAUAUGGUUAUGUCAUGUAUUAAAGUCAUAUUGGAUGUCCGAAUACGUGGAUAAGUAAUUAGUUAUGUGUAUGUAUGUUAAGCAAGCGAAUUAGGUGUAUUUUUUAGUGUUAUAUGUGCUUAAAAUGGUUCAAAUUAAUAUUUUUAUAUAUGCACAAACUUGUGUUAAGAGAAUAAGUAUAAUUGGUCUCUAAAUAAUGCUUGUUUAAAUAAAUAUAUGCAAAGUGAUAUGUUUAGUAUGGGUGUUCGAAAAUGAUUCAAUUAAUGUAUGUUUAUAUGUAUAAACUUGUAAUAAGAAAAUAGGUAUGUUUGGUCUUAUAAAUUGAUGUAUAAUUGUCUUGUAAAUAGGUCUAGAGUUGUAAUAAUGCACAUGCAAAAUUGGUUAAAGUUAGGCAAGUAGAAUGUAUAUCUAUAUACCCAUAUAUGUGUCUUGGUUACUAAUGUUUGGAUUGUUGAAUAUUAUUAAUUUAAUGAGUUGUGCAUGAUUUUUUUUCUUGAAUGGUUCAAUUUAAUAUGGUUAUAUGCGCAUGAGUAUUUUCUUAUAUUUGAUAUCCAACUUAUGAAAUGUAUGUAUUGAAAUUUUUAUAAGCUUAAAUAGUAAAUUUUAAUAUACGAACGUUAAGCAUACAGUACUAUUAAGCUUCGAAAUUUGAGUAGGAUUAGUGAAUUAAAAUGAUUGUUUUAUGGAUCAUGAUAUGCAUUGAAUAUCUAUUUUGAGUUGUGUUCUGUUCUGUAAUGCCUCUCAACCCUAAUCCAGCGACGGGUACGGGUUAAGGGUGUUACAUUUAAUUGGUAUCAGAGUUACGGUUUAGUCAGUUCUAAGACUAACGCAGCGCGUGUGAGUAUAGCUAUACAUACCAUAUUUUUAUACUGCAAUAGUGUGAUGAUUCCUGACAUUUACAAAUUUGUUUUCGUAUAGUAAAUGGAUCUCGAUUGAGCCGUAGCAGAUGAUGUGGAAAGUAAUGCACCCGCUCCCAUUCAAGGGGCAGUGCAGUCUGAUUCUAGACCUUCUGCAAGUAACCAAGAGCGAGAGGCUAAGCAAGCCUUCUUCCAAAUGAUGAACGAAUGGUUCACGGAGUUCGUAUGAACGAAUCCGGCUGCUCAAUAACCUCCACCCCCGCCUAAUCCCUUUCAGACUUCUAUUUUACCUCCUGUUAUGAAUCCGAUUUCGACGAAUAAGUCUCCUGUCAAUAAAAUCUGAAAAUAUGGGGCCGAAGAGUUUAGGGACACCAAUGAUGAUGAUGUUGAGAGAGCCAAAUUUUGGCUCGAGAAUACCAUCUGAGUAUUCAAUGAAAUGUCCUGUUCUCCCAAAUAAUGUGUUAAAUGUGCCGUUUCUUUGCUGAGAGAUACAACCUAUCAAUGGUGGAAAACUCUAAUUUAUGUUGUUCCGAAAGAACGAAUUACCUGGGAUUUCUUUCAAUCUGAAUUUUGAAAAAAAAUACAUCAGUCAGAGAUUUAUUAAUCAAAACCGAAAUGAGUUUCUCGAGUUUAAACAGGGUCGUAUAUCCGUAACAGAAUACGAGCGAGAAUUUGUUCGACUAAGCCGAUAUGCACGAGAAUGUGUAUCCAUAGAAGAAAUAUUGUGUAAAAGAUUCGAAGAUGGUUUAAAUGAAGAUAUCCAUCUGUUAGUCAGGAUUUUAUAGAUCAAAGAGUUUGUUGUGCUCGUUGAUCGAGCAUGUAAAGCCGAAGAACUCGGUAAAGAGAAGAGAAAAGCUGAAUCAUAAGUUAGGGAUGCAACAAAGAGAUCCUCGAGUAAAUCAUUUCAGUCUGCAUCAAAGAAAUUUCGAGAUGAUUAUAGCCGUUCAAAGGCUAAUGUGGGAUAUUUGAACAGAGAUUGUGCUAGAUCACAUUCGAGCUUUAAAGCUCUUGCUACUUUAGUUGCAACUGUUGGAAAUGUUUGCUCUGAUCGACUUGAGUGCAAGCAUUGUGGCAAAAUGCAUCUGGGAAGUUGUAAAUUGAAUGAUCGAGCUUACUUUAGAUGUGGAUCAUUAAAUCAUUUUAUCCGUGAUUGUCCUAAGUUGGCUGAACAGAAUACAGUAUAGAAUAUGAGACCGAGUAAUACUAUAACUAGAGGGAGACCACCUAGAGGUGCUGUGAAUGUGAGUAAAAGUCAGAGAACGACCAAAGAUGUAACGGCCCAAAAUUUAAGUCUUUAAUUUUGCAUGAUUUGACACAAAUUGCUUGUUUGCUUCAAUAGUUAAGUAAUUUGGGUGUGUAUAGGAGUGUUUGAGAAGCCUGUGUUCAAGUCUUGGCUUUUGCAGAAUUUUUAAUUUUUCCCUUAAAUGAAUCUGGACGCUGGUUUAUAGGCUUUAUAAAUAUUAGUGUUGGUUUUAUGUCACAAAAAGAGGCUGUGGUCUAGUGGCAAUGUGGUGUGUUGUGUACUGUGAGGUCUGAGGUUGAAGUCUUAGGUUGUGCAAUGGGGUAUUUAUUUUGCUGCUUGAGGCAUGUAAGUGGUAGUGUUGGAGUGAAAUACUGCUGAAGGAAGUUUGAACUGGUCAUAGAGGGAGUUGAGGAGAAACCGGUGGAGUGAUAAGGGGAGUGAUUUGAGAAGAUAAUCGAUGAGUUGUUGAGAGGAAGAGUUGUGCCGAAAUUGGACUUUGGCACUCUAGGAAAUUUGGCUAGGGGGAUUGCUAGUGCUGAAUUGGUCUUUAGGUUGCUGAGGCUUCCAGUAUUUGAGAGUUUUCCCCCUUUCGCAGUUGAAAAUUUUGGUCAAUUUCGGUUUACCUAUUUGCAAUUAGUACAGUUUUUGCCAAGUUCUCGAGUACGCUACUGCUCUUUUUCUAUCUUUCCUUCUUGCUAUUGGCCGAAUCUCUCUUCCCCUCUCCUCUCUUCUUGUCGAAAACUCCCUUUCCUCUUCCCCACUACCUUUGUUGUUCUUUUCCUCUUUCUCCUUUUCCCAAAACCCCAAUCGGUUAGUUCUUUUUCUUAAGCUGAACUUUCUCCUCUCUCAUUGUGACCGAAUAUUACACCUCUCCUCCCCCACCUCUUUUCUUUUCCUCCUCAUCUUUUCAUUUUCUUCUUUAGUCAACUCUUUCCUUUUUUAUUUGCUCUGAUUGCCAAAUCCUCCCAUUCUUUUGGGGCAAAUCGUGGGGCUUGCUUUUCGUAGUUAAUUCUUUCGUGCAUUAUUGAUAAGUAUAGUAAUAGAGUGAUUCCCUUUUUACCGGUUAAUCUAAAUGCUUACCCAUUUUUCAAUUAGUGCUUAGGAACCUUUCAAAGGGUCUAACGUUGGUGAGUACUUUGGUUAGGCGAACCGUUCCUCUUCGCUCAAUCAAGUUGGGGUAAGCUGGUGAUUGUGAUAACUUGAGAUUAAUCGAUUGUGUAACUGCGUAUACAAUUAACUAAGAUUCUUAGUCAAAUGUAGGUUUUGGGUGCUCGUGGAUCGUGGUACGUUCUCACAAAUCAGGUGUGUAAUCACCCAUUACAAUCGUAGAUUGGCGAAAGCCGAAAAGCUGAUAACACGACUUAUGAGUCUACACGGGCAUGCGAUCGCUCGAGUGGUAAGCCCAACUUGCGAUUCGUGGGUAAAUAACCGAAAUACCCUCGAUAGGUAAAAUGACCGAAAUACGCUCGAUAGGUAAAAUGACCGAAAUACCCUAGAUGGGUAAAAUGACCAAAUACAUUCGAUAGGUAAAAUGACCAAAAUACCCUCAAUGGGUAAAUUGAUCGAAAUACCCUCGAUGGGUAAAAUGAUCAAAAUACCCUCGAAGGGUAAAAUGACCGAAAUACCCUCGAUAGGUAAAAUAACCGAAAUACCCUCGAUGGGUAAAAUAACCGAAAUAUCCUCGAUGGGUAAAAUAACCAAAAUACCUCCGAAGGGUAAAAUAACCAAAAUACCCCCAUAAGGUAAAAUAACUGUUAUACCCCUAGGAGUUGAAAUGAGUGUAUGACUGAUUUGUUCUAUGUUAUAUAUAUUUGACUGUUUCUGAAUAUGACAUACUGCAUACACGUAUAAUUUAUGACAUGACAUAUUACAUGGGGUUGGGAUUCUGAUAUAGGGGAAGUAUACUAUACUGGUGGCUUUGCUGUAUUACUGUUAUUGGCAGCUUUGUUCCGUCAUUAUUAUUGGCAGCUUGGCUGCGAUAUUGGUGUGUUGGCUAGGUGGUUCGAUUUUAUCCCCACAUGGUGUGUUAGUGGUACAAAGUGGUGUGUUGGCUGGAUUAAGAUGAGUUGCAUUACUGUAUUGUAUUGAUUACUGUAUUGGGCUAAGGCCCACACUGUACUGAUACUGUAUAGGGCUCAUGCCCAAAUUGAUUUUGCAUGUUGCAUAGUGAUUGGCUAGUAGGGGAUUACACACUGAGUUUCGUAAACUCACCCUCUCUUUUUAACUGUGUAGGUAAUCCUCAACCUUAGACGAUUCGGGGCUAUGAGGGACUUGGAGGUGGCCACACAACUACUGUCAAUGUUUACAUUUACUUUUAUUUUACUUUAAAUUAUAAGUUGGGUUUUAUUUUGUAAUAAAGCCUUUAAUUUCGGUUUUAAAUUUUAAUUGGGCUUCUGCUUACUUAUUUUAUACUGCUAGUUAGGUGAAAAUGAAUUUUCAAAAUAAUCACUAUUUUCAAAGACACAAACUUUAAACGUUAGAGUUUUCAAAUGCUUCUAUGAUUUAAAUCAACUUAAUAUAAUAAUAGCAAUUAAUAAGGUAAAUAUUUGGUUAAGUGUUUCGUUAAACAUGACUAAUGAGGGUUCCAAACUUAAGAAAUAAGUUUUAUCAACAAGUCUAAAUUUGAGAGACAGUUCAAUGUGACACACUAGAUAUGGCCAUAACAUCUAGACCGAGUUUGGGGUGUUACAAAAGAUACUGUUGUGAGGUUCGAGGCCAGAGCACCAGCUCAAGCAUACGCUAUUCGCGCUCGCAAAGAAGCGUCAUCUCCAGAUGUCAUUAUCGGUACUUUCCUUCUUUAAGAUACUACGGUUGUUGCAUUGAUUGAACUUGGAUCAACUCAUUCUUAUGUAUGUGAGACUUUAGUAUCCAGUAAGACUUUACCUAUAGAGUCUAUUGAGUUUGUGAUUAAAGUAUCGAACCCCUUAGGCCGGUGUGUAUUGGUUGAUAAAGUACGUAAAAAUUGUCCGUUGAUGAUUCGAGAUUUAUGUCUUCUGGCUAAUUUGAUGUUGUUACCAUUCGAUGAAUUUGAUAUAAUUCUGGGUAUGGAUUGACUAACUUUGCACGAUGCUAUUGUGAAUUGUAAAUGAAAAACUAUUGAUUUGAUAUGCAAGAAUGACGAGAUAAUCCGAAUUGAGUCCAGCGAUCUGAACGGGUUGCCAGCUGUGAUAUCAGUAAUGAAAGCUCUGAAUCAUGUAAAAAAGGGAUGUGAAGCCUAUUUUGCUUAUGUGAUUGAUUCGAGUGUGACAGAUAAGAAAUUAGAAUCAGUGCCUUUUGUUUGUGAGUUUCUUGAUGUGUUUCUAGAAGAGUUAUCAGGUUUGUCGCUGAUUCGAGAGGUUGAAUUUGGUAUUGAAUUAGUGUCGGGAAAAACUCUGAUUUUGAUGACUCCAUACAAAAUGGCUCUGACCGAAUUGAAAGAAUUAAAGUCUCUGUUGCAAGAAUUGACAGAUUGAGGGUUUGCUAGACCUAGUUUCUCACCUUGGGGUGCUCCGAUUCUGUUUGUGAGAAAGCAAGAUGGUACGAUGAGAAUGUGCAUUGAUUAUCGUUAGUUGAACAAAGUGACUAUAAAGAACAAAUAUCCUCUGCCUAGAAUUGACGAUUUGUUUGAUUAGUUUAAAGGUGCUAUUGUGUUUUUGAAGAUAGAUCUAAGAUUGGGUUACUAUCAGUUACGAGUUAAAGACUACGGUGUGUAGAAAACUAAUUUCUAAACAAGGUACGGUCAUUAUGAGUUUUUAGUUAUGCCUUUCGGACUUUCUAAUACACCUGCUGCUUUUAUGGAUUUAAUGAAUCGGAUCUUCAGACAGUAUUUCGAUCGAUUUGUGGUUUUAUUUAUAGAUGACCUCUUGAUAUAUUCUCGUAAUGAAUCUGGGCAUGCUGAACAUUUGAGAAUAGUGUUAUAGGCUUUAUGUGACAAGCAGUUACAUGCAAAGUUCAAUAAAUAUGAGUUCUGGUUACGAGAAGUUAGUUUUCUAGGACAUGUUGUGUCAGCAUCGGGUAUUCGGGUUAAUCCGAGCAAGAUUUUGGCAAUAUUAGAUUAGAAACCUCUGAUUUCUGAAGUCCAAAGUUUUAUGGGACUUGCGAGUUAUUACAGACGGUUCAUAAAAGGUUUCUCUAUGAUUGCAACCCCGAUGACUAAACUGCUUCAGAAAGAUGUUAAAUUUGGGUGGUUAGAAAAGUGUCAAAAAACUUUUUAUCAAUUGAAAACUUUGUUAACUGAAGCUCCAGUAUUAGUUCAACAAGAAUCGGGUAAAGAAUUCAUAAUCUUUAGUGAUGAAUCUUUAAAUGGUUUGGGCUGUGUUCUGAUGGAGGAAGGCAAAGUGAUAGCUUAUGCCUCGAGACAGUUAAAGUCGCACGAAAAGAAUUAUCUGACAUGUGAUCUGGAAUUGGCAGCUAUUGUAUUUGCAUUGAAGAUUUGGCACCACUAUCUGUUCGGUGAGAAAUGUCAUGUCUAUUCUGAUCACAAAAGCUUGAAAUACCUAAUGACUCAAAAAGAUUUGAAUCUGCAGCAAAGAAGAUAGUUAGAACUGUUAAAAGAGUAUGAGCUUGUUAUUGAUUAUCAUCCGGGAAAAGCAAUUGUUUUUGCUAAUGCUUUGAGUCAGAAAUCACUAUGUUCAAAAGGUUGAUAAGGAGAUAUUAGCAAAAUGAGUUCAAUGUGAUGUGAAUACUGAUCCAGAGUUUCAAAUUGAUGUUGAGGAUUGUUUGAGGUUCAAAAAUCAGAUUUGUGUUCUGAGAAAUCCAGAGUUGAUUCAGAUGAUUUUGAACAAAGUUCACAGUAAUAGACUAUCAGUACAUCCGGGAAGUACAAAAAUGUAUAACGAUUGAAAUAGCUUUAUUGGUGCCCUGGUAUAAAACGGGAUAUCUCAAAAUUUGUUUCGAAAUGUCUAAUCUGUCAGCACGUCAAAGCCAAACAUCAAUUGCCCUUCUAGUUACUACAGUCGAUUAUGAUUCCAGAGUGGAAAUGGGACAGAAUCACGAUGGAUUUUGUAUUAGGUUUGCCUCUGUCACUGAGUAAGAAAAAUGUAGUCUGGGUAGUGGUUGAUAGACUAACAAAGUCGGCCCAUUUUAUUCCUGUACGCACUGAUUUUUCACUUGAUAAGCUUGCUAAGUUGUACAUCUCUCAGGUAUUUAGAUUGCACGGAGUACCUAUUUCUAUUAUUUCGGAUAGAGAUUCGAGGUUCACAUCGCGAUUUUGGAAGAAAUUGCAAGAUACGUUAGGUACGAAGCUACACUUCAUCAUUGCUUUUUAGCCAUAGGAGGAUGGUCAAUCAGAGCGAAUUAUUCAGAUACUCGAGGAUAUGUUGAGAUGUUGCAUUCUAGAGUUUGAAGGUACGUGGGAAUGAUACUUGCCACUGGUUGAAUUUGCGUAUAAGAAUAGCUUUCAAUCGAGUAUCAAAAUGGCACCUUACAAAGCUUUAUACGGUCGUAAAUGUCAAACAACUUUGUAUUGGACGGAGCUUAGUGAGAAUAAGAUACACGAGGUCAAUUUGAUCAAAGAUAUUGAAUAGAAAGUGAAAGUAAUUCGUGAUAGUCUGUAACGCUCCAGUAUUUCAGCCUAGAAGUAUUGGGCCUUGAGCAAGGGAAUGGUUUGGAAACUGUGUACAAAAGUAUGACUGCUUUAGUGGUUAAGGGUCCUGAGAGGAGUUGGAAAAGUCCUGGGUUCAAAUCUGGGCUUUAGCAAAAAUUUUGGUUUUAAGUGGAUAAAACCCUGGAUGCUUGGAUGUAGGCCUUUUAAAUUAUUGUGUUAAAAAAUGUCAUAAGGAAGAAUGUGGUCUAGUGGUUGUGGCGUCAUUAAGGUUACAAGGGAGCCUGGGUUUAAGUCUUGGCUCUUGCAAUUUAUUUUGGUUUUUCUUUUAAAGGAACCUGGACUUUGGCAUUUAGACCUUUUAGUUUAUUGAAGACAAAAUGUGACACAAAAAGAGCAUGUGGCCUAACGGCAAUGUGGUGUGUUGUGUACUGUGAGGUUUGAGGUUUGAGGUUCAAGUCCUGGGUUACGCAAUGGGGUAUUUAUUUUGCUACUUGAGCCGUGUGUAAGUGGCAGAGUUGGAGUGAAAUACUACUGAAGGAAAUUUGAACUGGUCAUAAAGGGAGUUGAGGAGAAAUGAUGGAGUGAUAAGGGGAGAGAUUUGAGGAGAGAAUAUUGAGAUUUAGGGAGGUUGUUGUUGUGGAGAGUUAUAUAUAUCACAUCUCAUUUGUUCCUUAUUCUAGAUGGGGGGAGAUCGGCUAGUCAAGGUUGAUUGACACAUUGCCUGGGAACCAAGAGUACGAUGAUCAUUGAUUUGCGAAAUAAGAGUGUUCGGAUCGAAGAGAAUUUGCAAAUCGCAUCAGGUGUGUAUUUCGCACUACUCUAGCUGUAGAGCGGCAAAUGCCGAAAUGCUGGUCACACGGGGAUGGUAGCCACACGAGCGUGCGAGCACACGUGUGGGAGCCUCGACACGAUAGUUGAGGCUAUCAUGAGUGUUCUUAUGGGUUUAGGCUGUUUGGGCCAUAUGGGGCAAAUGGGCCCGUGGGCCCAAUCGGAUAAGUUAUAUGAUUGUAUAGUAAAUAUUAGACUGGACUAUGUGAAUCUUAUAUCUGUGGCUAGGUUUGGGCUAAAUGGGCUACACGAGCGUGUGGUCCCAUUUGGGCUAGGCCCAUUCACAUCGUUAUCCCUGUUUAGAAUACUUUGGUUUACAAAAUUACUGAAAUACCCUUGAUUUACAAAAUUAUUGAAAUACCAUUGGUUUACAAAAUUUCUAAAAUACCCUCGAAUUGUAAAAUUACCAAAAUACCCCCAGUUUACAAAAUUACCGAAUACCCUCAGUUUUUGAAAUUGCCAAAAGUACCCCUGAUUUGCAAAAGUUACCAAAAUACCCUCAGUUUGGAAAAUUACCAAAAUACCUUAUAGGGUAAAAUGACUAUUUUGCCCUUGUGGGUAGACAACUGGCUUGGUCUUCGAAUUUGACUGACUUGACUGUGGUCGAAUGACUGGUAUGUUUGUAAAUGAUUGUUACUUUGCAUGGCCAUAUUGCAUACACGUGUGAUGGUUGAGCAUGACAUUCACGACAUAUUGCAUAGGGUUGGGAUUUUGUUAUGGAGGAAGUGCUUUUACUGGUGGCUUUGCCAUAUAUACUAUUCUGGUAGCUUUGCUGCGUUAUUAUUACUGAUUUUAUAUAAGGCUAAGACUGCACUGUACUGAUAUGGUAUUAGGCUAAGGCCCACCUUGUUCUGUAUUGGGCUAAAGCCCACAUUGUUCUGUUCUGUUAUUGAUCUGGGCUAAGCGCAGCUAUUAAUGAUGUUGAGAUUGAGCUAGGCCCAAUUAUUUCUGUUAUGGGCUGUGACCCAAAUGAUAUUGUAGUGGGUUUUGGCCCACGUGUGCCCUGAAUUGGACAGUACCGUUACUGAUAAAAAGGCAUUAGCCCUGACUGUUUUUAUUUCUUUUUCUGUUUUUGUAUACUGACUGUUUUUUUAGUAACGGGAUUACACACUGAGUUUAUAUAAACUCACCCCAUUUAUUAACUAUGCAGGUAAUCCCCAGUAUUGAGAGGAUCGGUGCUAUGAAAGACUCGGAGAUGGCCACACAACUAUUAUUGAUUUCAAUUUUCUUUUAAGUUACCUACUUAUAAGUGCUUAUAUUUUGAUUUGGGUUGUAAUGAGGGCUCCAUUAAUUCUAUCUGUCUUAAAAGAAGAUCAUGAUUUUCCAAGUUAAUAGCUGUUUUCAAAACACUACAAUUUCACAACUUAAUCUUGAAACAUCACGUUUUCGUAAAUCGGUUACUUUUAAGCUUAGCUUCCGCAACUAUAAAGAAAUUUUGGGAAUAAAACAACGCAACUGGGAUUUUACUCAAGUUUUUAAUUAAGAAGGAUUUUUUUUAAUGAAAACAUGGUUUUCGAAAGACACUUCAAUGUGGCACGCCAGAUUCGGGCUUAACUUCUAGGAUAGGUUUGGGGUGUUACAUAGUCUAAAAGCAGUAUCAGAUCGUCAGAAAUCGUAUGCAGACUUGAAACGGAAGGAUAUUGAGUAUCAGAUCAGGGAUAAAGUGUUUUUAAAAGAAUCACCGUGAAAGAAAAUACUCUGAUUCAGUCGUAAAGGUAAAUUGAGUCUGAGAUUCAUUGGGCCAUAUGAGAUUAUUGAGCGUAUCGGGCCGGUUGCUUAUAGAUUGAUGUUGCCAUCUGAGUUAGAAAAGAUUCGCAACGUGUUUCACGUAUCUAUCCUUCAACGAUAUCGAUCUAAUCCCUCGCAUGUGAUUUUACCGUCUGAGAUUGAAAUUAAGUCCGAUAUUACAUAUAAAGAAGAACCAAUUCGGAUUUUGAAUCACGAGAUUAAAUGUAACACCCCUAACCCGUAUUCGUUGCCGAAUUAGGGUUAUGAGGCAUUAUCAAACAUAGCACAGAUCAAAACAGACAUUUAUUUAAAUUCAAGCACUAAGCAAACUCGUAUAUAUAUAUGGAUCACAUAAUCAAUUUAACGAUGUGCAAUAAAACAUAUUACAAGUGCUUAAGGCAUAAAGAUGUUCGAACCACUUGAUUUAACAUUAAUAGCAUCUAUAUACUUAAAACGCAUCCCAGCAUAUAACAUUAUAUAGUAUAUAUAUAAAACAUAAAUCAAAACAUAUAUACAUAUAUAUAUCAUAAAUUGAAUAUCAAUUAUUUUACUUCAAUACUUGCGCAUAUUAACCAACCGAACCAUCUUAUACCAUUAAAUAAUUCAAUGUAAAUUCAAGCAUAGUAAUAUUUCAUCAUAGCCGAACCUAUAUAGUCAACAUACAAUCUAAUACAUCGUAAACCCGUUGUUUACCAUUCAUUAAUCAAGUAUAUAAGCAACUUUGGUGCAACUCAUAAGACCAAAUAAACAUAUUUUAUUUCGUGACGAAUAAUCAAAAUAAACUAUCAUUCCAUCUAUAGUAUAAUUAACAUUUCACCUAAAUUUAUUAACAUAUAAGUACAUCUAAUUAUCAUGCCAACAUGUAUUUAUUCGACCAACUCAUUACAAUUGCCAUUAUGACAUAUGCGUAUAUGAAAAUACAUAUAUAAUUUCAAUUAACCUAUCAUGACCAACAUUUAUGUAUAUCGUCUAUUCUUUCCACACCAAUUCUUAAUACAAAACAUACAUAUCCAUCAAUUCAAUAUCAUAGCACAACCGAAACUCAUCCCUUAACCAAUUUAUAGCAUAAACACCACUUCAAAUUAAGGUUAGAUCAUGAUCAAAUAUACAUUAUGUUCUUUCAUACUCUUUAGCCGAAUAAUUUAGUAAAAACUUACAAGCAUUUUUACUAUGUUUUAAACUUACUAAUACAAACUAAUUCAUGAAUUAUUCAUGAUGUAACCAAUCAAGACAUAAAAUCAAGUUACCAAUCAUACUAAUUAUCAUUUAUACAAAUAGACUUAUACCAUGGUCGAAUCAUUGAAACCAAACACAUUGAACAUUCAACCUAGAAUAUAUAUAAAACUAAGUUUAAACAUAAUGAUCAAGCCAUUUUUAAUUAAGCCGAAUUUAAGCAUGGGAAUUAGACCAUUAAAGCAUAUUCGUUAAUACCAAAUUCAAAACAAAAAGAGAUAAGCCAUUUUCGCACGGCUUUUAAUUACACAUACACAUUGAUUUCAAAAUCACCAUUUUUAACUAAGCUAUACAUGCCAUAUAUUUGAAAACAAUUUAGCAAAAUACCAAAAGGAGACACCGAUAGUGUGAUGAGCUUAGCUGACGAUACCCGAACACGUAGCGAUCUCCAAAAUCUAUACAUCGAAACAAUAAUCCAACACAUUGUAAGCUAAUUGAAUAUCAAUUAUUUUACUUCAAUACUUGCGCAUAUUAACCAACCGAACCAUCUUAUACCAUUAAAUAAUUCAAUGUAAAUUCAAGAAUAGUAAUAUUUCAUCAUAGCCGAACCUAUAUAGUCAACAUACAAUCUAAUACAUCAUAAACCCAUUGUUUACCAUUCAUUAAUCAAGUAUAUAAGCAACUUUGGUGCAACUCAUAAGACCAAAUAAACAUAUUUUAUUUCGUGACGAAUAAUCAAAAUAAACUAUCAUUCCAUCUAUAGUAUAAUUAACAUUUCACCUAAAUUUAUUAACAUAUAAGUACAUCUAAUUAUCAUGCCAACAUGUAUUUAUUCGACCAACUCAUUACAAUUGCCAUUAUGACAUAUGCGUAUAUGAAAAUACAUAUAUAAUUUCAAUUAACCUAUCAUGACCAACAUUUAUGUAUAUCGUCUAUUCUUUCCACACCAAUUCUUAAUACAAAACAUACAUAUCCAUCAAUUCAAUAUCAUAGCACAACCGAAACUCAUCCCUUAACCAAUUUACAGCAUAAACACCACUUCAAAUUAAGGUUAGAUCAUGAUCAAAUAUACAUUAUGUUCUUUCAUACUCUUUAGCCGAAUAAUUUAGUAAAAACUUACAAGCAUUUUUACUAUGUUUUAAACUUACUAAUACAAACUAAUUCAUGAAUUAUUCAUGAUGUAACCAAUCAAGACAUAAAAUCAAGUUACCAAUCAUACUAAUUAUCAUUUAUACAAAUAGACUUAUACCAUGGUCGAAUCAUUGAAACCAAACACAUUGAACAUUCAACCUAGAAUAUAUAUAAAACUAAGUUUAAACAUAAUGAUCAAGCCAUUUUUAAUUAAGCCGAAUUUAAGCAUGGGAAUUAGACCAUUAAAGCAUAUUCGUUAAUACCAAAUUCAAAACAAAAAGAGAUAAGCCAUUUUCGCACGGCUUUUAAUUACACAUACACAUUGAUUUCAAAAUCACCAUUUUUAACUAAGCUAUACAUGCCAUAUAUUUGAAAACAAUUUAGCAAAAUACCAAAAGGAGACACCGAUAGUGUGAUGAGCUUAGCUGACGAUACCCGAACACGUAGCAAUCUCCAAAAUCUAUACAUCGAAACAAUAAUCCAACACAUUGUAAGCUAAUUUAGCUUAGUAAGUUACAAACAAAUAACUCUACAAUUUAACUUGAUAUCUAGAAUAAUAUUUAACCAAUUCAUACUUCUAAAUCAUCUUACCUUUAACUUCCCAUAGCAUAAUAUAAGUAUUCACUUCAUACUAUGAUUUAACAAAAAUCAAUAUAAAUACUCAACUAUAAGCAUUUCUUCAAAUUUAAGUACAAGGCCAAGUACCUUAUACAUUUUAUUAUCAUAAAGAAUAAUAAAUCAUCUUAAAUAAAUAUAACUCCAAUUAUAAUCACCACCUAGGUUUGAUACAUAUAAAAAUUAAUCUUGAAUACCAUCAAAAUAAUUAUUACUCACUUUGUUACUCAUGAUUUCUCGAUAAGUCAAAUACUCGAUAUUAAUAAUCUUUCGAAAAUAUUUAAUAAGUACGCACACUUAGUGCUUAAUAAUCACACUCGCACACUUAGUGCAUUUCAAUUAAACUCGCACACUUAGUGCUAAUCUCAUUAUCGUUUAUUUUUAUACUCGCACACUUAGUGUUGGGGGUCAACAACUCAAUACGUCAUAUUUCAAAAAUCGUAUCACUACAUAUAUCAAUUCAAUUCAGCAUAAUUACAUAGAUGUUUAGAUAAUUUAAAACGACACAAAUAUGUAUGCUUAAUAACUUACCUCGGAUGUUGUCGACAAAUAGAUCGGCUACUCAACUACCUUUGAUUUCCCCCGAUCUAAAUUCAAUUUCUUGGUUUCUUGAUCUAAACAUAUUCAAAUAAAUCUCAUUUAAACAUAUUUUCAUUCAAUUUAGUCUAAGAACACAUAAAUGGGCAAAUUACAUUUUUACCCCUAAUAUUUCACAUUUUCACAAUUUAGUCCUUUUUGCUCAAAACACAAAAUACACAAAAUUUGACUACACUCCUUAAGGGCCGAAUAUUCCUAGUAUCCAUAAAAACCCACACAUUUCAUUUAUUUCACAUUUUAGCCCCUAAAAAAUUUUAUUUUUACAACUUAACCCUAAUUACUCAAAUUCAUCAACAAUUCAAAGACAAAACAUGCUAAUCUAACACAUAUAUUUCAUAUUUCCUCAACUAACAUCAUAAAACUCAAACAUUCAUCAAUGGCACAUUUCAAAAUCAUCAUCAAUUCACAAAAUUUAAACAUGGGUUUUAAAGAACACAAAGCAACGAUCUCAAAAACGUAAAAAUUAUCAAAAACCGAAGAGAAGACUAACCUCAAUCUAGUUCAACAAUGGCCGAACCUUAGCCAAGCUUUUAUCUUUUAUUCUUUCUCUAGUUUCGAAAGUGAAGAAAGAUGAUAUGAUAAUGGCUUUGUUAUUAUCACUAUUAUUAUUAUAACAUAUAUUAUAAUCAUUUUUUUAUUUUUAAUGUAUAAAAACCAUAUAUUAAAACAAUAUGCCGUCCACUACUUAUAGUAUUGGCUAAAUUUCAACAUAAGGCCUCCAAAUUAGAAAGACAACAAUAAUUAGGCACUUUCUUAUUUAACCAUCAAAUUUUCAUUUUACGCGAUUAAGCCCCUUUUUAUUAAAUCGACACCCAAACAACAAAAUUAAUUUACGAAACUUUCACACAUUUAAAUUCACACAUCAUAAACACACAAAAUAAUAUUAAAAUAUUUUUCAGACUCGAAUUUGUGGUCCCGAAACUACUAUUCCAAUUAGGGUCAAAAUUGGGCUGUUACAACUCUCCCCCCUUAGGGAUUUUCGUCCCCGAAAAUCUUACCAGUGAAUAGGUUUGGAUAAUGUUCUUUCAUUGUAUCUUCUGACUCCCAAGUUGCUUCUUCAACUCCGUGUUUAUGCCAAAGUACUUUGACUAAUGAAGUUUUCCUAUUUCGUAAUUCUUUAACCUCACGAGCCAUAAUGCUAAUCGGUUCUUCUUCAUAUGACAUAUCAGAGUUAAUUUCAAUCUCGGUUGGACUAAUCACAUGCGAAGGAUCGAAUCUGUAUCUAUGAAGCAUCGAAACAUGGAAUACAUUGUGAAUCUUUUCUAACUCAGAUGGCAACAACAAUUUAUAAGCAACCGGCCCAAUACGCUCUAUAAUCUCAUACGGUCCAAUGAAUCUCGGACUUAAUUUACCUUUGCGACCAAAUCUAAGUAUUUUCUUCCACGAUGAGACUUUUAAAAACACUUUGUCCCCGGUCUGAAUUUCUAUAUCAUUUCUUUUCAAGUCCGCAUAAGAUUUCUGAUGAUCUGAUGCUGAUUUCAGACUAUCCCGUAUCACUUUCACUUUUUGUUCAGUCUCUUUAAUCAAAUCGACCCCUUGUAUCUUAUUCUCACUGAGCUCAGUCCAAUACAAUGGUGUACGACAUUUACGACCGUACAAAGCCUCGUAAGGUGCCAUUUUGAUACUAGAUUGAAAGUUAUUAUAUGCAAAUUCAAUCAAAAGUAAGUAUCGUUCCCACGUACCUUCAAACUCGAGAAUGCAACAUCUCAACAUAUCCUCAAGUAUCUGAAUGAUUCGUUCAGAUUGACCGUCUAUUUGCGGAUGAAAAGCUGUGCUAAAAUGUAAUUUCGUACCUAAAGCAUCUUGUAGUUUCCUCCAAAAUCGUGAUGUGAACCUCGGGUCUCUGUCCGAAACAAUAGAAAUAGGCACACCAUGCAACUUCACAAUUUGAGCAACAUAUAAUUCGGCAAGUUUAUCAAGCGGGAAAUCUGUACGGAUUAGAAUAAAGUGUGCCGAUUUUGUCAACCUAUCAACAAUAACCCAGAUUGCAUCUUUCUUACUCGGUGUCAACGGUAAACCAGAUACAAAAUCCAUCGUGACCCGGUCCCAUUUCCACUCGGGAAUCAUAAUCGGCUGAAGUAACCCAAACGGUACUUGAUGCUCAGCUUUAACUUGCUGACAAAGUAAACAUCUCGAAACAAAGUCAGAAAUGUCUCAUUUCAUACCAUGCCACCAAUAGUAUUGUUUAAGAUCGUUAUACAUUUUCGUGCUACCCGGAUGAAUAGAAAAUCGACUAUUAUGAGCUUCAUUCAAAAUAAUUGAAAUUAACUUUGAAUUUCUCGAAACACAUACUCGGUUUCUAAAUCUCAAACAAUCCUCAGCAUCAACUUGAAACUCUGAAUCAACAUUUGAGUCACACUGAGCUCGUUUUUCAUUUAAAUCACCAUCAGAUUUUUGAGCUUCACAAAUCUGUGGGAUGAAUAACGGUUUUGCUUUUAACUCAGUUAUUAUCGCACCAUCAUUAGAUAUAGCUAUAUGCGCUUUCAUUACACGCAAAGCAAACAGUGAUUUUCGACUUAAGGCAUUAGCGACAACAUUAGCCUUUCCCGGAUGAUAAUCAAUCACAAGCUCGUAAUCUUUUAACAAUUCUAACCAUCGGCGCUGUCUCAAAUUCAGAUCUUUCUGAGUCAUCAAAUACUUCAAGCUUUUGUGAUCGUAAUAAACAUGACAUUUUUUGCCAAACAGAUAGUGACGCCAUAUUUUCAACGCAAACACAAUAGCGGCCAAUUCUAGAUCGUGCGUCAGAUAGUUCUUUUCGUGUGGCUUUAACUGUCUCGAAGCAUAAGCUACAACUUUGCCUUCCCCGUGUUUAUAACGCAUUCAAAUCAAUCCUUUUAUUGUUUUUAAAUUUUGCCUAACAUUUUCUUUUUGUUUCAUUUUGGUCCACACCAAAACGCAGCGUUUUGAGGGAAGGGACUAUUUCUCAUUUGGCCCCCAUGUUAUUCGCGCGUUAUGCUGAGGUCCCCUCAUUUUGUUUUAUUUUCUUUUUUAUUUUCAUUUUUUAAGUUCAAUUUAACCCAUAUUAAUGUAAUUUAAUGUGUUUGAUUUAUUUUUAAUUUAUUUAAGUAUUUAUUAUUCUAUUAUUGUUUUUAAAAACGUAUUAAAUUUUAAAUCUAAUAUUAUUUUAAUAUUUAAGCUUAAUAUUAUUUUGAAUUCAUAAUUAAUAUUAUUUAAACUUGUAAUGUACUAUUAUUUUAAAUUAUCAUCAAAAUAUAUCAUUAUUUUUAUCAUGUACUAUUGUGUAAAUUUAUCAGGUAUCAUUAUUUAAGUUUAUCAUAUAUUAUUUUAUAUGUUUUCUAUGCAAACUUAAUAUAAUUGGUAUACACUCCUUAAUAGUUUUAUUUUUAUAAUAUAUUUAUUUUCAAAAUUCUCUUUUAUAAUUCUAUGUUUUAAAGAUUUAUACGAUAAUAUUCCUAUACAUAUACUAUUAUAUGAAGUUUUUCAAUCCAUAUGUAUUACUUAUUUAAAUUAAUAUAUGUAUAUUAUUUUAUGUAUUUUGACUUUCUUCUUAUAUAAUAUUUAUUUUAAAAUUUAUUUAGAUACUAUUAUUUUAUGUAGUAUUUAUUUUUAACGCUAUUUUUGAUUUAUCUCAAGCUUUCAUAUAUGUAUUUUAAAUUUAUUUUAAUAUAUAAUUUAUUGAUUAUAAUUUCCCUUCUUGCAUGUUGUUCUUUUUUUUAGUUAUUUUAAAAACUUGUUAUAUUGUAUUUGUGUUAAUUUGCUUGGAACCUCGUUUAAGUUUAGCUUUUAGUUCAUUAGCUUUCGAAUGUUAAUGUUAAUAUUUACAUGUGAUGUGAGAUUAUUGCUCUUAUGUGUAUGGUAUUGUUUAUUUGCAUUAAUUAAUUAUUUGUCAUUCAUUAGACUGCAAUUUGGUUUCUUAAUUAUCACUUCGCGUUAUACAUUAUCAUUCCCUCGCAUUUUAUUCGUAAAAAAAGGUUAAAUUUAAUAUGAUUUAAGUUUUAAAAUCAUUUUAUGCAAAAGCCUCUAAGAUAUUAUAAUACUCGGUGUUUGAGAUUUUCGAAAAGAUCAUACCCUAACUUACGGGGUCUCGAUUUUUCGAUAAUUUCAAAUAUAAGAACCUUUUUUUUAAAUAAAAAACAUAUUUUUUUAAAAUUAUCUCGGGAAUCAGAAAAUGACUGUGUUCCAGCUUACGGGAUAUGGUUUUUUUCCAAAACCGAGAUGAUCAAAAUUUCUAAAAAUAAAUAAAUUUUUGGUGUUUAUUCUCGUGUCGGGAUUAAAGAUAUUGUGUCCUAACUCACGAGAUAUAAUUAUUUUUCUCGAUUAAUGUGAAAUACACCCUUCUUUAAAUUUUUAAUAAAAGGAUCGUAUUUUUAAAUUUCUUUUUGAAUUUUCAAUUUUUCAACAUUAAGAUAUUAAUUAAUCAAUUAGGUACCAAUUUUGGGCAUGAUGAGGGUGCUAAUCCUUCCUCGCAUGUAACCGACUCUUGAACCCGUUUUUCUUGAAUUUCGUAGACAAAAAUUAUUGUUUUAGUAAAAUUAAAACGUUUUAUUUAAACAAUUGAAUUGCAAGGUGAUUCGAUCACACCUAAAAUAUCGGUGGCGACUCCCUUUUUUAUUUUCAUUUUCAAAAUAAAGGUCGACUCAUUUUUUUUUCAAAAAGUGGUUUCGAUAGCUUGGCGACUCCACUGGGGACUAGUUUUGAGAGUCGAGCCACAAAUUGAUUAAUUUCUGUCUUUUUUUCGAAAUUUGAAAACUCAAUAUAAAUUUAUGAUUCUUUCAUUGCAUUGUUAUAGUUUGCAUCAUUGUGGUAUUUUUGCUUUGUUGGGUUAAGUUUUUAAAUCAUUGCAUAUUGCACUGCAUAACCAUUCGGUUAUACCCUCUUAAGUGGGAGUGAGAAGCUAGUCCUUCGUGAGGUUUUCACCUUCGUAUAGGAUAGUGGAUCACUUUCGAGAUACAUCCAUACCUAUGCCUUCGUGAGAUUUUCAUCUCUGUAUAGUCAUAGGAAAAUGUAUUCCCCUGAACUGAACUCGGUAGAACCUCUAGGUAGAACCUCUCCGCACCCGUAGUGGUCGACCGAGUAGAUACCUUGUUUGUGAUUUCUUGUUUACUUUAAAUUUUGGUCUUAAACGUACUAACUUGCUUUGUUUUUUAUUGUGUUUGCAUGACCUGGUCAUCAUAUACAUAAAAAGGUGUCAAUUCGCAUUCGGUUACUAAAUAGAAAGCUUACCAUGGAGAAUGAAUUUCUUGAGAAAAUGGAAGAUAAUAUGGCUCUCCAAGUGUGGUCAGAGAGGAUGCAACUUGAGAAAGGUGAUAGCUUGACCGAGGGGUACAGAUCAGAAUUAUGGGACUUCACUCGUAUCAGCGUGACUCAAAACAAUCUCCAGGAGUUGAAAGAAAUUUGGGCUCAAUGGGAUGAUGAAGUCAAACAGUUGUUUUAUGGUAAUUAUGGUGAUUUGCCUUAUUUACUUGAUAUCAAGGUAGACGAGCAUUUGUUUCGUGCUUUGGCCCAAUUUUGGAAUUCCGCUUUUAGUUGCUUCACCUUUAGGAAAGUACACUUGGUACCAACUAUGGAGGAGUAUACAACCUUACUUCGUUGUCCGAGGAUCCAAGUAGAUAAAGUUUAUUCUAAAGCCGUCAAUGUCUUGACUUUUGUAAAGAAGUUAAUGAAUGUCACAAGAAUGAGUGAGUAAUAGGUCGCGACACAGAUCAAGUAGAAAGGAGAAAGAAAAUGUAUCCCCUAGAGUUUGCGAGAUCUGAUUUUGGCACACCUUGAUAUGAAGAAAAAGGUCGAUGUUUUUGCUUUGAGCAUUUACGGGCUAAUUAUUUUUCCUAAAGCCCUUGGACAUGUAGAUGAGGUAGUUAUAGACUUGUUCGAUCGACUGGAUAAGAAGGUCACGCCUAUCCCAGCAAUUUUGGCCCAGACAUUUAGAUCUUUGAAAGCGUGUCGGAGGACGGGUGAAAGAAGAUUCAUUGGUUGUGCACAGCUUCUAUUAGCUUGGUUCCAUAGUCACUUUUAGAAAGUAGAUAAAGUUUCUUAUCAAGUAUUCUCCGGGAGCCAUUCUCCACUGAAAGAAUUAGCAGCGAUGCUAAGGCACGAUGACAUUAUAGAGGAAAGAUGGAUAAUGAUCCUUCAAAAUCUCCAAGAUGAAGAUAUCGAAUGGAGAGCUCCUUGGUUGGUACCCGAUGAGAUUCUAUAUCAAUGCAGAAACUUAGACUGGGUCCCUUUUCUUGGAAUUUGGGGAGCUGUAAGAUAUGCUCCUCUGCUCAUUUUAAGAUAAUAUAGAUCAAGACAGUUCAUACUGGUAACGUAAGGGUUGGCUUAGUGUGAAUUUUCUUAUAAAGGUGAUAACUAUAAGAAAAAAAUUUGAGAAAUGUUUAAUGCUUGGAAUCAAACGCACCGGAUGAAAAGACUUGCUGUAGGACCGAUGACAACACUUGAAUAUUAUAGAUGAUGGAGUAAAAUAGUCAAUGACAACAUUUUGAGGCCGAGUCAAGAAGAUGUUCGAUCGAUGGAGGAAUACCCGCAAGUGAUGCAAUCUGAGAUAAAAAUCAUAAAGCAGGAUUUUAAAAAGAAAAAUUCAGAGCUAGGAAAGAGGAUAAAGCAGUUGGAGGAAGAAAAAAUGCAUUGGAAAUUAGAUGUUGAUGUUCAGAAGUUAGAAACCAAAAAAUUAAGACUUAGAUAGUUUGAAGACAGAUUAUAAGAAGUUCCGUUUAUCGAUAAGAACUGUUGGGUUGGGGAAAACUUCAGAAUAGUGGCGUCAAGAGAUUCAAGAAGAGAAGAUCAAGGCCGAUAGGUGGAAAAAGAAAUUCCAAGAGACUCAAAAGUGAAACAAGGCCUUAGAGAAGAGUUUGUUAGAGAGCCAAAAUGAAAAGGGUGAACUAAAGGCUAGAGUGGUUGAACUUAAAACUUUCUUCAUCAUUAUCGAAAUCGUAAUUCUGCGAUAAAGCUAAGAGCAAGCUUAAGCAAGAUCGAGGAAAUGAAAAGAAGAGUAGAAGAAUUAGAGGAGACAUUACAAAACUAUGAAAUGCGGAUUGAAUUCCUUGAAGCCAGUGAAGAGCGUUAGAAAGAACAGCUCCACUUUUGUCAGAACCAAGUUAGAAACAGAGAUCACAUUAUGGGGGAGGUUGUGGCUCAGAUUCGAAAUGUAGCUGAUUACUUACAAACUUUGGUAGUACAAUCUGAUACGCUAAGCGUAAAGUACAAGCUUGAAUCAGACCGAGGGGAAGAGUUAGCUUCACUGCUUAGGAAAAUUAAGGUUCUGAGCAUUAGGGCAAAGCCGUAUAUCUAAUAUGUUUUAUGUAAAGAACAUUGUUUUCCAGUAAAGUUUUCUAAAUAGAAAUGAAUUAGAAUUGAUGCCUUUUUGCAUAUAUUUCAUGCUUUUGCAUUACAUCACAUCAUAUGCAUUAAGGUCUACCAAAAGAUCCUAAUUGGUUAAAAUUAUUUCAGUUAAUCUAGAAACCAACAAAAAAACUUGCCAACCAAACAUCAUUACGGUACCCGAGCAAAGACAAAAGAUAUGGGUCAAAGAUUAGAAAGACUUGAACAAUUUCAAAGAGAGAUGCAAGACCAAAUACAAACAUAAAUGCAAGAGCAGCUAGCUAAGAUACAACAAGGCCUAAUGGAUGAUAAUGAACUAGAAUUCUUUGAAUAUAAUAAAGGCUCGGAGGGAAUAUCCAGAAAUUGGGGCAUCAAUAUCAUAUACAAAUAAGCAAUUGAAGGAGAGACCUUGUUAGAUAUCUACCCUUAUGAACCGAGGAGUGAGCUAAACAGUUGGACUGCAGAAGAAAUGCCUGUAGUUUUUAGACCUUACUUAGAGGAAUGUACAGAACACACUUGUUGCUUUUAGCCUAGAAGUGAUAAGAAUCCUUCUGUGAAAUAGGCUCAUGUCUGAACAUCAUUAUUUUAAUGAAAUACAUCUUUGCAUUCAUUUUGAGAAAAUAUUCUUUCAUUCUUUCCAUACGAGUAACUAUUCUUUCAUUCUUUUGGAGAUUUUCUUCCAAAUCAUUCUUUCAUUUCAUUCAUAAUCAUACUGUACAGAUAAUUAUUCUUUAAUUCAUACAUUAUUUGUAUAUUCUUUGGUACCUACAAUAGGUCCCUUGAUAUCAAUGACAUGAGUGACGCUGGUACAAACUUAGAAUUUCCUUUUGAACAAGACAUGUGUUUAGAGGGAUCUCAUGACUUUGAAGAUGACAUAGAAUGUGGCUUAUCUCCGGACUUGUUAAGGAUGGUAGAACAGGAGGAGAAACAAAUCCUACCCAACAAGGAAUCAAUGGAAAUUGUGAGCUUGGAAGAAGGAAAAGAGGUGAAGAUUGGUAUUAACAUGCCAUAAAGACGAAGCGAGACCUCGUUGAAGUUACUCAAGAAUUCAAAGAUGUCUUCACAUGGUCACACCAGGAUAUGCUCGGGUUAAGCACUGACAUUAUAGUACAUUACUUUCUAAUAAAAAAAAGAUUGCAAGCCAGUUCAGCAGAAAUUCUGGAGAAUGAGGCCUGAUAUUGUGCUAAAAAUAAAAGAAGAAGUCAAAAAGCAAUUUGAUGCUGGGUUCUUACAAGUGGUCAAAUAUUCAGAAUGGGUAGCGAACAUCGUCCCAGUCCCUAAAAAAUGAGAAAAUAUGAAUGUGUGUGGAUUACAGGGACUUGAACAAGGCCAGCCUAAAAUACAAUAUCUCAUUGCCUCACAUUGACACUUUGGGGAAUAAUACAGCAGGCUACUAACUAUUUUCCUUCAUGGACGGCUUCUCUGGAUACAAUUAGAUAAAGAUGCAUCCCAAAGACAUGACAAAGACUACAUUCGUAACCCUAUGAGGAACAUUUCGCUAUAAAUUGAUGCCAUUCAGAUUAAAGAAUGCGGGAGCAACAUAUCAAAGAGCCAUGGUAGCCUUAUUCCAUGGCAUGUUGCAUAAGGAAAUCAACCUUUAUGUCGACGAUAUGAUUGCAAAAUCUAGAACAAAAAAGGAACAUGUACAGGUCUUGAGAAAAUUGUUCUUAAGAUUGAGGAAGUUCCAGCUCAAGCUCAAUCCAGCAAAAUGCACUUCCAAAGCUAGGUCAAAAAAGCUGUUAGGCUUCAUAGUCAGUGAAAAAGGAAUUGAGAUCGACCUAGAUAAAGAUAAGGUGAUACAAGAAUUACCUCCACCAUGCGUCAUAGGACUAGACCUUUCGUCUUGCAAUCCGUGCGGCUUUAGGCGAUCUGUUCGUCCCAAACUCGCCUAAGUCAGCCUUUAUGCCCAAAAGUGAGGAUUCUUUUAAGAACACCUCUAAGGCACCAAUUUGUAUAGCGGAAGCGGUUGUGCCAAAAGAAGCUACAAGUGAACAACAGAAAGCAAAAGAAAGAAUACACACAAAAUGUUUGAGUAAAUGCUCAAGAAUUCUAUUACUCUUAAGAAUUCAGCUUACAAUGGAUGAGUACAAAUAAGGGGGAGACUCUCUAUUUAUAGUUGAGCUCCCCCAAAACCGACGGUUAAGAUAAAUUUACAUCGACGGACGAGAUUCACUAUAUCCCUUGAUUUUAGGGAUUUACAAGAUUUUCCAUAUCAAAUCUAAUCUAAUCUUUACAAAGUAUGAUUCUCUCUAUCUUCUAAUAUUAGUUACUAAAAUUAGCCUAAGUUGUCAUGUCUUCAUCAUCGGGCCAACCAGGCUUCAAUCUGACAGGCUUCUCCAAGAGCUCUCUGAAUCGAGCCAGUUCUCGAGGGCUAAAUGUUCCCCAUCUAAUCGAUAGACCUCCAUGGGGCACUUUUUGUGCCAUGGUCACGGGCUUUGCACUUUGGCCCGUGACAUUCUCCCUCACCCAUUCUCGCAACACCCUCGUUGUGACUUCUGGAUGACACUAACUUGAUUCACCAUGAAACUUUCUCGUUGCCUCAGCUUCUUCCCAAAUUGUCUUUCGAUCGGGUUGUCCCUUCUUUCGGAACCUAUGCCUCAGCUUCUGUCGCCUCUUAUCUUGAACCGUUGCACUCGUUGGUACAUUCCGUUGGCAAGAAGUCUCCGCUCUAAUUUGCCCCAAUUUUGAGUUGUUCUCACUAGAAUCCCCUGGAUUCUCACAUCUCAGCUUCAUACCACCCACAGUUCCUUGGCCUCCUUGCUUAUGAACUUUGAAAGGGCCCCUACGACCUUGCCAAGCCAACAAGUUAGAAUUCAAAACACUAUCAAAGUGUUUGCAAUGUACCUUACUCGUCUCGACUAUUUUUGCAUGCUCCUUUUCCCUCAAAGCUCGAUGCACAACCCACCUUUCCCAAAGGUGUCGGCUCCACAGUCGAAUCUGCAGGCUUCAUAUCGGUCCCUUGCACCACUAACACUUUCGAAGGGGCUUUCACAGCUUUUCGUUCCGACGUAAUAUUUCUCCUAUACGAAACAUCUUCGACUAGUUGGAUUGACGAUAACACCUGGGUCCCAACCUUCAUAUCCCGAUGCACCGGUACAACCAUUUUUGUUAACUGAUCGGUGACAAUAUGGAUUUGAUCGACCCAUGGUUGCAGAGUUGCCUGAAUCCUGUCAGGGAAGUUUAAGCCAAGCACAUAAUCGUAAUCAUCCAAUUGGAUUACCUCGAAAUCUUCCUUACUCUUCCAUUUGCCGAUUUGUAGUUUCAUAUCACGAACUACUUCCACAGUUGGGGCUCUCUUGGAAGUUGCUAUCUUGAUCUUCUUAUUUGAUUUCCUAAUCGACAGACCAAGCUUUUUCGUAGGCUUUUCCAACACGAACAAGUCCGAUGCUCCCGUAUCAAUAAGAGCACUCUGCUUCUGACCCGCAAUGUUGAUGUCCACAAACAUCAACCCUUUUCCACCAUUCCUCUUCCCAAGAAUGAGCACCAUCGAAUUGACUCUCGAUGUCUUUCCUUCGGUAGGCUUCGCCUCUUCCUUCCGCCCAUCUUUCUUUUUUAUUGCCGAAAUCAUCAUUUUAUUUGGACAUUUUUGCGCCAUGUGUGGUCCUUGACAAAUGAAACAUUUUAUCUUCUUCCUCUUGUCCCUUGGGUUGUCGAAUCCCCCCUUCGCAUCUCAUGGUUUCCCAUUGCCACUUGUGCUAUCGGUACUGUUGCAAUCAUCGUUAUGUCCCUCUUCAUCUUCUUCAUGGUUUCUCUCACCAUUGCCCUUUCCAUUGGGCUUAGACGUCUCGAGCUUGUCUCUCGCUGGACCAAGCUCAACAAAGGACUCUGCUUCUGCCAUGGCUACAAUAAGUUUAGUGAUUCCUUACCUUCGCAACUCAUGCUUUGCCCACAGCUCUAACCCAUCCUCGAACCAAUAGAAAGCUUCUUUCUCACUCAAGUCAGAGAUUUCAAGCAUCAACUUGCUAAAUGCCCGAACAUACUCCCGAACAGUGCCUUGUUGCGUGAGACAACACAACUUUGCUCGAGCCUCCUUCUUGGCAAAACUGAGGGUAAAACUGCUUCUUCAACUCUCUUUGGAACUCCUUCCAAGUCCCAAUUGUGUUCCCACCACGUUUCUCAUCCGUGGACCUACGAUGCCACCACAAGAGAGCUACAUCAGUAAAAUAGAUUGAAGCAGUGUUUACCUUAAUGGCAUCAUCCUCGAUGCCCACCGUUCGAAAGUAUUGCUCUAUUUCCCAUAAGAAUUUGUCCACAUUCCUUGCGGAUCGUGCACCCUUGAACUUCUCUGGUUUGGGAACAUCCAUUGCUUGUUGCUUUGGCCUUGAAGACAACAUCCAAUUACUCAAAGCAGCUUUGUAAAUCGUAAGCUCCUCCUUGAGCUCCUCCAUUUUUUUCUUCAUGGCAAGCACCAUAUCUUCGAGAGCUUCAUCCCUUACCGUCAACUUGUCCGAAGUGGACCUAAGAGUGUUCAGCACGAAUUCCUUGCUGUCUUCCCUCAGUUCCUCAAUACGGUUCAGGACCACUUCGAGUGUCUCUCUCAUGUCACCAACAGGCUCCUCGAGAUUAACCACUCGAUUUUCUAAAGCUGUUAGCAUGUCCUUCGAGUGACUUCCUUUUCUGGCCCUCCUACGGGUCUCCAUUGGCUCACUCUGACCAACGAAUUCUUUCAACAUCCCAACGGUGCCUUUGAACCAACUCGAAUAUCACUUGGUUCAAAACUUGGCUUGGAUACCACUUGUCACAGGACUAGGCCUUUUGUCUCGCAAUCCGUAUGUCCUUACGUGAUUCGUUCGUCCCAAACUCUCCUAAGUCAGCCUUUACGUCCAAAAGUGAGGAUUCUUUUAAGAACUCCUCCAAGGCACCAAUUUGUAUAGCGGAAGUGGUUGUGCCAAAAGAAGCUACAAGUGAACAACAGAAAGGAAAAGAAAGAAUGCACAGAAAAUGUUUGCGUAAAUGCUCAAGAAUUCUAUUACUCUUAAGAAUUCAGCUUACAAUGGAUGAGUACAAAUAAGGGGGAGGCUCUCUAUUUAUAGUUUAGCUCCCCCAAAAUCGACGGUUAAGAUACAUUUACAUCGACGGACGAGAUUCACUAUAUCCUUUGAUUUUAGGGAUUUACAAGAUUUGCCAUAUCAAAUAUAAUCUAAUCUUUACAAAAUAUGAUUCUCUUUAUCUUCUAAGAUUAGUUACUAAAAUUAGCCUAAGUUGCCAUGUUUUCAUCAUCGGGCCAACCAGGCUUCAAUCUGACAGGCUUCUCCAGCAACUCUCUGAAUCGGGCCAGUUCUCGUGGGCUAAAUGUUCCUAUCUAAUCGAUAGACCUCCAUGGGGCACUUUUUGUGCCAUGGUUACAGGCUUUGCACUUUGGCCCGUGACACAUGCAUCUCCUUCUCCUCUUCACAUUAUGACUUCUCCAUGGCUUUUCUCCAUGUGGGGCAUGGAUGUCAUUGGGGCAAUAUUGUCGAAGGCUUCUAAUGGACAUCACUUCAUCUUUGCUGUCAUUGAUUACUUCACCAAGUGGGUGGAAACUACUUCAUAUGCUAACGUCACAAAGUUUGCAGUCAAAAAAUUCUUGAAAAAUGAGAUCAUAUGUUGGUAUGGAAUGCCAGAAAGAAUCAUAUCUGACAAUGCGCUGAAUUUGAACAACAGCAUAAUAGUGGAGGUCUGCAGUCAAUUCAAGAUCAGACACCAUAACUCGUUGCCAUAUCACCCUAAAAUGAAUGGCAGUAGAGGAAAAAAAAAGAAAAAAAUACAAAAAUACAAAAAAAAUAAAAAAAAAACAAAAAACAAAAAGAAACAAAAACUUUUACCAGGGCAACGCCUUUCUCUUUGGCUUAUCACGGUUUUUCAAUUGUAGUCGAGAUUCCUUCUCUCUAAGUUUUGUCAAAACUAAAUUUAGGUGAAGUAGAAUGAAUCUGGUUGAACUUGAUCAAAGAAAAGAGGCUGAGGACUAUCCUCACAAUCAGAUGUACAAAAAAUGAAUGAUGCGAGCUCAUGACAAAAAGGUUCGUCCUAAGAGAAUUCCAUGAAUGAGACCUAGUAUUGAAAAUGAUCCUCUCAUACAAAAAGAUUUUAGAAGGAAAUAGAUGCCAAAUUGGGAAAGACCUGAUGUGGUAAAGAAGGCCUUUUCCGGAGGAGUGCUGAUUUUGACCGAGAUAGAUGGUAAAAACUUGUCUAAUCCUAUAAACUCAGAUUCAGUCAAGAACUACUUCACCUAAAGAAGGAGAAGGGACCAAGGUGAAAACUCGCAAAGGGCGAUUUGAGUUCUAAACACAAAAAAAAAGACCAAUGUGAAAACCCGCAAAGGGCGCUUUGAGUUCUAAAAAAAAUGAGAGGCCAAUGUGAAAACCCACAAAGGGUUCCUUGAGAACAAAGGGGAUUUAAGUUGAAAAAUCGAACAGGGUGGCUCAAAUAUUGAUCAAAAUGGGGCAUGCAGUGAUCUUACUAUACCUAAAUUAAUAGGAAAGGGGUAUGUGACAUCUUGGGGCAUCGACAAAGUACUGUAGAUCUCCUAAACACAUGUCAAACUCAAAAUGGUCUUCAGGAAAUUUGUACAGAGAAAUUCAAGCUGCGAUAUCUGGGGCACCUAGUUUUCAUACUAUUUACAUUCAAUUUGUCAUUCUUGGAAUACUUCAUUCUUUUUAAGAUGCGUGUCCCCAAUCAAUUCUUUUUAUCCUUGAUAAUUUAUUCAUUUUGAGCUAUGCUCCAAACCAAUUCUAUUCUUAUUCAUUGUUAUGAUCUUUUACAAGCAUGAUGCAUUAGAAUAAUGAUUAAUGGACUAAUAAUACUUUCACAAAGGCAGUUUUGCAUAUUAUUCUAGAAGUUUCUAAAUAAUACAAGAACCUAAAACAGGACUAUUGUUUAGAACACACAGGGUUUAACGGUUGGAAAUAUCUAAGAAGGAAGAGUCUAAAUUAAGACUAUCCCUUCGGAUUUUUCUAUCAAAGUAUUGAUUGAACAAAAUGACGAGUUAUCUUGCUGGUGAUAGAGCUUCAAUGAACAAACGAGCAAUGAUCACCAAGUAUAUGAGGAGGUUAUUCUUUGGGGAAUAAAAUUCUACAUUGGUACGACACAUUGGGAAUGGUGUAAGGGACCAAAGAGAUUCACAUCCUGUAUCCUUGAAUUACAGUACGAGAGGAUUGAGAAAGAGCCAGAUCUUGUAUUCCUGAAUUACGGUGGGAGAAAGAUGGUACAAAUUUUAUGUCCCAGUGGAUUGAACCUUGAAGAUUACAGUGGGGCAAACUGAUUGAGUGUUUCUUUGAGUUUUUUCGAAGGUACCAGUCAAACAAGAACAUGUUAAUGAUAGAGCCUUAAUAAACAACGAGCAAUAACAACUCAAACAUUAAGAGAUCAUUUUCAUGACAUUCUGCAUUCAUUCAUACACAUCUAGUUAGGUGAUUUUGAUUUCAUUCCAAUCAUAACAUCCUAAUCACUAGGCAUGAAUAGACAUAUGAAAUGGAUUUUACAGGUUAUGUUCCCCAGAGAACAGAUUGGUAAAACCACAAAUCCUAUACUGUUGAAGUUGCAGUGAGAUGGAUUAAAGUUAUUAUGGAAAAUUUUUUUCCCUGGUGUUGCAGUGGAACAGAUUAAAGCUGAAGGCAGCGAAUCUUAUUUCCUUGGCGUUACAUGGAACAGAUUAAAGUUGAAGGCAGCGAAUCUUAUUUCUAUGGAAUUGUAGUGGAACAGAUUAAAGCUGAAGGUAGCGAAUCUUAUUUCCCUUGGCAUUGCAGUGGAACAAAUUAAAGCUGAAGGCAACGAAUCUUUUUUCCCUGGUGUUGCAGUGGAACAAAUUAAAGCUGAAGGCAGCGAAUCUUAUUUCUCUGGCAUUGCAGUGGAACAAAUUAAGGGUGCGUUUGUUUGCUGGAAAACAUUUUCCAGAAAAUGUUUUCCUAAUUUUACAGUGUUUGGGAGCCUGAAAACAUUUUACACUUGGAAAAUGUUUCCAAAACACGGGUAAAAUGGCCUCAGUUCAGGGAAAAUGUCUUACCAAUUUUAAUUCCGUAAGACAUUUUCCGGAAAAUCCCUCCCUCCUUCCGACCUUCUCCUUCUUCAAUCUAUCUUCCCCUCACGAAUUUGCAAGAUCUAAACGUCUCAAAGUUGGCCCAUUGUCGAUUUUGUAAGUAUCCCCUUCUGUCUUCCCCUUUUGGUAGCUUGCAAUUAGGAAUUUUUACAGUUCUUUUUGGUAUCCCCUUUGUCUUCCAAUAUAUGUCAACAAACAACUGUUUGCAAUUGGUUGAGACAACUUCAAUUCCAGCACCAUGACUUCAACUUCUUCAUGUCUCGUCAGUUCCAAAAUCCCUAAUGUUAACCCUGGUCAUAGUUUUUUUUACAAAGGAGGCCACAGUUUCUCGAUGAAAUUGCCACUAAUUCCAUUCCAAUUCACUGCUGUUAAGUGCCAAUCAUCCCUCGAAUUUGCUCCAUUUUACUGCAAUUUCAUCCAUAUUUAUCGUACCAAUCCAUCCAAACAUCAACUACUUGCCGUUCUUAAAGCCACUGCCAUGCUCCUUGAAAGCCAUUGUGGUGCCUUCAAUUUUUGUUUCCAUCUCCUUUAAAAAAUUUGAUGCUUUCCAUAUUGUGGUUGUCUUUAAUUUAAAGCUGCUCUGUUUUUGAUUAGUUCAAACCCCAAUUUGUUGUUGCUUACUUGAAUCGUGUUACAAGAUGUUGCUUUACUUCAUUGCUAAGAGGUUAGUAUCAAUAAGGCUAGCUCAAUAUAUUAAUUAUUUAGUCGAACGAUGUUAUGGUCAGUUUACAUAUAUUAAAACAUACAUAUAUUAAAGAGUUAUUCCGACUUUUGACAUCUAGUCUUUUGCUGUAUAUUCUGAAACUAUUUUGGUUAUUUUUCAGGCUGCCAAACGUGCAGGGUGGCUUCCUCAAGGUGAUAGUUAUCCCAAAGCUAGCCAUGUUGGUUUUUGACUUGUUCUUGGAGAAGAUGGCAAGCGUUUUCGAACCCGUAACACUGAAGUAGUUUGUUUAGUUGAUCUACUUGAUGAAGCCAAGAACCGAAGUAAAGUAGCACUUAUCGAGCAAGGUAUGAUAUUGAACCUUAUCUCUGUUGUUACAAAUGUUUUUCAACUCUUUUCAACUACCUUAUGUUUGUCAGUCUAUUUGUGACGUAUUUGUUACUGCAAGUCCUUACAGUUGUUAAAUUGUGUAGCCUUUGAACUUUUCAACCUCUUGUAUCUGAAAUUGUUACUUUGUGUGCGAAUCAGGUAAGGGUGAAGAAUGGACCGAGGAGGAGAUUGAGAGUACUGCUGAUGCAGUUGGUUAUGGUGCUGUAAAGUAAGCUACUUAUUAUUAUAUCAAGUUAUUUAUGUAAUCUAAUUAGUAUUGCUAUGAUCUUCUCAGUAGUUCUUGUACUAUUUUGUUUUCUUUUUAAUAUUCAUUAAACCUGAUUGCAGGUAUGCUGACUUGAAGAACAACAAAUUGACUAAUUAUACACUUAAUUUUGACCAGAUGCUUAACGAUAAGGUGCCUAACAGUUUUCUUUUUUAGAAUGCAAAUAUUGUGGAACUGGUUUCAUCAUUUUGGUCUCUAGUGAACUUUUAAUGCUAACCAUCUAGCUCUAGUUUAUUGUUUUUAGUUCUAUGUUGAACAUUUUAGCUUUCAAAUCUUCUGUUUGUAUAUUCUAGAUGUUUAUGUUAUGAUCUUUUUAUCUUGAUUACUAUAAUUUAAAAAUCCUUUUGGAAUGUGUGUUUAUUUUGCAGAAAGUAAUUUGCAAGGAGCCUCAAGAGUCAAAGAUUCCCCCAUCUCUUCUUUUUAGUGAUAAAUUUUGAUUUUCUUGAUGCAGUCAUGCCAUUUAUACAUUUCUGCAAAAUUUUGAAGUUGUAAUGAAGUUGUAAAAUGGCUUGUGUUAUUCAAGUUGUUGGUAUUAAAUUUUGGACUCUGAGUAAUACUUGAAUCUGCUUUACUUUUGUUGAUAGGAUAUUGAAUCCUUUUUUUGAAUCCAUUUUUUUUUUGGGGAUGACAGAUUCUGGUAUACGAAUUGAUUAGCUACUUUACUUUUUACAAUUUUUUGACUUGCUAAAUUCGAAUAUUUUGGCAGAUUCAGAUCUUUGGUCUGUUUGUUAAUGCAUAUUCAGACCGAGUCACAUAGAUGUAGUUAGUUUUAGUUUUUGAGGGACUUGGUUCAUAUGUUCCCUUGCUCAAUUUAUAGCUGAAGAUGCAUAUGUUUUUCUGGUUAACUGGUUGGAAAGGUUUCCACAAUACAAGCAUAGAGAUUUCUAUAUGUGGAUAAUGGAAAUUGAGUAUUAUUAUAAAUAAAUCAUUGCAAUAUAUGUAAAAACAAUUUCAAAUAUAAAAAUUUAUUAAUAUAUAUUAAUAUAGGUAAAAACAACUUUGCCGAAAAAUAUUUUCAGGAAAUCUGCCAAACAGCAGAAAAUAUUUUACACAGAUUCAUCCAAACACCAGAAAAUAUUUUCCAGUAAAUCAUUUUACAGAAAAGUAAAACAUUUUCCAGAAAUCAUUUUACGGAAAACAUUUUACUGGCAAACAAACGGACCCUAAAGCUGAAAGUAGCAAAUCUUAUUUCCCUAGCGUUGUAGUGGAACAGAUUAAAGCUGAAGGCAGCGAAUCUUAUUUCCCUGGCAUUGCAGUGGAAUAGAUUAAAGCUGAAGGUAGUGAAUCUUUUUUCCCUGGUGUUGUAGUGGAACAGAUUAAAGUUGAAGGCAGCAAAUCUUUUUUCCCUAGCGUUGCAAUAGAUUAAAGCUAAAGGCAGCGAAUCUUAUUUCCCUGGCAUUGCAGUGGAACAGAAUAAAGCUGAAGGUAAUAAAUCUUUUUUCCCUGGUGUUGCAGUAGAACAGAAGGCAACGAAUCUUAUUUCCCUGGCGUUGGAAUGGAACAGAUUAAAGCUGAAAGCAGUGAAUCUUUUUUCCCUGGUGUUGUAGUGGAAUAGAAUGCAACGAAUAUUAUUUCCCUGGCGUUGCAGUGGAACAGAUUAAAGCUGAAGGUAGCGAAUCUUUUUUCCCUGGCAUUGCAGUGGAAUAGAUUAAAGCUACAAAUUGUGGCGGAUCUUAUCUUCUUGAAGUUACAGUGAAGCAGAUUGAAGCCACCAAUCCUAUCUCAUUGAAGUUGCACUGGAGCGAAUUAAAAUGACAAACCCUAUACCUUUGAAGUUGUAGUAGGUCAGAUUAAAUCUACCAUAAUAAGUCUUAUUUCCCUGAAGUUGCAGUGGAGCAGACUAAAAUCACAAAUCUCGUCCCUUUGAAGUCGCGGCAGAGUAGAUUGAAGCUACAAGUUGUAUCUGAAGUUGAAGUAGAAUGGAUCGAAGCAACAAGAUGCAGUGGGCUGGAAUUAAGCUAUUUGAAGAAGAGAAGCACCAUGAGAGGUCAAGCCUCGGCAAGACCAGGCAAAAUUGACCCUUUUUAAGUCUUUUCUCCAUUUUCGUUACAUGACAACGAGAAAAGAGGGGCAGCUAUAAUAGGCCAAUUUUGGUUUGGCCCAAUAUUAACCAAAUUAAUAAUAAACCAAUAAAAUAAUAAAAUAGCAGUCCAUUAAUAAAGUCUAAUAACAUGUCCAAAUUACAGAAGCCCAAAAUAAUAAAAACCACUACAAUCCUAGACCCAACUAAAGCCCAGUUUGCAGCCCACAACAUUAAAAAACAAACAGAAACCCUAGCCUUCAACUUUCAGCCGCUGCUCCUGCCCUUCGCGCGCACCAGCCUCUUGCCUCAGCCGCACGUGCACCUCCAUUCCAGCUGACCUCGCACCUGCAACAAACAAGAAGAAAAGAGCACACUAGAAAGCCAUAACAGAAUGCAACAAAUAACAGAGAAAAUAUAAAAGAAAAAAUGAAUAAUUUUUGUGUUUUCAUUCGGCUAUAUAAAGCUAAUUUUUGCAUCUGUAAAUGGAUUCACGAAUCAAUAGAAAAAUAGAAAAAUAUUUAAUAUAACAAGCAGAGAUCUUAGAAUACAAAAAAAAAUUUAAGGUAGAUAUUAGGGGUUUUUUCUCUUCUUCUUUUUUCGAUUCAUUUUAAAAAAAUAAUACAGUAAGUAUUAAGAAAAAGAAAAGAGAAGGCUUAGCUUGCAACGCCUUCAGAUCCACACAAAAAAGGAGCUAAAAAGCCUUUUGUGGUGCAGCUUCGACCACCGUUCACGAUGGAAUCGUGAUGGAGGCGCAGAGGAUUGGCUUCAGUUUAGGAAACCCUAGCAGAGAAAAAAUAGGGUUGAUAGUUUUUUUUUUAAAAAAAGGCAGGAAGUGAUUUUAAUUUUUUUUGUUUAUUUUAUAACAGGUACUGAAUGACGUCGUUUAGGGUCUGUUUCAGUGGCCUCAAAACAACGCCGUAUAAGGCAUAACCCGCGCGGUGGCCCGACCCAACGGGAGGAUCCACGUGCUUUUGAUUAAUGGGCAAUUUGCACAUCUGGCCCAUCCGCAUUUUUAAUUAUUUUAAUUUAGUUUUUUUUACUUUUUUCAUUCAAUUGAUACUUUAAAUUUUAUUUGGUUUUUGAUUUGGUCCUGGUGAAAUGGUGCAUUUCAGAGGGUGGGGAUAUUUCCCCAAUCGGUCGCUUUGAGUUAUUCGCGCCUUUCAAUUAGGUCCUUUAUUUUAUUUUAUUUACGUUUUUCCCUCUAAAUUUGUUUUAAAUCCAAUUUAAUUCUUAUUAGUUUAGUUUAAUGUUUUUUAAUUUAUUUAAAUGUAUAUUCUUUUAUUUUUUAAUAUAUUUAAUUUUAAAUCUAAUUUAAUGAUUAAGUUCAAUUAUUAUUUUAAAUUUAUUAUUAACAUUGUUUAAAUUUAUCAUAUAUUAUUAUUUUAAUUUCCAUCUAUUAUUUUAUAUAUUUUUAUGUAAUUUUCAAUAUAAUUUGUAUUUUUUAAUGGUUUUAUUUUAUAAUACAUUUUUUAAAAUUCACUUAUACAUAUUUCAUCUUUAAAGAUUUAUACGAUAAUAUUCUUAUGCAAUAUUUGCUUUAAAAUUUAUUUAUACUACUUCAUAUAGUUUUUUAUUCUAUUUUUUAAACUUUUUCAAGUUUUCAUAUUAAUUAUUUUUAAAAAAAAUUAUACAUAUAAUUUAUUGUUUAUACAUUGAUAAUUCCAAUUUUUUAUGCUAUUUUUUUGUAGUUAUUUUAAAAUUUUUUGCAUUUUAUUUGUGUUAAUUUGCUUGGUAUUUUAUUUUAGGAUUGACUUUUAGAUCAUUAGCCUUUGAUUGUUAAUGUUAGAAUUUAUAUAAUAUGUGAUGCGAGAUUAUUGCUCUUGUGUGUAUUGUAUUGCUUAUUGGUAUUUACUAGUUAUUUGUAGUUCAUUAGAGUACAUUUUGGUUUACAAAUUAUCGCUUCGCAUUGUACAUUAUUAUUCCAUCGCGCUUUAUUCGCUCAAAAAGUUACGUUUAAUAUGUUUAAGUUUUGAAAUCAUUUUAUUCAAAAGCUUCCAAGAUAGCAUAACACUCAGUGUUUGGGAUUUUCGAAAAGAUCGUAUCCUAACUUACAGGGUCUCGAUUUUUCAAUAAUUUCAAAUAUACGAACCUUUUUUCUAAACAAAAACUCAUUUACUUAAAAAUUAUCUUGGCAAUCAAGAAAAGACCAUGUUCCAGCUUACGGGAUAUGAUUUCUUCUCUGAAACUGAGAUGAUCAAAAUUUCUAAAAAUAAAUAAAUUUUGGUGUUUGUUCUUAUUUCAGGAUUUAAGAUAUUGUGUUCUAACUCACGGGAUAUAAUUUUUUUCUCGAUAAACGAGAAAUACACCCUUCUUUAAAUUUUUAAGUAAUUUUAACAAAAUGAUCAUAUUUUUAGAUUUCUUUUCGAAUUUUCGAUUUUUUGACAUUAAGACAUUAAUUAAUUGAUUAGGUACCAAUUUUGGGUGAUACGAGGGUGCUAAUCCUUCCUCGUACGUAACUGACUCCCGAACUCGUUCUUUUUAAAAUUCGUAGACUAAAACUGUUUUCAAGGUGAUCUAAUCACACCUCAAUGCAAGAUCGGUGGUGACUCCAAUCUUUUUUAAGUCGAUGACUAUUUUAUUUUUUACAAAAAAAUGGUUUCGACAGUAAGAUUUUCGAGGACGAAAAUCCCUAAAAGGGGAGAGUUGUAACAACUCGGUUUAGACUCUAAUCAGAAAGUGGUUUCGAGACUACAAAUCUUAGUCAAAAAAUAUUUUAAUAUUAUUUUCCAUGCUUAUAGUAUGUGAAUUGACAUGUGUGAAAUUUUCGUGAAUUAAUUUUAUCGUUUGUGUGCCGAUUUGUGAAAAAGGACUUUAUUGCAGAAAAUGUAAAAGUUGUGUGCCAUUUGUUAAAGUACCGAGUUGAUAUGGCUUUUUAAGUAUGAGGUCCUUAAGAUGAAAAUGGACCAUUGAAUUAAUGCAUGGGCAAGUGUGGACAUUAGUUACUAGAUUUUUAAUGUUAUAUGGCUAAGGUUAAAAUAGUAAUUGUUGUGUUAUUAUUAAUUAAAUAAAAACAAACAUGCAAAUGGUCAUUAUCAUCUUGUUUUUGCCGAAACAUAAAAGAAAAAGAAAUGUUUGAAGCUUCAUUAGGUUCGGCACUUGUUUAGCUAGAUUAAGGUAUGUUCUUUGCUUAGUUUUUGAUAAUUUUUACGUUUUUGAGAUCGUUGCUUCGUAUAUUACCUAGUCCAUGUUUUAAUUUUUAGAAUUUAUGAUUAUUUUGAGAAUUGCCAUUGAUGAGAAAUUGUUGUUUUUGUUUUUUUUAUUAUGAUAAAUAAAUAUUUGCUGAUAGAUUAUUAAAUUUUGUUAAGUAAUUUUUGAUAAAAAUUCAAAUUAGGGAUUUAUUUGUGAAAAUGAAAAAUUGAGGGGCGAAAAUUUGAAUUAAAUGAAAUAUAUGGGCUUAUAUAAGCUAUAGGGAUAUUCGGCCAAGCUAGGAUAUUUUUAAAGUAUGUGUAUUUUGUGUUUUGUGAAAUAGAGACUAAAUUGUAAAAAAUGUAAAAUGUUAGGGGCUAAAAUGCAAUUUACCCAUUUAUGAAUUUUUGGAAUAAAUUUGUAUGAAAUGUGUUAUUAAAUAGCGAAUUUGAAUUUAUAAAGAUCAAGAACAAAAGAAAACAGAAUUAGGUCGGGAAAAGUCGAAAGUGGUCGAGUAGUCAAUUCCUUCCGCUUUGUCUUCGUCUGAGAUAAGUUCGUAAGUGAAUAAAUUAUGUUAAAUCAAAUUUAUUUUUAUAUAUAUAAAUUGUUGAAUUAAAUACAACAUAGAUUGAUUAGUUACGAGAUUAAUUCGAUUGAAUUACGACAUCCGAAAGCCUUACGAAUCAAAGGAUUCCGAUAUGUGAUUUCGUGUAAAACCCACGUCUGGGACGAUGGAAUCGAUUUGAGAUUUACAUGUAAGACCAUGUCUAGGACAUUAUCAUUGUAUAUGAUUAUGUGUAAGACCCUGUCUAUGAUAGUGACAUCGUUAUUUGACUACAUGUAAGACCACAUCUGGGAGGUUGGCAUUGUUCGAGCUUUUUGAGCUAUCCGAGUAUCCUUUUGAUUCCGAAUGGUUCAACAGAAAAUGUUACGGAAAAAUCGAAUGUGAGUUUGAGUUAAAGGAUUCAGGUAUAUUUGAGUUAUAUAAAGUUUGGAAGUAAAGGUAAGUAUUGUAGUAUAACAUGAUAAUGUGAAAUAAUCGCUUAAAUAUGUUUAUAUUUAUGUGUGUUCAAGACUGGGAGUUUUCGACCUACUUGUAUGAAUUAUAUAUGUUCUUUGUUAAACUAUUUUCUUAUGACUUACUAAGCUAUUUAAGCUUACUGUGUGUUCGUUCGUUCGUUGUUUUAUAGAUUUUGGAAGUUAUUUAUGAGCCCGGGGAUCGUCAAGGAAAUCCAUCACACUAUCGAAUGCAAUUCUGGUAUUUUUUUGAAGCUUGAAUUUUGAACUUAUGGCAUGUAUAGGCUAGCAUUUGUUUUGGUUGGUCUUGAAAUUUCUAUAUGUUUAGCCAUGCGAAAAUGGCUUGAUCUUAAAGCUAAUGAUCAAUGUUUAAAUAAAUUUGGUCAUGGUAUAUGCGUGUGGUAAUUUUGAUAUAUGGAUGUGUUUUAGUUGUGGAUUUUUAAUGAUGCUAAAGAUAGUGAUAAUCGGUCAUGUGUUAGCUUAAAUCGCAAAUAUAGAUGAUGGUUUUAAUCUAAAUUAUGGUUUGGCAAUGGUAAUUUAUUCAUGUAGUUAAUUGUUUAGUUAUAUGUUAAUGUUGAAAUUGGUUGUAUUCAUUAUGUGGGAAUUAUGCUAUACUCGGAUAGUUGACAAUUUGAAAUGGUAUGAUUGCAUUAGUAAAUUGGAUAGAAAUGUUGAAUAAAGUGUAUAUGUAUAUUCGGUUAAAAUAUUAAACUCAUAUUAUUGAGUAUGUGAUAUGGUUAAAUCACGUAUUGAAGUCAUAUUGGAUGUCUGAAUACGCAGAUAAGUAAUUAGUUAUGUGUAUGUAUGUUAAGCAUGCAAAUUAGGUGUAUUUUUAGUAUAAUUGGUCUCAAAAUAAUGCUUGUUUAAAUAAGUAUAUACAAAGUGAUAUGUUUAGUAUGGGUGUUCGGAAAUGAUUCAAUUAAUGUAUGUUUAUAUGUAUAAACUUGUAAUAAGAAAAUAGGUAUGUUUUGGUCUUAUAAAUUGAUGUAUAAUUGUCUUGUAAAUAGGUCUAGAGUUGGUAAUAAUGCACACGCAAAAUUGGUUAAAGUUAGGCAAGUAGAAUGUGUAUCUAUAUACCCAUAUAUGUGUCUUGGUUACUAAUGUUUGGAUUGUUGACUAUUAUUAAUUAAAUGAGUUGUGCAUGAUUUGAGUAUUUUUUUAUAUGGUAAUUGUUAAUUGAGUAAAGGAAAGAAUAAAUGGCAUGGUGUGCACAUGAUUUUUUUUCUUGAAUGGUUCAAUUUAAUAUGGUUAUUUACGCAUGAGUAUUUUCUUAUAUUUGAUAUCCAUCUUAUGAAAUAUAUGUAUUGAAAUUUUUAUAAGCUUAAAUAGUAAAUUUUAAUAUACGAACGUUAAGUAUGUAGUACUAUUAAGCUUCAAAAUUUGAGUAAGAUUAGUGAAUUAAAAUGAUUGUUUUACGGAUCAUGAAAUGCAUUGAAUACCUAUUUUGAGCUGUGUUUUGUUCUGUAAUGCCUCUCAACCUUAUUUCGGCGACAAAUAGGGGUUAGAGGUGUUACAUAGAGAGCACCCCCCUCAUUUGUAAAUCAUCCAGUGAUCCAUUCAUCCAUUUUAUUUUUACAUUCUUUGAGAAAUUAAUACAAUUGAGAGCAUUUACUCAAACAUCUCUCGUGCAUAAGUUUUUUUGUGGCUAUUUUGUUCCUUUGAGCCUUCUUUUGAUUGUGUUGCUUCUUCUAUAUAAAUUGGUGCCUUGAAAUAAUUCUUUGUUAAUCAUCAAUUUUUUGGUGGCUAUGUUGACUUAGGCAUGUUUGGAACGAAAGGAUUGCCUAUGGAUUGCGAGACUAAAGUUCUAGCCCCCUGACACUAGUACUUUGAAGAAGAAGAAAAAUCACCCUAUGUUACUUGGAUUAUAAAGAUUCAUCAAGCAGUUCUGAAGCAACUAUGUUGCCUUUACCACUUAAGUUACUCUAUUAGAUGCAACUGACUUAGAUUAUUCAAGUAACAUUGACACUGAGUUCACUGAUGAUAUCAUAGAGACUUGCAAGCUAUGCUAGAUAAAAGGGGACCAAGUGUGCAAAGUGAAUGAGUGACUCACUAAUGAAAACUCCUUUCUAGAAUUGGAGAACCAAAAGCUAAUGAGGUAGAUUGAGGGAAAAUAUUCUUUUUUUGAAUGCCAAGUCAUCCAAAUUGGGGGUAGAAUUGAAAGAGUCAUUAAUAGCUCGAUUUGUGCUGAAGAAAUCUAUGUUUAGAAAUGAUAAGUUAGAUGAUAUAUCGGUAGCUAAUAUAAGAGACCUCGGUAAGGGUGGACUUGGUUAUGUAGACAAAGGAAAAAAAACAACAAAAACCAACUAUGUUUUUCAAAUGCAAAAGAGUUGUUGAACAACUUCAAUGUUCUAAGAAGGCUGAGAUUAUUCAGCCAAAAGGUUGUAGAAAGAAAACCCAUAAGAUUAUUUGUUACCGUUGUGGUGUUCCAUGCUAUAUUAGGCCAAGGUGUUUCAAGCUCUAGAAGAAUUUGCGAAAGAAGUGCCCAAAUGUUGCUUUUGUUACAGCUCGAGGAGAGCUUGCUAGGGGACAAAAGUAUAAGUUAAUCUAAAGAAAAAAAAGACCAAAAGUGCUUUAUUGUUUCACAUAAAUUAUUAAAACUUACCACAGGUCAUAUGUGUUACUUUCAUAGUGGAUGCUCUAGGCACAUUACUGGGAACAACAAUUGUUUAAGAAUUUUUAAGAAAAUUGUUAGAGUUGUGUGACCUAAAUUCUAAUAGAUUGCUUGAAAGUCAAGUUAAACAAAUUAUAUUUUCUUUCUAGAAUAUUUAGUAUUUAUUAGUAUAAUAUAUUUAGAAUUUAUUAGCAUAAUAUAUUAGGCAUAGAUUGGAAUUAGGUUUUUUCAACUUAUAAAUAGAUGUAGUCAAAACUCCUCUUGUAUCAUUCAAAUUCGACAUUAGUGAAUUUUCUUCUCCUCUACCUGUGAUUUUUUUCCUAAAAGGGUUUCCACGUAAAAUAUGUGUUAUAUUUUUCUUUGCGAUCUUUCUACAUUGUCAUUAUCGACGUUCAGUUUUUUAAAAAAAUCAUAAUUGUAAGGUGGCCUUUGAUAAUCGGCAAAAGGGUAGAAUUCAUGAAAAAAAGGUGUUUUGAAUGUUGAAGGAAUGCCUCAAUAACAAAAUGUGUUUCUUGUGGAAGGAUUUUGGGAAAUUCUUAUAAGCAUCAGUCAACUUUGCGACCAAGGGAUGUCUGCUUGUAAACUUCAUAAGAAAUAAAUGUUUGGUUACCAACAAGUUAAAUAAGCCAAUUAUGAAGGGUGCCAGAACACUUGAUAAUUGCUACAUAUUAAUUGAACCUUUGAAUUAUAAUUGGCGAAGAACAAAAUAUAAUAAUUUUUUUCAAAAAUAAUAUUUAAUUAAGCCUCAAAACAAUGUCCAUUAUUUGUCUAAUGAUUACAAGAGCUCAAUUUUGUUGUCAAGUAAUGAUUACAAUGAAAUAAAUCAGUUAAGAAGUAUUUGAGGAUGGAACCCACAAGAAAGUGUGUGAAUGACUUUAACUAUUGACUUGAAUCAGUAACUUACUAAAUUAUUUAUAUAAGUUAGAAGACAAUAAAGCAAGUAACUAGGAAAGGUAUGUAAGAUGAAUGCAAAGACCAUAAACAAAUAAUAAAGUGCUAUUUUUUUUAAUAGUCAAAACCAAUUUACAAAAGUAAUGGUUAAGAAUCUCCUUCAAAUAUUGGAAAUUAAUAAUCUUUGUCGAAUUAUCCCAAAUUUAGAAUCAUGGAUGUGUCUCUAAAUCUAGGCCAAGUCUUGUAAAUCACAAAUGUUACUGUCUUACCUUCCCUAAUGCCUCCAAGUGAUAUACUAUAGUUUGCCAACUUCGUUUUUGAUUUUAGGGGUCUUCAAUAUGAUGUUGUUACCUAGAAUCAAUAUUGGAUAACUUUUGAUUUAGAUUUCUAGUGUAGAGGAUGGUUGACUCUAAACUCAUUUUCCUUUAAAAUUUAUAUUAACCUUAUUUGUCAUUUAGAAUUAACGAUAUGAGCACAAAUCAAGAAAAUUAAAUUACAACCAUAUUUUUUAAAUCAAUUUUAAUCCAAUUUCUAUUAUUAAGUGAAUAACCUACAAAUCUCCCAACAACAUAAUCAAAUUAGCUCACUGUAGAUUUGCAAGUAACAUAAAAGAUUUGGAAGUAAAGUAUAAUGAAAGAAUUUGUUAUCCUAACAUCAUCAGUGAUGAAACUGCCUAACAUUUGGCUUUACCAAUAGCUCGAGCUCGACUCGAUAACUGUCGAAACAAACUCAAGUUCUAGCCAGACAUUUUCUCAAUACCUGAUGGUUACUCAAUCGAUAAAAGGCAUACACACAAAUGAGCGUUAAAUCAUUGAUGAUUCAAGUUACAAUAAACUAGUUUCCAUUUAAAUCACUGAUGGUUUACCGUGGCGUCAAAGAUUAAAACAUUUUUGGAAUUUAGUUAAUAUAAUUAGAAAAUGGGGUAAAAAGGAUAUUUAAUCAUAUAAAAUAUUAAAAAAAACACUUCUAUAAAAACAACACAAUAACAUCACCGGUGAUAAGACUGUCUAGCAUUCGACUAUAUCAAUAGCUCGAGCUCAACUCGAUAAUUUUUGAAUCAAACUUGACAUUGGGCGUCGCAUUUUCUUUAAACUCGACGCUUACUCAAUCGGUAAAAGACAUAUAUACAUUUGAAGAUUAAAUCAUCAAUGAUUCAAAUUACAAAAAGUAGUUCCAUUAAAGAAUAUUUUAGGACUUUUCAAGGAUUUUAUAAUGAUGAUUUUAGAAUUAUGAAUAAAUAUUGAUGUGAAAAAAAAUUAUGGCUAUAGAUUUUGGAAUUUUUAAAUCAUGGAAAUUUGUCGGUCAUUCAUUUAUUUAUUUUUUUGCAAGAAAGUGAAGAGCCUUCAUCAUCAUUUCUUCAUUCGCUCUCUCAAAUCCAACCAAGAAUAUUAACUAUCUAGGUUGUUUUUUUGUUAAAAUAUUGUAAAAGCACCCACUCUUAAACUUGGUUCCAUCUUCAUCUUCAUCAUUGGAAGCAAGGGUUUUCUUAAGCUAGAGAAAAAAAAAGCUGGAUUAGUGCGAGAAAGUGAAAGACAAGGUAAGAAAGUGCUGCUUGUCUUUUCCAAUAUUAUUAUUCAAUGUUACUUUUAAUAAUUUCUACACAAACAUGAUUUUGAGUAUUAUACGUGAUGUGUGUUUAUGAAGAAAAUAAGUUGAUAGUGGGUGUGUAACAUCCCAUUUUUUUAGUGGUGUUGGAAACAGUAGUUUCAAGGCCACCAAAUCCGACGAGUAAGUUCGUAAAUAUUAUUAUUUAAUAUUUACGAGUCAAAUGUAAUUUUUAAAAAUGUUUUUGAUUUGAUAAUUUAUGUUAUAUAAGUGAUUUAUUAAGUUCAAGUGGUUUUAGAAAAUAAGGUAUCCGGACCUUAUUUUUAUAAACUGAUCCGUAAAUGUUUUUAUAAAUUUUUACGGAGUGUCAUUAAGGUGGUAUUAAAGUUUCAUUAAGAAAUUUUAACGUUUCGAUGGUUAACUAAUUAAAAAGGAUCAAAUUAAAAAAGUGCAUUCCCAGGACUCCAUUCCCGUAAAUCGAACUCAUAUUUACGAAGCUAGUUGUGUAGUUAAUUAGGUUUUGAUUAAGUGAAUUUGCUUGAAUUAAAAAUAAUUAGGUAGAAAGACUAAAUUGCAUAUAGGGUGAAAGUUGAAUUAUAGAUUAAAAAAAAGUAAAAGGACUAAAGAAGCAAUUAUGUCAUUCCUUAUAAAUGAGGGGACAUUAGUGUUUAUUAUUAAAAAAUUUAAAGUUAAAAUAUAUAUUAUAAUAUUAUAAUAUUAUAAUAUUAUAUCUUAAUGUUUAAGUAUAUGUAUUAUAUAUUACAUUAUAUAAUAAUCAAACAAAGAAAUAAAAGAAAAAAGAAACAGAGAAAGAAACAAAGAAGCAAAAACAAAGCUGGACAAAAAGAAAGAAAAAAGAAAACUACGGUUUCAAAAUUUUAAGUUCAAUUAGUUAGUCAAUUUAGUCCCUUUUUCUUUUAAUUUUUAUGUUUUUGGAAUCUCGGUAUUAAAUACUACACGACCCAUGUCAAAAUUUUAGAAAUUAUUGAGUUUUUAAAUGUUGUUAAUGUUGAAUAAUUUUAGUAUUAGGUAUUAAAUUGAUAGAUUUUUAAGUUAGAAGUGAAAAAGGAUUGAAUUGUAGAAUAAAUUGUAAAUUUUGAGUAAUAGGGACUAAAUUGUGAAAAAAUCAAAAUUUAGGGAUUUAAGUGAAAUUAGAGAGUUAAAUCUAGUUUAAAGUGAAAUUGAAUGAAAAGAUAGAAUUUAUUGUGAAGAAAUAAAAUUAGUCUCAGUUUAGGGACUAAAUUAGAAUUUAGACAAAUUUUGAGUAAAAAUUGAAAUAUGCAAUAUGAAAUUGAAUUCAGUUGUAUUGAUGAUUUUUAAUUAUUUUAAUUUCGUAGCUAAUGUUGUACCGGAAUCCUCGACUAAAAAGGGCAAGAUAAAGUUGACGAGGAAUAGCUCGAAAUUUCUGGUUUGUAUUUCUAUCAUCCGAAUUUAGUUGUUAAUUGUUAUAAUUCAAUUUAAUGUAUAUGGUAAGUGUUGAGGUGAGAAUUAUUGUGUUUUGCAAUUGAAAUGGAUUGAUUUAGUAUGUGAUGAAUUUAUUGAAUUUAUAUUGAUUGAAUUGGUAUAUAUAUUGAAUAUAUUGAUUGAAUUGUUGUAAUUGAAAAGUGAAUUGAAACCCUAUUAACUGUAUCGGGCUGAGUCAGAUAUAGAUAGCAUACCAUAGGAUUGGAAGAGUUCAGGGAUUUCUUAGACUUCGAGUCGAUGAGACACUGGGUGUCAAUUUACUACUUCGGAUUAAUUCGAUCAGGCACUGGGUGCCAAUUUACUUCAGUUUAACCGAUGAGACACUGGAUGUCAAAUUAUUACUUCGAAUUAUCUGAUGAGGCAUUGGGUGCCAAACUGGUGUGUUUUGGUUGGAUCUGUGUAUUCGUCCAAGUCCGAGUCAUGUUAAUAGGGAUAAAUGAAUAAUAAAUUUUUAUAAUUGAUGUUGAAAUGGUAGAGUAUGAGAAAUGGAAGUGAAAUAGUGAAUUAAAAAUAGAAUGUGAAAUAUGUUGCAAAUAUAUGGAAUAUAUGAGUUAUAUACUCAUGAAAUGACUAUGGAAUUGAUAUUGCAAUUGUAUAAUGAAAUGUGAAAUAAAUUGUGAAAAUCUAUUUAUAUAGCAAGUAUGAGAAUUGAGAUAUUUGUGAAACAAAUGAAAUAUGAUAUGGUUGUUGUAAUAAUUAAAUAUUAAUAUGUGUUUAUAUUUCAAUUGUAUAUUUGUAAUUCAUUAUCUUUAAAUAUUCGGAUUAUAGAAAUACCACUGAGUUUAUACUCAGCGUAUGGUUUUGUUUCCCGUACACAGGUUAGGUACUUAACUUUUGAUUAUUGAUUCAACAUCCAACAACGAUCCUGAACUCAAAUGUGGUGCUGUUUAUCCUUUGUGUCGGCAUGAACCUAGGGUGUCUAAAUAAUAGUUAUUUUGUGGUUUGAUUGUAAAUAAGGUUAUAAGUUAAUUUUGGUUGGUUUUAUACAUAUAAAUAUGUGUUUGUUUUUGAAGCCAUAUUAUGGCAUGAUAAAUUGAACUAAAUCUAGAUAGGUGCAUGUGAAUUUAAUUCUAUGUUUAAGUGCUCAUGAAAUAGGCAAAUUGAUUUGGAUUUGGUAUGUUUAUAAUUUGGAUUAAAAUUAUGCUUUGAUGACUUGUUUUGAUAAUAUGAAAUGUUUGAAAUUUAUGUCUGUUUGAUCUGUAAACUCUAGUAAUGCUCCGUAACCUGGUUCCGGCGAGGGAUACUGGUUGGGGGUGUUACUGGUUGGUGGAGGUUUAAGCAAGAAAAGAGGAGUCUUGGAUUGUUGAAAAUAGAGAAGAUUUGUUAUUUUCUCUUCAAAGAAAGGCAAGUACUCAAGGAAUCAUCCUUUCCUUGUGAGAAUUAAAAUUGAUAAAUCCUUAGAGUUUAAACGAUUAGAUGUGUAAUAGGGUUUAAUAUCAAUAUUCAUUAGCAAAUAAAAUGAUUUUUGAAGUUUUAGUGUGCCUUAAUUAAUAUUGAGACAAAAAUGUACUUAAACUAUUGUAAAUGGAAGUUUUAAUGAAGUUGAUUAAUUUUUGAAGAAAAGAGUAAGUUAUGGCAUAUAAUGGACCUUUAAAUAAUUUGGUGUGCAAAUGUGGAAAAGAGGUUCAAUGCUUUCACUAGUGAUAAUAAGAAUUUGGAAAAUGAAAUUUUGAUAUAAAAUAUAAAGUGUAAUGACAAAUGGCAAUAAGGAAAUGACUAAUAACUCUUUAAGCUUUAUGAAUGUGUAUUAUGAAAUGUUGAGCAUAUGCAAAAUUUUGUGCCACAAGGUAUAAUUAUUAAAAUUAAGAAUCUCUUAUUAAACAUAAAAGUAUGAGAGUAUAUACUCUUGGAUUAAAAUAAAAAGAUUGUCUAAUGAGUUAUUAUCUAUGAAAAUGAUGUGUGAAUGUUACAUUGAGAACUAUCAAGUAACAAUAUGUUUGUAUGAGUUCCUUAAUGAAUGUGAGCAUUUGUAUGAAAUGAUAUAUAUGUGAUCAUGAAUGUGUUAUAAAUGAAAUUGAAAUAAUAAUUAAACUUUUCUCUUGUAAAUUUAGAGAAGUAGUUAGGAUACAAUUGGCACACUAAUUGAUGUCUAUGAAACCAACUAAAAAUUUGAUAAAGGCAAGUGCACCUAUCAAUUAAUAGUAUAACUACAGUAAGCAAAGGUAUUGUUGCCACAAAGACUAAAAGUACUAUUAAUUACCAUCUUUCUAUUAUUUAAGCGACAAUUUGGAGUGAUUGAUUAAAACUAAAAUUAACUAAAUUGAUUAAAACUAAAGAACACGACAUAAGAACAAAUUAGGAAAAUAAAAGAUUUAAAACCAAGAAGCGAGACAAUACCUAGGAAAGAAUUCACGUAGACUUCAUUUGUCAUUAUCAAUCUAAAUUACGCAAUUUCUUCACUUAGUAUAUUGAUUCGUAGAAAUCCCUCAAUUAUGCUAAUAUAUCUCUUCAUGACUAAGAGCAACUAACUUUAGGUUGAUUAAUUGGAAUUUAUUUUUAAUUAAAACCCCUAUUAUCGCAUUAACUCGAUCUAUGGAUCCCCCUGUUAGAUUUGACUCUAAUCAGGUAGAAUUAUGUCAUCCUAUUUCUAGGAUUACAUGCAACUCCACUCAAUUACACUAGAUUUACUCUUAAACAAGGGCUAUUCAUCAUCUGAUUUAAGCACAUCAAACAUGGAUUAAUAGUCUAGAAAUAAUAAACCAAUAAUUAAGCACACAAAAUUGAGAACAAGAUCCAAGUAUUUGUUGCGUAAAAAUAUAAAUCAAAUAACAGAAUCUAUCCUAAGGUUCAUCUCCCUAGGUAUUUGAAAAAUUAGUUAAUGGUUGCAUAUAAAAACAUCCCAAAGAUAGUAUAACCAUAAGAAAUAAAAAAAAUCAUAAUAAACUUCAAAGAAAUCAAAAGGAGAUAUUCAAUCUUGAUGAAAAUCUGCUUCAGAGUUGGCUCAAUGGUGUUUUUCGAGUUGUAUUCUUGAGUAUUCUCUAAUGGCUCACUCCUGUAUUCUUAUCUUUGUCAUAUAUAGGUCCUACAAUGCCCGAAAAAACCUAAAAAAUACGUUUUCUCGCAGGUUUAGAGUGCGAUUCGCGAUUUCCAUAUGGUCUGGCAUAUGGCCGUGUAGCUUACACGGUCGUGUGUCUAGCCUGUGUGGCUCCUAAAACUUGCUCUGAUAUUCUUAUUUUUGCUUGUUGUUCACUCCUUUUAUUCCCAAAUGCUCUCCUAAGUAUAGAAACAUGAACUUAAAGGAUUAGGAGCAUAAAAUUCACCAUUUUAAAUCAAAUAAUCAUCCAAAACUGCAUUAAGAAUGAGGCUAAAACAUGUUACUUUUGACAUUUAUCACCAAUAUAGAUUAGAUACGGAGUUUUGUUUUGGCUUGGAACUUAGUUUUGACCUGGAGUUCUAUACUUAUUGAAGUUGUGUGGGGUUCUAGAGUUAUAUAGUUAUACAUGGAGUUCUGAUGUGCUACUCAUUGAUUGGGCAUGUUAUGCGGACCACUAGGGCAUAUUUGGGGUCUAUUGGCUUUAGGAUUUGCACUUCUAUUAGCCUUUGAACCCUGCAUUCACAUACAAUUUCUAAAGCCUUUGGGCUUGGCAUUUCAAUACUCUCGGUGUUGUGGAGACUAGCACUUGGUGCUUUUUGGUUUUUGAUGAAUCAUGUGUAUCAAAGUUUCCUUUACUAGUGUGUGCUAAGGUUGUAUGCUGUAAAAAAAUGAGAAUUUAUUACGUAAUAAUAUUAUAUUAAAAUAUUUUCGUGAAAAGAAUUCUAGGAGUUAAUAUAACUCGCUAGAAUGUCCUUAAAUAUGAGUUGAUAUUGAAUCAUAAGGUUAUAUGCUAUAAUAAGAAUGAAAAUGUAAAGUGAUAGAAUAUUGAAAUAAACUAUGAAUCAUGAAAUGAAUUCCAAGGGUUCUGUAACACGCCAAACCCGACCCUAUAAUAGGAUUCAAUUAUGGUGUGUCACUACUUAAAACCAAACUAACUUUAAAACAUUUUGGUGAAAGCUUUAUAUAAUUCUUACCAAGUUAUAAGUAUAAGGCAUAUAUUAGUUGAUACUUUACCAAUGUUUGAAUGAAAACAUCAGCAGUUUAAAAAUAAUAUACAAACCAUAUGGUGUAUAAGUUCAAAUAUAAUAACUUCAUUAAACAUAAUAUAUUAAUUUAAAACCAAACAUUAGUGCUUCAUAGAAAUCUCAUAAAAAUAGAGUCUUAACAAAACAAAAGUUCUUAGUACAAAUCAUUUCCAUAUGCACUUCUAUGCCACCCCCACGAUUCAUGUAUGAUACAAAACAAAGUAGUCAACUCAUAAUAGCAGUAGCGCUCUGGCGUAGUCAUUCUAACAAAGCUUUCCUUCAAUUAACAAGCCUAAGAAGAAAAAGGUAAUAAAGUAAGUUCAUACGAACUUAGUGAGUUCUAAAGAGAAACCAUACAUAACAUUACUGACAGUAUAAUUGAACAUUUCUGAAAUAUUUACACACAUUCACAUAGUACGCCCAAUGGCAUAUACAGAAAACAGGUAGGCUCAGUACGCCAACUUACUUAUCACUUGGGCGUAUAAUGUAUGAUAGCUCAACAUAACUCAAACACAUCCAUUCUCAUGCCAGCUACAUACCCAGAAUUCAGAACCAGAAGCAUAUCAUUCAGCCUUAUUCACAUACAUUCUCCUCCUUAACUCCUCAUAUCAUUUUCAUUCAGAUCAACAUGUUUUAUUAUGAUCUGCCAAUCUGUUUUGCAAUAUAGUUGCCUUAUCAGACGCUACACAAACAUGCCUCUUCAUCUUUAUCACUUUAUAUCAGUUCAGAAGCAUAUGGUAGUGGCUUAAGCAUAAAGAAUGAUGAUUCUUUAUAUCACUGACAGACUGUACUCAGACUAAAGACUUUGGAUAACCAUUAUCCACACAACACUACAAAACAUCUUUCAUCCAUUAUAGAAAAGGAUUACUUACCUUACACGAAUUAUAAAAUAAAGAAAAUUAUAACACAUGAAAGUAUAAGGAACUCACCAGAAACUUUAACAUAAGUCUUUAUAGCAAGUCUUUUGCUUUUAUCACUUGGACCUCUGUUAACUUCUUGAGUUAAAAUAAAGAUAAUUAAAAUAUCAUAUCAUCAAUCGAUCAAAUCUGAUCAUGCAUGCAAGAAUCAACAAUGCUCAAUGCAGAAUCAUGAAGUUUCCUUCCUCACACACUAUUCUAACAUCUUUGCAUACAAAACGAGAAACACAUAAAUGACUUAAAGGGUAACCUAAGGUUCAUCAUUAAUUACUAGUAAGCUAGUACUAAUGUAGAAGUUAGUUGAAUACUACAAAGCUUACUUCGAAGAGGUUUUCUGAACUUAGGUUUUUAAAGAGUUUUCAGAGGAAAUCAAGGAAGAAAAAGAAGACGUAAAAAUAUUCAAAAAGACCACCACUACCCUUAUAUACUUAAGCUUGGAGACAAGGAUUAGUGGAAAAUUUUGAUAAUUCGAGUAACUCACUUGAUUCUCGUGAUUAACUGCACUUAACAUAGUUUAAGUCUUAUCAUCUACAGUAGUUUAGUUCCGCUCUAACUAAAUCUCAACUUAGCUAACCAAAUUACCAUACUUAAAUAAUAAACAAAUCUCAACAGGUAUUUCCCAAACAACAGAACCCGCCAAAACUAAGAGUUCGCCAAAUGGCGCAUACACAUAAUUAUAUACUUAGCCAAGAUAAAAAUUUUACGUACUCAUAUCUAUCCUUAUUCUACCAUUUAUACGCCAAACAGUAACCAGAUAUAGAGACUUUACUGAGUGGCCUGUUACAAGUUAGAAACGACUUGCUAGUAUGCCUACAUAGCUAUAAAUCAAUGUUGAAUCUUAAGGUCAUAUGAGAUUAAGGAAAUGGAGAAUAAACUUGUAGAUCAAUCUAACUAAACGAAACAUGAUUCAUGACAUGCAUAAAAAUGAGAAAUUUAACUAUUUUUAUCAUAUUUUUUAAUUAUAUUGUAAUUUGGUAAUGAAUGUGAAGUUUUAAUGUGGAUUAACCCUUGUAGCAUCUUUCAUUUGUAUCGAAUGCUGGGAUGGGUGAGGAAUGUUAGACAUUGCUAGUGUAAUUCUUGAAAACAUCGAUGAUUUUUUUUUCAUUUGUUUAAUUGCUUUUUUAACUAUAAAAAAGGUAUUGAAAAACAGAGAGAGCACCCUACCCUUAGUCUUUGAAAAUGUUGGGUGGGAAAAUGUGAUCGUAUAAACAAGCAAAAAAACAAAAAAUAAAUAAACCACUUCUCUUUUAACUACUAAAAUUAUAUUGGUUGAUAUAAUAAAAUAAAAGGGUAUUUUGUCUAUCCUAUAUUACAUCAUCUUGAAAUUAUUUUGCAAUGUGAGAAUACUGGAUGACCAGAAUGUUGACAAUUCAAAUAUCGUAGUCUUAUUCCGGAAUGUAAAUUACGGGUCAUAAAUUUACAUUUGGCCAACCAAAAGCCCCUAAAUGAUAAGUAGUUACUUUUUCAUAAUUUUUAUAUAAAAAUUCAUGAUUCUAGUUUGAAUUAUCAAUUUUUUUUUAAAAUAAUAAAUCACUAAAAAUAUUUUUUUAAUUAAUUUAAUUAUUUCAACAAAUUAUCAAAUAAAGCUUCAGCUUCGCACCUAUUUAUUCUCAAUACAAGAUCAUAGUCCAUGAUUAAGAGUUAAAUAUAAUAAUUUUAACCUCAAAUACAUAUAUAAAUCGAAUUAAAUCCAAUUUCUUUUUAUCAAUUUUGCUUUUCUUCCCUUUUUGUCCAUCUAGUUAUUUUCUAUUUUCAACUUCAGAUUAAUGGUUAUCCUCUCCUACAUGCUAGGCCAUAAUCAAAAUGUUUUGGUCUUUAUAAGUCUUCCAAUCCAAGCCCUAAAAUGUGAGCCGACAAACUCAUUUGUGGCCACAAUCCAAGUCACCCAUUUGAUUGGUUCUUUAUCAUCAUCAUCAUUAUUAUUAUUAUUAUUAUUAUUAUUAUUAUUAUUAUUUAUUUUGGCUUAAGAUUGAAACAAAAAAAUAAUAAGAUAAAUAAAAACUGUUGCUUCAUAAAAGAAAAAAAAAUUGUCAAACCAACCAAUCAUGAAUUUUCUUCAAUCCCAUUUUUCAGUAUAUUUCCCAUUAAGGAAGUAUUCCUUAUAAAGGUCUUUCUUUGUAGGCCAUCUACACAUUCAACAAGGUACUGGCACUUUAUGUAUAUUUUAUCAAUUCCUAUAUAAUUUAUUAUUUUUUUGUUUUUGUAAUAUCCUCCACAAACAUGAUUAUGAUCCUAUAAGUUUUGAAUUAAACAGUGAUUUUUUAGAGUAAUGAUAAUACUGAAAAGCCUUUGAAGAUGUUUAAUUAAUGUCACCAGUUGACACCAAGUGCCUAGCUCUAGAACUUGAGUCCAGCUAGAAUCCAAGUUGCUUUUUAAUUGGGAAACUUUUCUUUCUUUCUUUUCCCUUUCUGAUACAUAAUAUAAUAUAUUCUACAAUAAUAUAUUUGUAAUUUUCCGAUACAUGCCUUCCAACAUGUUUGCUUAAACUUAUGGUUCACUACAUCUCCCUCUGUGUUAGUUUUAGAAUGGAUAUCGCUCGCAUUCUUUUCCCUUUUAUUAAUUUUCUUUCAUUUAUUCAAUGUAUUUUUUUCUCUUUUUAAUUUGUAAAUUUAUUUUAUAGAUCUAUUUGUUAUCUUUAUAAAUUGUGAUAGACAAAUGAUAGUAUUUGUAGUUGCUAAAACUCUACCAGUCACCAGCAGUUUCUCUUGAAAAGUAGGUGACUUCUUCAUCGGCUUCUUAAUCUGUUUUUGCUUUGAGAGAAUUUCAAAAUAAUAAAUGAUUUCAUGAGUUGGUUUGGACCUGUGUUGUUUUAAGUUUUAUAUGUUUUUUAUUUUUAUUUUCCAUUGUUUAAUAAAUAUUCGCUUUUGGAUUUUUUGUUUACUCUUAUACCAUGCUUUUUAGUUUUGCUUUUGCAACUGGUUUUAGGAAUGGUUUUGUCGUCCUACUCCCUAGUUUGGUGGAUGCUCGGCUCUUUUGCUGAUUUUUGCUUGUCACUUGGACCAUCCAGAGCUGAUUUUCUUAUUGUAUUAAGUGCUUGCAAUCACUCCAAAUAUAUCGUGCUUGAGUUAUGAUAAAACCAAUUGCCAACAUGUCAUAAUAUUCUAUUGAUGUUGAGAAUGAAGCUUUUACUGUGUUGAUGGAGCUUGUCUUUUAUCGCUUACGAUGGAUGUUUAUUAUUAUUUUUCUCAAAUUAUAUGAUCCCAAAAUAAUUUAAUGAUUUUUUCGUUAAAAAAAUUAGUUCACCAAAGUUGAGUAAACAACAGUAGAAUUGUUUCCUUCAGUAGACUGAAUAAUUGCUUAUAAUGACUAUUCCUACAAUAUCUUUAUAUUAUCAUUUAAACUUUGAUAUGAGAAAAAUUGGAGUAUGUGUUUGUUUAUGCUCUUUUUACGAUGGAUUCAGUUUGAAGGUAUUCUUCGAAGAAUGUAUGUUGGGUUUGGAGAGUCUACAUUAAUCCUAAAUAAAUUUAUUAAGUUAACAGAGAAUUGAAAUUUGCAUUAAGAUGUUCUCCGAUACUAAAACUGGCAAAGAAUGUUACAAGAGAAAUUAAGAAACAAAAGCAUGUAAAAGAGAUGAAAACGUAAAGAGAUAAGUUAUAAUCUUUGAAUUAUUUCAAGGGUUGCCUGAUGCAUGUUCAUUGGUGGGCCAAUUGGUAACGUUGACAUCCUAGUCUGCCUAAUUAUCAAUUUGUAAGCUCUGGGAUUUUGGUUUCUCAUGCUCCUUUCUGACAAGUCUAUCAAUCGUUAGUAGCUGAUUCUUGUUCCAAGUGCUUGCGCCCUUGUUAACAAUCAUGCUAGUGUUGAGCUGUUGUGAACUUGAGAUUUCUUUAUGCCAUGUAUCUUUUAUUUAUGACUGAGUAUUUAAUACAUUUGCAUUCUAUUCUUUUAACUCUACAAUAAGAGUUAAAAAUUUAUUAGGUUCUAUUUUUCAUAUAUUUAUUUUUUGAAAUUUUAUUAUAUUUGUUGGAUACUUAUCAUGAUCUUAAUUCUUGUUGUAGGAUUUAAAAACUCAAUCGAUGUACCAAUUAUUUUUCCUUUAUUUAUUCAUUUGCAGUUAUCUUAAAAAUAUUCAAUAAUAUGAUGUAUAAAAACUCUUUCACCAUAUUAUUUAAUUAUAUGUAGAAUAAGACUUUAUUUAAUAUUGCUUCUUAAAUUCCUUUUUAAAAACAAGUAGCUUUUUGAGUCCUAACCAAUGUUAAACAGUUUAACUUUUUAAAUCAAUUUAGCUUUUCAAACUAGUUUUUCAAGUCAAAUAAAAAAUUGAAAAUUCUAAAUUUUGACUUUCAAAAGCCAAUUGGGUGCCAAAUUAUAAAUAUAUCUCUAAUUUAUGUAAAUUAUAAAUUGUAAAUAUAAUUCAUAUAUUCAAAAUAAAUUUUACAAAUAGUUUAUACCAAUUUAAGAAUUUAAAAUGUAUAUUUCAUAAAUAUUAAUGGAUUCUCAUAAAUCAUUUUUAUACUUUAUUGUAAUCUAGUUAAAUAUUUGUUUAUACUAAAAUGUCAUGGUGGUAAUAAAUAAUAACAAUAAUAUUAUUGUUAUUAAUAAAGACAGGAGAAAGAAAGUUACUUUGCAUUUGACACAAUUAUUCAAUAACUUAUAAAUUUUUUAUUAAUUUAUAAGAUUAUGUUUAUAUUAAUUUUAAUAUUUAAAAUGGAAUUUAUAUAUUUUUAGUUAGAUUUAUAAAUAAUUUAUAUUAAUUGCUUAAAAUUAUUUAAAAUUUAUAUUUCAUAUACAUAAUAUUAAUGCAUUUAAAUAUCAUUUAAAUUAACUUAUUCUUUUAUUACAACACCUUAUUGAAAAUGAACAAUAUAAAUUUUUACAACACUUUUUGAAACAAUGCUAAAGAUGUGAAAUCUUAAUCUCUUUUUUUUUUUAAAAUAAAAUAAAAUUUUAAUCUCUUUUUUCAAAAUUAUGCUUCUACUCUACUUUUCAAAAGUUAUGCUAAAUCGUCAAAAUGUAAAAAAAUUAUAAAAAUUCAAUUUAUUCAAAUUUAAGUGUGUGUAUAUGUGUAUAUAUAUAUAUGCACGUUAAAGUCAAGAAUCUAUAAUCUAAGGUAUUGAACAUCAACUUUCUAAACCUAAAGUGCAAGGCAGAGGCUUUAAACGAUUUGUUUAGAUUAUAUCUCUUUCGACCCCAAAAACUGAUUGUAAGUUUGAUACAUACUUAAGAUGCUUCGAAUUAACCAAAAUAUAAUCCUGAAUUCUUUUCCUCGAAAUGCGAGUUUAGGGCAGUGACACAAUAAUUGGGAAUAGCUCCUUAAUUUGCUGGCCAAUGCUCCACAUACAACACUAAUAAUUCUAUAUUCUUCGACAAUAUGUAAGUGUGGAGAAUUGACUUAUUACACAGUGCCCCCUAAUUUUGGGGCACUUGAGAUGCAAGACUCGUGAACAGUAAGUUGAUAAAGACCCUUCUCUACCAGACAACCCCCCGAUAUCACCACCCAUUUGUUAAUCGAAAAAAGCAACUGAAACUAUCCCAUUCAAGGUUAAACACCUCACUGUUCUUUUGGGUAAAUUAUCACUAUCCAUGAAAGUCAAACAAACAAACAAAAUCUCCCUAAACGAUCAAGUUAUGGGGCAAAAAAGUUUAUUUAGGGAAUUAAAAUAUCAUUAAUGUUUGUUUUAUGAUUUAUAGAAAUUUAUUUUUUUGGAGUUUGAGGAUAUCUUUUUUAACAAUAUUUGUAACACCCUAAACUCAGUUUGGACAUUAUAGUUGAAUCUGACGAUGUCAUAUGGAAGUGCGUUUGAAAACCGUAUCAUUGCUAAAACCGUUAUUCGUUUAGAACUUAUCAUAAUCUUUCAUUAAUCCUCAAAUCGUGAUUCAUUUCCAAAAUGCUAUACUUUGCGGAAGCUUUUAAAAUAGUUUGUGUGUGCGUGGCAUUUUGAUAAAACAUUCAUCUCUUUUGAAAACCCGAGUUUUACCUACUUCUAGCAUAUAUAAAUAGAAAACAGUAUAAAAUCCAAAUUUUAGGUAAAAAUCCAUAGAGGUCAUUAUUACAGAAAAAUACCCCAAAAUAAAACUUAAAAUUGUAAAUAAGUAUCAAAUAGUAAAAAGGAGUCGUGUGACCAUCGUUGAGUCCUCCGCCGCACCGAUCCGCCUAUGUCUGGGGAUUACCUAUACAGAAUAAACAGAAAGGAUGAGUUUACGUGAACUCAGUGUGUAAUCUCCAUGCAAACAAACAGACAAUAACAAAUAAUCUCAGUUUGGGCCUAAGCCCUUUUCAGUAUCAGUAAGCAGUAAGGCCUUAGCCCAUCACAGUACAGUAACAGUGACAGUUAUGCGGUUAUAAAAUCCUACCCAACCAGCCUCUACACUCCAUCUCCGUCCAACCCUACACUCCAUGUGGGGAUAUAAUCAACUCACCCAUCCCUACACUCUAAAUAGUACCGAAAGCGGCACUAGACAGUAGUUACAACUGAGCUGCUAGUAAGUUAGGCUUGAAGCUUUUCAGUACACUUCCUCUAAUCAAUAUCAAUUCCCAACCUAAUGCAAUGCAUCAUACAGACAUGUCAUGGUAUCAUUUAUAAUCAGUAUAGUGUAUAUAGCAUGCUCAACAUACAGACAUACAUAGCUAUCUUAUAUAGGCAUAUAACAGUCUUUCAAUUAUUUCAGUCAAUUAGGAGUCUAAGUAAACUUACUCACCCUACAGUAGGUUCACAGUCGACUUAGGUGACCUAUGUAACCUUAGUAGUAAAUUAGUGAAAAUGGGCCUACAAGCCCAAGUUGCAUGCCCAUGUAGGCCCACACAGCCCAAAAUGGCCUUAGUCGUGUGGAUCACACGGCCUGGCCCAAUAUUCCCACACGUUCGUGUGGUUCAUCUGUGUGGGGCCCAACGCCCGUGUGGCCCAUACAGCCCAAUUCGACUCGGCCCAUGAAUCACACAUGACAGGCCUCGUUGAUCACAUACCCAUGUUUGAUCACAUGACCUACCACACUAGCGGUCGUACACCCGUGUGGCGUCAACCAUCACAUUGUUCGGCUUUUCACCGAUUUCUAUUUCCAGAGUUGUGUUUACACACCUGCUUCGUUCGUGACGUAAAUGCACUUCCGAGAUCACCAGCACCUAUGGUCAAAAAAUAAACCCUACAAUCAGUUCUAAUUCGUAGUUAAUUCGAAACCAAAACAUUGACAAUGAUUCGUUCAAUCCAUUCGUUACUUACCUUCAAAACCAAGCAACCCCCCACUGCGAAACCGAACAAGACAGGUCACCACUCCUAGAAUUCGUCGCUGCCAAUUAUACUAAGCGAGUAACGACAAAACCACACUGCUCCAACACUAACUGAAUCACUCCAGCCCUUAACCACCAAGUACGAAAGAACAAUGGAUAUGACAAGUUGUGGUAAUAAGAAGAAGGUUAGAAAACAAGAGAAAACGACAGCAAAAAACAAAGGAGGGAAUCAACAGAACCAAGAGAAAAAUAAAAAGAAGAAAUGAGAGGGGAAAAAUAACCAAAAAUCACAGCAAUAUUCUGCACCACGAAAGAAGAACAGUUGACAGGAAAAAUUGAGAGAAAACCAAUGCCAAAGCCGAAAUUUGUCAGGAAGGUGGAGAGAAAACUGAUUUGUCAAGAAGGUGGAGAGAAAACUGACUCUUUUAUUUUCAGAAGAAAAGAAAAUUGAUUAAAUUUUGGAUAUUCUACCCCUAAAAUCCUUAAAAUUUCUCCCCCUUAUCCCUAAAUUCGCUCCCACACUUCUCCACACCCCUCAAACACUCCAAACCGUCCACACUCACCCCACUCUUUUCAAAAUUCUGACUCCACUCAAACACCUCCACGACAUCUAGCAAAAAUAUAUCAUUCGCUUGCACAGAGACUCGAACUUCUGACCCCCAACAUACGAACACACCAUUUAGCCACUAGACCGGCAGGCCCAUUCUAUCAUAUUUUACCAAUAUUUACUUAUAAGCCUACUGGUUAGAGAUAGAGGUUUAUUCAUUUAAAAACCAAAAAUUUACCCAAGUUAAUGCUUGAACUUGGGACCUCCCAAACACUCUCAGAACACAUAACCACUAAAGCUAACAAAUAUUUGUCAUAAACAUACAAAAAUAACUAUAUAAGGGACUUUUUUUGGGUGUUACAACUAUACCCCCUAAAAGAAAAUUUCGACCUCGAAAUUUUACCUGAUUAAAACAAAUGAGGAUAUUGUUACCGCAUCACAUCCUUAGGCUUCCACGUGGCCUCCUCAAAGCUAUGAUUAUGCCAAAGAACCUUAACCAGUAGGAUGAAUCUUCUUCUUAGAAUCUUUACAUCACGCUCUAGAAUCUGAACUGGCUUCCCCUCAAAGGUCAGAUCUGGCCUAACCUCGAUCUUCUCAACAUGAACAAUAUGCGUAGGAUCAGAGUGGUAGUGUCUCAACAUCGAGACGUAAAAUACAUCAUGAAUCUGAUUUAGCUCCGGAGGUAACUCCAAUUGGUAGGCAAUUGGUCCUACACGCUUUAGGAUACGAUAAGGCCUAAUAAACCUAUGGCUCGACUUACCCUUACGUCCAAAUCUCAGUACCUUCUUCCAUAGCGAGACCUUAAGAAAAACGAAGUCCCCAACCAAAUACUCAAUCUCUAGAUGCUUUAGAUCUGCAUAAGACUUCUGUCUAUCUGAUACGGCCUUUAGUCGGUCUCGAAUCAACCUAACUUUAUCCUCGAUAUCAGAAACUAACUCAAGGUCCAGAACAUGCUGCUUGCCAAACUCAGUCCAACAUUAAGGUGUGCGAUACCUACGACCAUAUAAUGGCUCAUAGGGUGUCAUCUGAAUGCUAGACUGAUGGCUGUUGUUAUACACAAAUUUUGCUAGCGACAAGUAAUCCUCGCAACUGCCUCAGAAGUCAAUCACACAACUUCUCAACAUAUCCUUCAGCAUCUGAAUCACCCUUUCUGACUGACCAUCAGUCUGAGGAUGGAACGUAGUACUGAAGUCCAAUCUUGUACCUGGAGCUUCAUGUACCUUCUUCCAAAAUUGAGAUGUGAAGCGAGGAUCCCUAUCAGAUAUUAUUGAAACUAGUACCCCAGGCAGUUUCACUAUCUCAGACACAUACAAUUUAGCCAGCUUCUGCAAAGAGUAGUUAGUACGAACUAGUAUGAAGUGGACGAAUUUGGUCAAUCGAUCCACGAUGACACACACUGAAUCCUUCUUAGUGGGUGUGAGGGGUAACCCACUAACAAAAUCCAUAGUUACACGCUCCCACUAUCAAAGCAGAAUCUUGACUAGCUGUAAUAAUCCCGAAGGUAAUUGAUGCUCAGCCUUAACCUGCUGGCAGGUCAAACAUUUACCCACAAAAUCUGUAACCUCACGCCUAAGACCUGGCCACCAGUAUAACUCACGAAGGUCUCAGUACAUCUUGUUUCCUCUAGGAUGCAUAGCAUAAGGGCUACUAUGCGCCUCUUUCAGUAUCAACUGCCUCAAUUUAGUAUCCUUCGGUACACAUAUUCUCCCAUGAAAAUAAAGUACCCCUUCGCUAUCCAGUCUAAAAUCCUCGGUAUCCCCACUCUUUACCUGUAAUGGCCUAAAUUUAAGGUUAUCGAAACAGUGGUUUCGUAACCACAAAUCUAAUUUAAAGAGAAAUUUAUUUUAAUAUUUUUGCAUGAAUAUUGAUAUGAUAGGAAAAUCGUAUGAAAAUAUCGAUAGAAAAAUUUUAUCGAUUUAGUGGUUAGUUAAAAAAGAAAUUAUUAAAGAAAUUAGGUAAAAAACAAGGUAUCAAGACCUUUAUCUCGUAAAACUGAGUGAAAAAUAUUUUUAUAAAUAUUUAUGAAAUGUUAGUAAUAUGGUAUUAAAAUUUCGUUAGAAAAUUUUAAUGUUUGGGUAGUCAAUUAAGUGAAAAGGACUAAAUUGAAAAAGGUGUAAAAGUUACUAGAAGGAUUAAAUAGAUCAAUUGUUAAAUGAGGAGGACAUAAAUUGCAAAUAAUCCCAAAAGGAGAUAUUUUGGGCGGCAUAAGCUGAGAAAAAUCAAGAGAAUUAGUGAAAUAAGGGUAAAAUGGGAAAAAAACAAAUUUUACUCACAUAAAAAUGGGACCAAAUUGGAAUAUCUAGAAUUCUCUUUAUUUUUCUGCAUUCUCAUCAGCCAAAAAUAUCCUAAGGGUUUAUUCAAGCUGGUUUUUCAUAAUUUUUGUAGUAAAUCUAGAAAAUUCAAAUACGAAGCUAGAUCGAGGAAAAAAAAAGUUCGGGAUUAGUAGAUUUUUGUUUACGAACAAGUAUCGAGGUAAGUUUGUGUAACUUGAAUUAUAUUCUUAAAUGCUUGAAAUGUUUGUUAUUGAUGUGAAUAUGAUUUGAAUGUUCAUUGUAUGAAAAUUGAAGAAACACUGAUAUAUUUGAUAAAAAGGGGAAGAAAUCUCAGUUGAAUGGAAGGAAAAUUCUAUGGAUCUCUGAAAAGGAAUUGACGGUAAAAAGGAUCUAGCCCAGAUAGGUGGUCCUAUCCUAAUAUAGCCCUAUGUGGAAAAUGGAUUUAGCCCGGACGGAUAAUUCGAAUUAGGGUCUGAAUUUAGCCUAGACUGGUGAUUCAGAUCCAAGCUCAUUACAGUAAUUGUCGUUGCAAGGGAUUUAGCCUGGACUGGUAAUCCCGACAAUACACUAUGAGUUUAUAUUACAGGAGAUUUUGCCUGGACUGAUAAUCCCGCUGUAAGGAUGAGGUUCACGGGAGUGUGCUCUCUGAAAUGGAAAUGUACGCACAUGAAUAUGAAUUGACAGACCCGGAUUUGUACAGUUAGGUGUACCACUGAAAAUCCAUCGAAAUUCCAAGAAGUUCAACGGGAUAAAUAUGAAAAAAUAACAAGGAAAUGGAAAUCAUGGAAUUGAUGAGCUCAUCAAUCAUGGUAUAAAUUAUUGAUACAUGGAAAUUGUUGGACUAAUUUGAAUGUUGAGUUUGUGCAUGAUAGGGGAAUAAUGUAUGGAAUGGGUGUAUGAAUGUUUAUUGCAUUGUAUUGAAAAUAUUAGGUAAGUAUAAUUCUUUUUACAUGAACUUACUAAGCACAAAGUGCUUACCCUAUUUCUUUUUCCCCUGUUUUGUAGUGUUAAGAGCUCGGAGGUCAGAUUCGGUCAGAGACGUAUCACACUAUCAACCUCAAGAUCUCGGUAUAUAAAGAAACUUUAUUUUGGAAAUCAAUGGCAUGUAUAAGCUAGUAAAGUAAAUGUUAAUGUAAAAUGAAUGUAUGGUUAGCCAUUGGUACGACAACAAAUUUUGGUUUUGGUAUGUGAUGAGGUUAUCUUAUGAAUAUGUUAAAUCUAUCUUGAAAAUAUGUUGAAAUGGAUUGGUUGUGUUGGAUUAGUCUCGGUUUAAAAUUGCAGGAAGGUUAGAAAUUUUUAAAGGGGUUAUAUUGAGUUCAAAAAAAAUUGUGAUUUUGCAAAAAAUUUCUUAUGGUUUCGAUUUAAUCUCGAUUUGGUCCCGAUGUAUGUUUUGGGCUUCGGAGGCCCAACCAAGGGACGUCAUGACAUGUUUCGAUAAAUGAAUAGUAUUGAACUUGUAAUAAUGGAAAAUUAAUUCGGUAAAAUCUGGUAAUGCCUCAUACCCUAUUCUGAAGACGAAUAUGGGUAGGGGGUAUUACACUACCUGUCGGAAACAAAGCCCCAACGACUCAUCCUUUAUCUGUUUACCCUUAAUCUACUCUAUCCACAUCGGUUUAACUUAAAGUUCGGCCAAUAGACUACCAUCAUCAAAUAAACUGAGGCAAGCAGACAUCGCCCUUAGGUCAAUUAUAGCUCUACGGCUUAGUGCGUCGGCGACCACAUUAGCCUUACCAGGGUGGUAUUCAAUAGUACAGUUGUAGUCCUUCAGCAGCUCAAUCCACCUACACUGCCUAAGAUUCAACUCCUUUUGAGUGAGGAGGUACUUGAGGCUCUUGUGAUCAAUGUAAAUGAUACACUUCUCACCAUACAAGUAAUGCCUUCAAAUUUUUAGUGCGAAAACCACUGCGGCCAACUCUAAGUUAUCUGUCAGAUAAUUUGCCUCAUGAGUCUUAAGCAGACGAGACGCGUACACUACCACCUUACCCUCUUACAUCAACAUACAUCCUAAAUCGAUAUGUGAUGCGUCGCUGUAAAUAGUAAAAUCCCUUCUAGACUCUAGCUGUAUUAGAAUAGGGGCUUCCGUCAGUAUAGUCUUGAGCUUCUCAAAGCUCUCUUACUGUGCGUCAGUCUAUUUAAAUAGCACACCCUUACGUAACAACUUAGUCAAGGGUGCGGCAAUCAGAGAAAACCCCUCCACAAAUCGUCGAUAAUACCCUACUAGUCCUAAAAAACUGCAGAUAUCAGAUACAGUCUUAGGCUACUCCCAAUCUAAGACAGCCUCAAUCUUUCGAGAAUCGAAUCUAAUCCCCUCAGAAGAAACCACAUGUCCCAAGAACGUCACUUCACGUAACCAGAACUCAAAUUUACUAAACUUGGCGUAUAGUUGUUUCUCUCGCAAAAUUUGUAGAACCACUCUGAGUUGUUCAUCGUGUUCGUCCUUAGUUUUUUAAUACACCAGUAUGUCGUCAAUAAAUACCAUCAUGAACUAAUCCAGAUAGGGCUGGAACACUCGGUUCAUCAGAUCCAUAAAAGUUGUCAAUGCAUUCGUCAGUCUAAAUGGAAUCACUAGGAACUCGUAGUGACCAUAGUGAGUCCUAAAUGUCGUCUUAUGCACGUCAGCCUCUAUAGCUCUCAACUGGGGAUACCCUGACUGUAGAUCAAUCUUGGAGAAAACCAAAGCACCUUAGAACUGAUCAAACAGAUCGUCUAUCCUCGGUAGGGGGUACUUAUUCUUAAAGGUCAACUUGUUCAGUUGCCGGUAAUCAAUACACAUACAUAUGGACUCAUCCUUCUUUUUCACAAACAGAACUGGUGCUCCCCACGAAGACACACUAGGGCGAAUGAACCCACGAUCCAGUAGCUCUUGAAUCUGAGCCUUAAGCUCUACGAGCUCUUUCGGUGCCAUUCUAUAAGGGGCGAUGGACACCGAAGCUGUACCAAGAAUGAGCUCAAUCCCAAACUCUACUUCACGAUUCGGAGCUAACUCAGGUAGCUCUUUAGGAAAAAUGUCUUGAAACUCCUUAGCCGUCCUAAUAUCCUUAACCGAAGCAUCCCUAAAAUCUGAAACACUGGUGUAAGCCAGAUACGCCUCACGUCCCUUACGAACCAACUUUUCGUCCCUCAGUGUAGAAAUCACAUUUGAUAAGUAGUUCCGACGUUCCACAAUUACGACUACCUCACUGUCUUCCACAGUUUUUAGUACAACCCUUUUCGUGGCACAAUCUAAGCUCACUCGGUGUUAGAUCAAAUUCCCCAAAAGGUAGUUCCAUCAGAUCAGCCAAAAAGAUAGCUCCUUGAACCUCUAGAGGAACAUCUCUAAACAGUUUGUUAACCCUUAUUGACUGCCCCAACGGAGUCAGUACAGUGACCUCACUUGUAGUGCUCUCAAUCAGAAUACCCAAGUUUUCAGAUACGGUAUAAGCUAUAUAUGAGUGAGUGGAUCCUAUAUCUAUCAGUGCAGUAUAUGGUACAUUAUAAAUAAAAAACGUACCUAAAAUGACGUUCAGAGUAUCUCCAUCCUCUCGGCGACAAGCAGCAUAAACUAGAGCCGAUUGGCUCACCUCAGUAUGCCCAGCACCUCUGCCCGGUACUCUCUGACCACGGCCCAAACCAUUACUACCUCUGACCUGGCCCCGGCCUCUUGGUGGCUGAUGAACUACUCCUGGUGGCUGUACAGUAUUAUUACCCGGAGCUUGCAUCUGAUCGGACCUCCAUGGACACUCUCUAAUACGGUGCUUUAGAGAACCACACUUCAAACAUGCCCUAGUUCUUUUCCAACACUAGCCCUGAUGGCGUCUACCACAGUCAGUACACAGCGGCUGUCCAAUAGAAGCAAUGGGAGCCUCAACUCUGAUCUACCCAUCAACUCUGGCCUUUUUCUUAGGACUUUGAACGAAACUUGUGGGCUCUGAAUCCAUCUUGUUCUUGCCUCUCUCACUAUCACGAUUCUGGCGCUCAGUGCGUUUCACUUCCUCCGCGAUCUUCGCCUUAUCAACUAGUGCAGCAAAAUCUUGCUCCCUCUGUGGAGCUAUCAGAACCCUCAAAUUAUCCUUGAGGCUGUCCUCGAAGCGAACACAUCACUCGUACUCAGUCGCCAUCAUACCACGCGUGUCGAAACUAUUUUUUAAAACAAAAAUGUUAUUGUCGACUUAAAAACGAAACGAAAAUUGGAGUCACCACCGAUCCUUUAUUGGGGUGUGAUCGGCUCACCUUAAAGACAAUUAUGGUUUGUGAAAUUUUGAAAAAAUAGUUUCGGGAGUCGGUUACGCACGAGGAAGGGUUAGCACCCUCGUAAUGCCCAAAAUUAGUACUGAAUUCUUUAAUUAAGGUCUUAAUUCCGAAUAUCAAACAUCCGUGAGGAAUUUUAAAAAUACAAUCCUCCCUUUUAUUAACGUUAAUUUUAUAAAAGAUGCUUGGAUAAAUCGAGGCGAAUGCUAAAGACCUUCUCAUCUUAGAGUAAUAAAAUGUCACACCCAAUACAUUAGGACACGACAUUUUUAGUCCUCGAGAAUAAGCUUGUCUUUUAAUUUUCAAAACUCUUACGGUGAAGUUUAAAGAGGAUAUUCAAUUGCUUUAAGUCAGAUGAAAAAUCGAAACCCAAUACGUUAGGGCACAAUUUCUCAGAAUUCCUAGCAUUGAAUAUAGCCGUUAUUAUUAUUUUUUUAAAAUCUUUAUUUCGAGAAAACAACAUGUCAUAUCCAAUACAUUAGGACACGAUGUAUCGAAUUCCUGAGAAUGAGCUUUUAUUUAUGUGUUUUGAUUAAAGAAAAUUUUCGAUUAUUUAGAUUCAACGAGGAAAAUUAGAACCCAAUACGUUAGGGCUUAAUUCUCUCGAGGAUUCCAAAUUUCUAGUAUUACGUUAUUUUAUGGAUAAAUCAAUUUUAAUGCUUAAAAUAGAAUAUAGUCAUUUGAAUAAAACGCAAUAGGAUGACAAUAUGUAUCGCGAAAGAAAAAUUCGUAAGCUAGGUGUAAGCUAAUGAAUCAACAAAGAAUCAAUAAAAUAAAAAUAAACAAUACUACAUACAUCAGGGCAACAAUCUUAUAUUACACAUUAUACAACUAUUAACAUCCAUUUUUAAAAGCUAGUAAAACCUAAAAAAAAAAAGCCAAUUAACAUAAAUGUGAAUCCAAUGUAUAAGUUUUGAAAUAACUAAGAAUGGCAUGAAAGAAAGGAAAUGAUGAAUUUACAUAUAGGUAUGCAUAGGAAAAUUUUUUAAAUAAAUAAUAUGAGCAAGAAUUUACAUAUAGGAUAAAUUGUAUAUAAAAUAAAUAAACUGUAUAUUUAUGAAUUUUAAAGCAAUAGUACAUAAUAAAUCUAACAAUGUAAUAUGUAAUAAACUUAUAUUAUCAAUAAAAUACAUUAAAAACUUUUUAAAGUAAUAAUACCUCAAAUUUAAAAGACUUAAAACAAUGAUACACAUAAAAUGUAAACUAUAUAAGAUAAAAAUGUUGAGUUUAAUUACUAAAUAAUAUUAGAUUAAAAAAUAAAUGUAUCAAAAAUAAUGAAAUGUUAAAUAAUUAAAUAAAUUAAAUGAAAUCGAGCACAAUAAGAUAGUAGGGAUUAAAUUAAACUAAAAGUAUAACUGAAGGAACAGAAUGAAAAUAUAAUAAGGCGGAGGGGCCAAAUGUGAUGUGCAAAUAACUUGGGGGACCAAGUAGGAUAUAAUUUCCGUCCCUCCAAAACGCGGUGCACGACCUGGGCCAGAAUGAAACAAAAGUAAAAUGUAGCAUGAAAUUUACAAAUAGAGAAAAAUUGAUUUGAAAACACCAUGAAAGAAAGGGGACCAAGUGCACAAAUAACCUUACCAAGACCACAAUCCGCUGAUCUUAGCCGCCUCUGGGUCGGGUCAUCGGGUAAGUAGAUUAAACGAUGUCGUUUUGAGGGCUGUUAACCCUAGUUCAAAACCACGCCGUGCGACUGUAUUAGUUAAAGUAGAAUUUUUUAGUAUUUCAGUCUGCUUAACAAAAAUAAAAAGAAAAGGCCGCCCCCUCUUCUCGUCCAUGCUAGGAUUUCAACCCUAGUUUCAUGCCACUAAAAGCUCUGCCGAUUUCAGGCCUCACAACCCUCGCCCGAACUUUGAUUUCGACGAAGUGAACAAGGUUUCGAUCAACGCUAACACUAAGGUAAAUCUUCCUUCCUUUAUUUUUAUUUUACAAAUUUCAAUAGUAAUAAACGAACAUAGAAGAAACAGAAAAGAGAAAAAAAAAAAAGAAAAAAAAUCACCUUCAGCAAACUUUUUCUUUUUGAUUUCUUUUGCUAUUUUUUUUGUAUUUUUCUGCAUCCCCUUUACAGAUUUUGUUUAAUGGCUUUAUAUAGCCAAAAAUAAAAUGAAAUAAAAAUUAAAAAUAUAUUUCGCUCUCUUUUUCUUUAUUCCCUUUCUUUUAUUUGCUGUCGAUUUCUGCUCUUCUUUGUUUGUUUUUCUUUCCUGCAGGUACGGCGUACAAAGGGUAGACAUGGUAUGUACGGAGGCACGCAUGAGGCCGAGGGAAAGCCCUGGUGGCUGCGGCGCUAGAGGCUUGCUGUUGCUGCUAGGGUUUCUGGCUGGUUGAAAAAAAUGUUUUGUGUUGGAUUAGGGUUAGGUAAUUUGGGCCUGGCGUUUGGGUUUAGUUUAUUGGGCCAUGUUGAUUUGGUCUGUAUUAUUUUUUGGGCUUGUAACUAUGGCCCUAUGGACUUUUAAUAAUUUUUUGUUUUUAUUUAUAAAAUUGGGUCGGGCAAAUUGGGUAUUACAGCUGCCCAUCUUUGCUCGGUGUUGUGUAACAAGAACGGAGCAAAGACUUUAAAAAUAGCCAAUGUCCCGGUCGUGUUGGACUUUGGUAGUCUCAUUCCAACCUACUGAAUCUUCAGAGGUAUAGGAAUUGGUGCUUCGAUCCACUCCACUGCAAUGUCGGGAAGAUAGGAUUUGUACCUUGUCGCUUCUCAAAAGAACAAAGUUUGCUAUCUUUAGCCUGUUCCACUACAACUUCAGGGAGAUAAGACUUGUAGCUUCAACUUGUUAUGCUACAACUUUAAAGAUAAGUCUGAUGCGAUCUGCUAUACCGCAACUCCAGAGAAAUAAGAUUCACUGUUGUAGCUUCAAUCUAUUUGACUGCAACGUUGGGGAAGUAAGAUUCGCCGUCUUCAAUCUGCUCCACUAUUGCUUAGGGAGACAGGAUCUACAAUCUUCAACCUAUUCCACUGCUGUUCAGGGAGAUAAGACAUACAAUCUUCCACCUAUUCCACUGUUGUUCAGGGAGCUAGGACUUACAAUCUUCCACCCAUUCCACUGCUGUUCAGGGAGCUAGGACUUACAAUCUUCCACCUAUUCCACUACUGUCCAGAGAGAUAUGACUUACAAUCUUCCACCUAUUCCACUGCUGGUCAGGGAGAUAGGACUUACAAUCUUCCACUUAUUCCACUGCUGGUCAGGGAGAUAGGAGUUGCAAUCUUCAACCUAUUUCACUACUGGUCAGGGAGAUAGGACUUACAAUCUUCAACCUAUUUCACUGCUGGUCAGGGAGAUAGGACUUACAAUCUUCAACCUAUUCCACUGCUGGUCAGAGAGAUAGGACUCACAAUCUUCAACCUAUUCCACUGCUGGCCAGGGAGAUAAGGCUUUGUGAUUUCACCGAUCUAUUCUUUGAGGAACAUGACCUGUAUAAUUCAAUUUAUGAACCUAAUUAUGCCUAGUGAUUAGGAUGUCAUGAUCAGAAUGAAUCAAAUGCUCCUAACUAGGUAUGUAUGGAUGAUGUUUGCAUGAAUGCAGAAUAUCAUUUUUUUAGAAUGAUUCUUCUUUAUCGCUCAGGUUGUCAUUGCUUGACAUUUAUUAAGGUUUUAUCACUGACGUGCUAUAACACCUUCACUCGGCUGGCAUCUCUGAAGAAACGCUUAAUCAGAUUGCCCCCAAUGUAAUCUCCAAGGUUCAAUCCACUGGGGCACAAGAUUUUCACCCUCUUUCUCUUGCUGUAACCCAAGGAUAGAAAAAUUUGGCCUUUUCUCAAUUCUUCUUCUAUCAUAAUUUAAGGAUAUAGAAUGUUAAGCUCUUUGGUCCUUUACACCAUUCCUAGGGUGUCAUACCAGAUGCCUAUGCACAAAUUAAAAAAUCUCUCCUCCAAUGAAACCCCUCUUAUUGCUUGGUGAUUAUUGCUUGCUUGUUCAUUGAGCUUUAUCACCACCACAACAUCGUCAUUUUGUUCAACCAAUGUUUUGACAAUAAAAUUCGAAGGGAUAGUCUUAAUCUAAACUUUUCCUUCUUAGAUAUUUCAACCUUUAAACUUGGCGAAUUCUAAAUAAUAGUCAUGUUUCAGGUUACUGUAUUAUUUAGAAACUUCUAGAGUAAUAUGCAAAACUUCCCUUCUGAAAGUUUUAUUAGUCCAUUAAUCAUUAUUCUAAUGCAACAUGCUUGCAAAAAGAACAAAUCGAUGGAUAAAAUAGAAAUGAUUUGAGAGCAUAGCUUGCAAUGAAUAAAUUAUCAAGAAUAUUGAGAAUAAAAGAGGAAUUAACUUGUAUCUUGAAAAAGAAUGAAGUAUUCCAAAAAUAAGCAAAUAUAAAUAGUAUAAAGACUAGAUGCCCUAGAUAUCGCAGUUUGAACUUCUCUGUACUAACUUCCUGAAGACCAUUCUGAGUUUGACAUGUGUUUAGGAGAUCUACAGUACUCUAUCGAUGCCCUAAGAUGUCGCAUACGCUUUCUGUUGAUUCAGAUAUACCAAGGUCAUCACAUACCCCUAUCUGAUCAAAGUUCGAGCUCUUCUGAUCAGCUCAUGCCCCAUUCUAAUCAAUAUUUGAGCCGCCCUUUUCAGGUUUUCAACUCAAAUCCCCUUUGGUCUCAAGGUGCCCUUUGCGUGUUUUCACCUUGGCCUCUCCAUUUUUAUUUUUCUUAUUUUUUGGACUCAAAGCGCCCUUUACGAGUUUUCACUUUGGUUUUUUUUUUUAAAAGUGACCUUUGCGGGUUUUCACCUUGGUCCCUUCCCCUUUUUAGGUAAAGUAUUUCUUGAUUGAGUCUGAGUUUACUUGAUUGGCAGGCUUUUACCAUCCAUCUAGCUCAAGAUCAGAGCUCCUCCAGAAAAGGCCCUCUUUACAACAUAAGGUCCUUCCCAAUUUGGCAUUCAUUUCCCUCUAAAAUCCUUUUGUAGAGGAAGGAUCUUUUUCAACACCAGGUCCCCCUCAUAAAAUUCUCUAGGACGAACCUUUUUGUUAUAGACUCGCAUCAUUCGCUUCCGGUACAUCUGUUCAUCAUGAAUAGCUUUUAGUCGUUUUCCUUCGAUCAGGUUCAACUGAUCAUAUCGAGAUUGGAUCCAUUCAGCCUCAUCUAACUUUAGUUCAGCUAGCACCCAAAAAGAGGGGAUCUUAACUUCAAUGGGUAAUACUACCUCCAUCCCGUAAAUUAGAGAGAAAGGCGUUGCUUCAUUAGACGUCCUAAUAGAUGUUCGAUAGGCAAUGAGAGCGAACGGUAAUUUCUCAUGCCAGUCUUUGUAAGUCUCAGUCAUUUUCCCUACAAUCUUCUUGAUAUUUUUAUUAGCUGCAUCCACUGCACCAUUCAUUUUCGGGCGAUACAGUGACGAGUUGUAGUGUCUGAUCUUGAAUUGACUGUAGACUUCCGCUAUUGUGCUAUUGUUCAAGUUUAGCGCAUUUUCAGAUACGAUUCUUUCAGGCAUUCCAUAUCGACAUAUGAUCUCUUUUUUCAAGAACUUGCUGACUGCUGAUUUCGUGACAUUAGCGUAUGAAGUAGCUUCUACCCAUUUAGUGAAAUAGUCAAUAACCACGAAGAUGAAACGAUACCCAUUAGAAGCUUUUGGCGAUAUGGGCCAGAUAACAUCCAUUCCCCACAUGAAGAAAGGCCAUGGAGAAGUCAUAACGUGAAGAGGUGACGGAGACGCGUGUAUUUUGUCUGCAUAGAUUUGGCAUUUAUGGCACUUCUUGGCAUAAUUGAUGCAAUCUCCUUCCAUGGUGGACCAAUAAUAGCCGAAUCUCAUGAUUUGUCUAGCCAUUGUAAAUCCUUUUUAUAAUUGAUGCAAUCUCCUCAUGGGACCAAUUAAUAGCCGAAUCUCAUGAUUUGUCUAGCCAUUGUAAAUCCUUUAGCAUGCGUUCCACAAAUGCCUUCAUGAACUUCUUCUAGGAUUUUCUUGGCUUCCACAUUAUUUACGCAUCUCAAUAGUACUUGGUCCUUCCUUCUUUUGUAUAAAAUCUCUUCAUCUAGGACAUAGUCAAAGGCUAGUCUCCUCAAUGCCCUUUUAUCAUUCUCCGUUGCCUGAUCAGGGUACUCAGGAUUUUUCACAUAUUGCAAUAUGUCUUGGUACCAAGGAUGACUGACAUUUUUCUCUUCCUCGAUAUUGUAGCAAUGAUCCGGAGUCUCAUAAAUGCUCAUCUGGAUAGGCUUCAUAUCUUCUAGCUUGUUCACCUUGAUAAUGGAAGCUAGAGUGGCUAAUGCAUCAGCCAUCUGGUUCUCAUCUUGUGGGAGAUAGUGGAAAGUAAUGUCAUCAAACUCUUCCGUCAAUUCGAGGACUAACUUUCGAUAACUGAUUAAUUUGAUGUCUCUCGUCUCCCAUUCACCCUUGAUUUGGUAUAUUAUUAAUGCAGAAUCCCCAUAUACCUUUAACGUCUUAAUUUUACGUUCUAUGGCUACACGGAUGCCCAUGAUGCACGCUUCAUAUUCGGCCAUAUUAUUUGUGUAAUCAAAAUCCAAUUUACUGGUAAAAGGAUAGUGGUCUCCAUUUGGGGAUAUCAGGACUGCCCCAAUCCCAGUUCCUACGACAUUUGAAGCUCCAUCAAAAUUUAGCUUCCAAGGAUGAUUUUCUUGAGAAUCCUGUUCAGCAGUUGCCACGCACAUCAAGUCUUCAUUUGGGAAAUCAAAAUCCAGAGGUUCAUAGUCUUCUAAAGCUCGGCUGGCUAAAAAAGUCCGCUAUUGCACUCCCUUUAACAACCUUCUGAUUUAUAUAGUCUAUAUCGAACUCAGAAAGAAAAAUCUGCCAUCUAGCCAUCCUCCCAUUCAACGCAGUCAACUCCAUCAUAUAUUUUAAGGGAUCUAAUCUUGAAAUUAGACAAGUUGUGUGGUAGAGCAUGUAUUGUCUCAAUCUUCGCGUCGUCCAGAUCAAGGCACAACAUAAUUUUUCAAUAGGUGAAUAUCUCAUUUCACAGUCGAUGAAUUUUUUACUAAGAUAGUAUAUCGCCUUCUCUUUCCGCCCCGUCUCAUCAUGUUGACCUAACACGCAUCCCAUAGACUUAUCAAACACCGUUAAGUAUAGGAUCAGCGGCUUAUUCGGAUUAGGCGGUGACAAUACUGGGGUACUGGACAGGUACUGCUUUACUCUGUCAAAAGCUUUUUGACAUUCUUCGUCUCAUACACCUGGGUUAUGCUUCUUCAGAAGAUGAAAUAUGGGAUCGCAUUUCUCAGUUAGUUGUGAAAUGAACAUGUAAUUUAGUCUUCCUAGGAAACCUCAAACCUUUUUUCAGUACGCGGCAGAGACAAUUCUUGUAUUGCUUUGACUUUUUCUAGGUCAAUCUCAAUCCUUUUUCACUGACUACAAACCCCAGAAGCUUUCCCAACCUAGUCCCAAAGGUACACUUGGCUGAGUUGAGUUUAAGUUGGAACUUUCUUAACCUUAGAAAUAGCUUUCCCAGGACUUGUACAUGCUCCUUCUCUGUCUGAGAUUUUACAAUCAUGUUGUCGACAUAGACAUCUAUUUCUUUAUGUAUCAUAUCAUGGAAAAGGGUCACCAUGGCUCUCUGGUAGGUAGCUCCCGCAUUUUUCAAACCAAAUGGCACCACCUUAUAACAGAAAGUUCCCCAUAGGGUUAUGAAAGUGGUCUUCGCCAUAUCUUCAGGAUGCAUCUUAAUUUGGUUAUAUCCCGAGAAAUCGUCCAUGAAGGAAAAUAAUGAGUAUCCUACCGUGUUGUCCACCAAUGUUUCGAUAUGAGGAAAGGGAAAAUUAUCUUUCAGACAGGCCUUAUUUAAAUCUCUGUAGUCUACACACAUUCGUACCUUCCCAUCUUUCUUAGGGACGGGUACGAUGUUUGCCACCCACUCUGAGUACUUAACCAUUUGUAGGAUUCCAGCAUCGAACUGCUUUUGCACUUCCUCCUUUAUUUUUAGCACAAAAUCAGGCCUCAUCCUCCGGAGUUUUUGCUGGAUUGGCUUGCAAUCAUCUCUCAUAAGAAGAUGGUGUACUACAAUAUCGGUAUUCAGACCAGGCAUGUCCUGGUAUGAACAUGCAAAAAUGUAUUUAAACUCUCGAAGUAACUCGAUGAAGCCUUGCUUCGUUUCUUCAGUUAUGUGCAUUCCCAUCUUUACUACCUUUCCUUCUUCCAGGGUCACAAUCUCCACCAUUUCCUUCUGAGGUAGGAUCUAUUUCUCCUCCUGCUCUGCUAUCCUCAACAGGUCUGGAGAUAAGUUGCUAUCUAUGUCGUCUUCAAAGUCAUGAUAUCCCUCUAAACACAUGUCUCAUUCAAAAGGAUUUUCUGAGUCCCUAGCAGAGUCACUCAUGUCAUUGAUAUUCAGGGACCUGUUACAGGUACCAAGGAGUAUACAAAGAAUGUAAAAAUUUUAAGUAUAUUUAUUUGUAUGGUAUGAUUAUAAAAUUAAUAAAAGAAUGAUUUGGAAGAAUAUGAAAGAAUCUGAAGUAAUUACUCGUAUAAAAGAAUAAAAGAGUCUUAAAGGAAAUAUCUGUUCCAAAUAACUGCAAAGAUGUACUUCAUUAAGAUAAUGAUUUUAGAACAUAAGCCUAUUUCAUAAAAGAAUUCUUAUUGUUUCUAGGCUAAAACAACAAGUGUGUUCUGAAUAUUACUCUGAGAAGGCUCUAAAGACUUCAGGUAUCUCUUCUGCAGUCCAAUUAUUUAAAACACUCCCAGGUUCAUAAGGACGGAUAUCCAACAAGGUCCCUUCUUCUUUUUUGUCUUCAUGAAUGGCGUUGAUGUGAAAAUUUUCCAAUAUCUCCUUGAUACUUUCUUCUACCGGUAUCCUUCUCUGAAGAUGAAUAAUCCCUCCUGAUACAAAAGUCUUGGAUAUAUGAGGAAAAGUCAUAGGCUGCCAUUUGACCUCAUCCCCUCAAGCGUGCCCUUCUUCUUUCUCGUCUAUUUUCUAACUCUUUCUUCUUUUGUCCCAUAUUCGGCUUGUUGCCUAAGACAUCUCCCCAAUCCUCUUCCGGGUAAGGCUCCUUUCCCCAUCAACAAUUGUAACCCCAUCUUCGUGGUCUUAGAUAUUUUCGGCACUGGAAUUUUAUUCCCUUCAGAAAUAAAUGUUGCAUUUAUAAACUCUAAAGAUCGAAAAGAGCAUUCGACUGCCUCGUCAUUAGCUUCCACGUAUAGCGCAUCGUUGGCUACAACUUCUAUGAUGUCUUCUUCAGCAUUUAUUGUUACCAGCCGACCUUUUGACACUAGCUUCAACUUCUGAUGUAAUGAUGAUGGUACAGCCCCUGCCGAAUGUAUCCAUAGCCUCCCCAAUAAGCAAUUGUAGGAAGGUUUGAUAUCCAUUACAAGGAAAUCCACUUCGUAGAUAGUUGGACCAAUCAAUAAAGGUAUAUCGAUUCUUCCCAUGACCCUUCUUUCUGUGCCAUCAAAUAUCUUCACUAUAUUCUGGCAUAUCUUCAUGUGCGAGCUAUCCACAAGCAGCCUAUUAAGUGUAGAUAGGGGCAAGACAUUCAAUGUUGAUCCGUUGUUAAUCAAUACUCCUAGCAAGGUCUACCCCUUACAUCGAGUAGUAAUGUGCAAAGCUUUAAUAGACCCCAUACCCUCGGGUGAUAUUUCGUCAUCAUUAAAGAAGAUAAAGUUAUCGACGCUUAUGUUGUUGACUAGCCGAUCUAAUUUGUUGACUGAAAUAUCAUUGGCCACGUAUGUUUCAUUUAGUAACUUCAUCAAUGCACUUCUGUGUACUUCUGAGCUCAAAAGUAAAGCUAGUACAGAUAUGCGAGCUGGUUGUUUAUGCAACUGCUCCACAACACUAUACUCGAUGUGCUUCAAAAAUUUCAGCAACUCCUUAGCUUCCUCCUUUUUUAUUGGCUCAUUGAUCACGGUUCAGGCGUGACUACUUUUUCUUUCUUUUGCUAUUCUGUUGAAGCUUUUCCUUUCAUUGAUUCUAUUCGGGGGCUUACCAAAUUGUAGCGCUUUCCACUACGUGUAUGAGAACCUAUACCCUGAUCCCCUUCUACAAUAGCAGCUGAAGUCUCCUUUCCUGGAAUGGUUGUGUUGCAUUUAUAGUUCCACGGGACUUUCUAGCUAUCCUUGUAAGAGAAGGUUGCAGGUUUCUGAAUGAUGCUCUUCGGCAUUAUACAUGCUCUAGAUUCACUAUUCUUAGGUCGUGAAAUGAUGACCACAGGACAAUUAGCCUUUGGAACUCCCAACGUUGAUUUUGAUGUGCAUAUGUUUCCCUCCUCUUGAACUUCUUCAUAGAACUCCAUCUCUUUAUUAUCUAUCAAGCCUUGGACCAAAGUUUUGAAUUCUGUACACUCCUAGAUCUCGUGUCCUAUCUCCUGAUGGAACUCAUAGUAGUUCUCCUUUUGUUCAUAACUUUUUUUUGAAUCUAAAAUGAUCAACCCCUUUUUUCCAUCUCAUUCCAAACCCAUCUCAGAGGGGUUCUUACCUCUACAAUGUCUACCUUAAUUUUUCUCCCCAUGUUUCCACUCAUCAUGUUCACCUCAUUAUUAGCAUGAUUAGGUAAUGAAUUUUCUACAUUGGGCGAAUCAUCAAGCUUGACAACGCCCAUACCAAUCAGCUUUUCAACCAGCUUUUUAAAGGCUAUGUAAUUUUCUAUGGAAUGCCCCAUAAUCCCCGCAUGAUAGUCGCACUGCGUAUUUGCGUCGUACCAAUUAGGGUAUGGCGAUUGUCAGGAUUUCAAGUAGUAAGGGGAAACUACGUGCGCAUCAAAUAAUCGUUGAUACAACUCCUUAUACAAUAUUGGGAUUGGCGUGAACUGGAGCUUAUCAGUGUUUUGCCUUGUUCUGGAUUCUUGUCCUGAUGAACCUUGCUGAUUAGCAGUCACCUUCCUCGACUGAUUCACCGUAAUCGAUUUUGAGUAACCCUUGUUAUAUGUACUCGUGUUGUUCACCUCAUUCUCUUUUUUCUUUGAGGCUGAUGUUCGGUUACUUUCUCCAGCGUUAAUCUUCCCACACCUGAUGGCAUUUUCAAUUAUUUCACCAUUCAUGACUAUGUCAGAAAAACUUUUGGUGGCACUUCCUAACAUGUGUGUGAUAAACGGGGCUUUCAAGGUGUUAAUGAAGAGCAUCAUCGUCUCUUUUUCCAGGAGGGGUGGCUAAACUUGGACUGCAACCUCCUUCCACCUCUGUGCAUACUACCUAAAACUUUCACUUGGCUUCUUUUCCAUGUUUUCCAAGGUGGUUCUAUCAAGAACCAUGUCUGUUACAUGACUGUACUGCUUCAUGAAUACUUGUGUUAAAUCUUUCCACGAACUAAUCCUCGUACGGCUUAAUUGAUUGUACCAUUUAGACGCUGCUCCUGUAAAGCUAUCCUGAAAGCAAUGUAUUAGCAGUUUUUCAUUGUGAAUAUACCUCGUCAUCCACCUAUAGAACAUGGUGAUAUGAGCCUCGGGGCAACUGGUCCUAUUGUAUUUCUUAAAUUCUCGCAUUUUGAACUUAUAAGGGAGUACCAAAUCCGGGACCAAGCUCAAAGCUUUACCGUCUAUCCCAAGGCAAUUCUCAAUGCUUUCCAUUGCCCUGAAUUUUUCCUCAAGCCACUUACACCUUUCUUCUAGCUGUUUUGGCAAUUCUACCAUUGUUUUUCCUUUUUCAGCCACUUCGUCGAAAUCACGGACGGUGAGGUUAAUAGGGUUAUCUCUGGGGUUAGAGCCUGAUCCAGAUUGAAAGUUCGUUGAGUCACCGGCUUGAAACUGCUGAGACUUGAUUGUGACAGAGGAUUUGCGUGGGUGUACCUCAGCUUGGGUCUGUCCGUGUGAAGGGGUAAAGCCAGGAGGAUAGAGAGGUUCGUCAUUGUCUCCUUCUUCAGCAUUAGCCAUAGGGCUCUUUCCUUUAUCGUUUCCCCCUGUCAAUAGUUGAGUCAAUCGAUUCAUCAUGUCUCUUUGGGACUCCUGAAUUUCAUAUGUAAUAUCUUGCUAAACUUUAGCUAGCUGCUCUCGCACUUACAGCUGAAUUUGGUCUUGCAUCUCCUUCUGAAACUAUUCCAGUCUUUCCAAUCUUUGGUCCAUGUUUCUUGACUUUGCACGAGUGCCGUACGGGUGUUUGGUUGAUUGGUUUUCUAGAUUAACUGUAAUGAUUUUAAUCGGUCAGGAUCUUUCGGUGGACUUUAGUGCAUAUGAUGUAAUGUAAUGCAAAUGUAUGAAUGCAAAACUUUACUAGAAAACAAAAUUAUUUACAUAAAACAAAUUACAUAUAUGGUUUUUCCCUAACGCUCAGAACUUUAAUUUUCCUAAGUAACGAAGCUAACUCUUGUCCCCAGCUUGAUUCCAGCUUAUACUUUACGCUCAGUGCAUCGGCUUGUACUGCCAAAGUCUGCAGGUGAUCAGCUACCUCUCGAAUUUGAACCACAGCUUCUCCCAUAACACGAUAUCUGUUUUUAACUUGAUUCUAAAGAUGGUGAAGUUGCUCACUCUGACAACUUUUAUUGGUUUCCAAGUACUCAAUCUAGAUCUCACAAUUUCGCAAUGCCGAUUCCAACUCUUCUAUUCUUUCUUUCAUUUCUUCGAUCUUGCUCAAGCUCGCUCUCAAUUCCACCAUAGAAUUUCGACUUUGAUACUGAUGAAGAGAUCUUUCUAACUCAGCCACUCUAUCUUUUAGUUCACACUUUUCCUUUUGAUUCUCUGACAAACCCUUCUCUAAAGCCUCAUUCCGUGUCUGAACCUCUCAAAAUUUCCUUUCCCAUCCAUCAGCCUUGAUUUUUUUUUCCCGAAUCUUUUAACGCCACUGUUCUGAAGUUUUCCCCAGCCCCGCGGUCCUUAUUGAUAACCUCAACUUCUUAUAAUCUGUUUUCAAACUGUCCAGAUCUCCCUCGGCUUUGUUCUUACCUUUUCUUAAUUUCUCAGUCUCUAACUUUUCAACAUCCAUAUCUAAUCCCAGGUGCAUCUUUUCUUCCUCCAACUGCUCGAUCUUCUUUUCAAGCUCUGCAUUCUUUUUCUCAAAAUCUUGCUUUAUAAUUUCCAAUUCAGAGGGAACAACCCGCAAAUGUUCUUCUAUCGACUGACUGUCUCCUUGACUUGGCCCUGGGAUAUUAUCAUUGAUUCUUCUAACCCACCAUCCAUUAUAUUCAGGAGUCGUCACUAGGCCUAUGGCUAAUCUCUUCAUCCGACGAUUUUGGUCCCAUGCAUUGGUUAUCUCUCGAAUGUUAUUUUUAUAGCCAUUGUCUUUAUAUGAGAAUUCAAACUCAGCUAAACCUUGGGUUGCAGGUAUAAACUGCCUUGACCUAUACUGUCUUAGCACCAUCAAUAGAGCAUAACCAACAGCUCCCUAGAUUCCAAGUAAUGGGACCCAAUCAAAAUUACCACAUCGGUACAAGAGCUCAUCCCGGAGUAACCACGGGGCUCUCUACUCGAUGUCCUCCUCAUGAAGAUUCUAAAAAAUGGCCAACCAUUUCUCCUCCAAGAUGCCAUCUCUCCUUGGUAUAACGGCUAUCUCUUUUAGUGGCGAAUAACUUUCAGAGAAGACUCGAUACAAAACCUUAUCAAUUUUUCAAAAAUGACUGUGGAACCAUGCAAGUAGAAGCUGCACACAUCCGAUGAAUCUGCCUUCACCUGCCCUUUGAUAUGCAUUUAGUGACCUGACGGUUUUUGCCAAAAUUGCCAGAACUGGUGUAACCCUCUUAUCAAGUCGAUCAAAGAGAUCUGAGGUUGCCUCAUCUACGUGCCCUAGUGCCUUAGGAAAAAUUACUAGCCCAUAAAUGCUCAAAGCAAAGACAUCGACCUUUUUCCUCGAAUCAGGGUGUGCCAAAAUCAGCUCCUGCAGGCUUUUCCAAGGAAUACAUUUGCUUUCCCCCUUCUGCUUGAUCCGUGCUGUGACCCACUGCUCACUCAUUCCGGUGAUAUUCAUCAAUUUCUUUACAAAGGUUGGGAUAUUAAUGGCUCUAGAGUAGACUUUAUCAACUUGGAUCUUUGGGCAACGUAGCAAAGCUGUAUAUUCUUCUAUAGUGGGCACUAAAUCAACCCUUCCAAAGGUAAAGCAAUUAUAUGCGGGGUUCCAAUACUGAGCGAAGGCCCAGAACAAAUGUUCGUCUACCUUAAUGUUGAGUAGAUACGAUAAAUCCCCAUAAAUGUAGUUGAAAAUUUGCUUAGUUUCGUCAUUUCGAUGAUCUCAUAUUACCUUUAAUUCCUGAAGGAUAUUUUGCGUUACACUGAUACAGGUGUAAUCCCACAACUCUGACGUGUAUCCCCCGGCUAGACUAUAUCAUUUUUCUAAUUGUGUUUUCUCUUACCACAUACGGACAGCAGCAUUGUCCUCCACUUUAUCAAGAAAUCUGUUCUUCAUGCCAAGCUUUCUAAUUUAUUAAUCGAACUUGAAUCGACACUCUUUUGAAUAUGAAAUGACAUGCAAACAUAGCAAAAACACCAUAAGUUAGUGCAAGAUACAAAAACACAACAUCAAGUAAGUAAAAAAAAUCAAACACCUAUCUGGUAACCGCUAGGGUUUCCGCAGUACGAUCAAGGGUGGUCUCCUAAUGUUUUCUAUAUGCAGUUCGGUUCUAAAGUUGAGGUACUCGAACUAACAGAUUCCUCAAUCCUCACUCAUUAUAGGCUCAUACGGACCGAGUUCAGUUCAGGGAAUACAUUUCCCUAUGGCUAUAUGGAGAUGAAAAUCUCACGAAGACAUAGGUACGGAUGUAUCCCGGAAGCGGUCUACUAUCCUGCAUGGAGGUGAAAACCUCACGAAGGACUAGUUUCUCACUCCCACUUAAAAGGGUAAGACUAAACAAUUUUUAUGCAAAAUUAUGCCAAGAUAUAAAACUCAAUUUACAGUAAUCAUACCGCACACAAAUACAAUGAGAGGAUCGUAAUUUUUCAAAUCAAAUUUUCAAUUUUCAAUAAUAAGACAAAAAAACAAUCAAUUUUACAGCUUGACUCUCUUAAUGGUCCCCAGUAGAGUCACCAAGCUGUCGAAACCAUUUUUUAAAACACAAAUGUUAUUGUCGACUUAAAAACAAAACGAAAAUUGGAGUCGCCACUGAUCCUUUAUUGGGGGUGUGAUCGGCUCACCUUAAAGACAAUUCUAGUUUGCGAAAUUUUGAGAAAACAAGUUUGGGAGUCGGUUACGCACGAGGAAGGGUUAGCACCCUCGUAACGCCUAAAAUUGGUACCGAAUUGAUUAAUUAAGGUCUUAAUUCCGAAUAUCAAAAAUCCAUGAGGAAUUUUAAAAAUACAAUCCUCCCUUUUAUUAACAUUAAUUUUAUAAAAGAUGCUUCGAUAAAUCGAGGCAAAUGCUAAAGACCAUCUCAUCUCAGAGUAACAAAAUGUCACACCCAAUACAUUAGGACACGACAUUAUUUUUCCUCGAGAAUAAGCUUAUCUUUUAAUUUUCAAAACUCUUGCGGUGAAGUUUAAAGAGGAUAUUCAAUUGCUUUAAGUCAGAUGAAAAAUUGAAACCCAAUACGUUCGGGCACAAUUUCUCAAAAUUCCUAGCAUUGAAUAUAGCCAUUAUUUUUUUUUAAAUCUUCAUUUCGAGAAAACGACAUGUCAUAUCCAAUACAUUAGGACACGACGUAUCGAAUUCCCGAGAAUGAGAUUUUAUUUAUGUGUUUUGAUUAAAGAAAAUUUUUGAUUAUUUAGAUUCAACGAGGAAAAUUGGAACCCAAUACAUUAGGGCUCAAUUCUCUCGAGAAUUCCAAAUUUCGAGUAUUGCUUUAUUUUAUGGAUAAAUCAAUUUUAAUGCUUAAAAUAGAAUAUAGUCAUUUGAAUAAAACGCAAUAGGAUGACAAUAUGUAUCGCGAAAGAAAAAUUCGUAAGCUAGGUGUAAGCUAAUGAAUCAACAAAGAAUCAAUAAAAUACAAAUAAACAAUACUACAUACAUCAAGGAAACAAUCUUAUAUUACACAUUAUGCAACUAUUAACAUCCAUUUUUAAAAGCUAGUAAAACCUAAAAAAAAAGCCAAUUAACAUAAAUGCGAAUCCAAUGUAGAAGUUUUGAAAUAACUAAGAAUGGCAUGAAAGAAAGGAAAUGAUGAAUUAAUAAAGUAUGCAUACGAAAAUUUUUUAAAUAAAUAAUAUGAGCAAGAAUUUACAUAUAGGAUAAAUUGUAUAUAAAAUAAAUAAAAUGUGUAUAUAUGAAUUUUAAAGCAAUAGUACUUAAUAAAUCUAACAAUGUAAUAUGCAAUAAACUUAUAUUAUCAAUAAAAUACAUUAAAAACUUUUUAAAGUAAUAAUACCUCAAAUUUAAAAGACUUAAAACAAUGAUACACAUAAAAUGUAAACUACAUAAGAUAAAAAUGUUAAGUUUAAUUACUAAAUAAUAUUAGAUUAAAAAAUAAAUGUAUCAAAAAUAAUGAAAUGUUAAAUAAUUAAAUAAAUUAAAUGAGAUCGAGCACAUCAACAUAGUAGGGAUUAAAUUAAACUAAAAGUAUAACUGAAAGAAUAGAAUGAAAAUAUAAUAAGGCGGAGGGGCCAAAUGCGAUGCACAAAUAACUUGGGGGACCAUGUGGGAACUAAUUCCCGUCCCUCCAAAACGAGGCGCACAACCUGGGCCAAAAUGAAACAAAAGCAAAAUGUAGCAUGAAAUUUACAAAUAGAGAAAAACUGAUUUGAAAACACCACGAAAGAAUGGGGACCAAAUGCAAAAAUAACCCUACCAAGACCACAAUGCGUGGAUCUUAGCCGCCUCUGGGUCGGGUCAUCGGGAAAGUAGAUUAAACAGUGCCGUUUUGAGGGCUGUUAACCCUAGUUCAAAACGACGCCGUGCGACUAUAUUUUUUAAACUAGAAUUUUUUAAUAUUUCAGUCUGCUUAAUAAAAAUAAAAAGAAAAGGCCGCCCCUUCCUCUCGUCUAUGCUAGGGUUUCAACCCUAGUUUCACACCACCAAAUUCUAAGCCGAUUUUCAGCCUCACAACCCUCGCCCGAACUUCGAUUGCGAUGAAGUGAACAAGGUUUCGAUCUACGCUAACACUAAGGUAAAUCUUCCUUCCCUUAUUUUUAUUUUACAAAUGUCAAUAGUAAUAAACGAACAUCGAAGAAACAGAAAAGAGAGAAAAAAGAAAAAAAAUCACCUUCAGCAAACGUUUUCUUUUUUAUUUCUUUUGCUAUUUUUUGUAUUUGUCUGCGGCCCAUUUACUGAUUCUGUUUAAUGGCUUUAUAUAGCCGAAAAUAAAAUGAAAUAAAAAUUACAAAUAUAUUUUGCUCUCUUUUUUUUAUUCCUUUUCUUUUAUUUGCUGUUGAUUUCUGCUCUUCUUUGUUUGUUUGUCUUUCUUGCAGGUACGACGUACGAAGGGUAGACGUGGUAUGUACGGAGGUGUGCGUGAGGCCGAUGGAAAGCCCUAGUGGCUGCGGCGCUAGAGGCUCGUUGUUGCUGCUAGGAUUUUUGGCUGGUUGAAAAAAAUGUUUUGUGUUGGGUUAGGGGUAGGUCAUUUGGGUCUGGCGUUUGGGUUUAGUUUACUGGGCCAUGUUGAUUUGGUCUGUAUUAUUUUCUGGGCUUGUAACUAUGGCCUGAUGGACUUUUAAUAAUUUUUUUGUUUUUAUUUAUAAAAUUGGGCCGAGCAAAUUGGGUAUUACAACGCGCAUAGUGGCUCAGUCGUAAAAACUUGGCAUCAUACUGGGCCACUGAUCUGUCUCCCUGAGUCAGAUUUAGGAACUCCUUCCUACAAGCAUCCACAUAACUAGUCUCCGCAUACUUCCCACGAAAUGCGGUCCUAAAGAACUCCCAAGACAGUCGGUCGGGCUGAUUGCCCUCCUUAACAGUGAGCCACCACCGAUACGCCUCAUCACGUAGUAGUGAUACAACACCCUUUAACUUCUGCUUAGGAGUGCAGUUCAGGUCGUCCAUAAUCUUCUCUGUGGCCUCAAUCCAGUAUUCUACCACAUUAGAGGCAACUCCAAUACCCUUCAAAAGCUCAGCUCCGUUAGACUGUAGUCGUUUUGUAACCGACCCGCGACCUUCAGCUCUCGUAUUGGGGCCAUCGAACCUUUCUAGAAUCCUUAACAUGGCUUGGGACAGUGCAUCGUCCCCAGCCACUCGAUCAUGAGACUCAGUCUCAGUCACAAGUGAAGCUAAUGUCUCACUUGUAUCCAAAUUAGGCAAGUUGCCAGAAAAUGAGGACUCAGCUCGAGCACCUUUACGGCUUUUCCACGGCCUCUUAUAUCCCAUCCGUAAGUACCUCUUGUGCUCAUUGUCUAUUCGUGUUAAUCUGUAUUAACAAUUUUAUGCAUCAGUUUACAAUUUUAAUAAUUUUUAAUAGAUAUCUUAUGAGAGGCAAUAUCCAAAGUGUAAAGUUUGUAUUCGCCCAACGAAGUGUCUAUCAGUGUCUAUCGAUUUUACUACAGUAUUAGUAUAUACUAACUUGAGUGUUUUAAGUACAGUCUAUCGAAAGUAGUCUUGGUACAUACUGCCUAUACCAUUUUCAAUUUUAUAAGCAGAUAUAAAUUUAGAGGACUUAUAGGAUCGGCGCUGGAGACCUGAUGUGCCACACAUUUAAUAAAAAUGUUUCACGUCCUUUAAAAAUUAGUUCUCUGAGAAUCGAAUCUUAAAAACCCAAAUCCAAAAUAGAAUUUUGCAACCUAGCUCUAAUACCACUAAAUGUAACACCCUAAACCCGGCCUGGAUGUUAUGGCCGAAUCUGGCAAUGUCACAUGAAGUGUGUUUGAAAGCCGUAUCAUUGCUAAAACCGUUAUUCAUUUAAAACUUAUCAUUAUGUUUCAUUUAUCCUCAAAUCGUGAUUCAUUUCCAAAAUGUUAUACUUUACGGAAGCAUUUAAAAUAGUUUGCGUGUGCGUGGCAUUUUGAUAAAACAUUCAUCUCUUUUGAAAACCCAAUUUUUACCUACUUCUAGGAGAUAUAAACAGAAAAUAGUAUAAAAUCUAAAUUUUAGGUAAAAAUCCAUAGAGGCCAUUAUUAUAGAAAAAUACCCCAAAAUAAAACUUAAAAUCGUAAACAAGUAUCAAAUAGCGAAAAGGAGUAGUGUGGCCACCGCUGAGUCUUCUGCCGCACCGAUCCGCCUAUGUCUGGGGAUUAACUGUACAACUUAAACAGAAAGGGUGAGUUUACGUGAACUCAGUGUGUAAUUCCCAUGCAAACAAACAGACAAUAACAGAUAAUCUCAGUCUGGGCCUAAGCCCUUUUCAGUAUCAGUAAGCAUUAGGGUCUUAACCCAUCAUAGUACAAUAACAGUGACAGUUAUACGGUUAUAAAAUCCUACCCAACCAGCCUCUACACUCUAUCUCCAUCCAACCCUACACUCCAUGUGGGGAUAUAAUCAACCCACCCAUCCCUACACUCCAAAUAGUACUGAAUGUGGCACUAGACAGUAGUUGCAGCUGAGCUGCCAGUAAGUUAGGCUUGAAGCCUUUCAGUACACUUCCUUCAAUCAAUAUCAAUUCCCAACCCAAUGCAAUGCAUCAUACAGACAUGUCAUGGUAUCAUGUAUAAUCAGUAUAGUGUAUAUAGCAUGCUCAACAUACAGACGUACAUAUUUAUCUUAUAUAGGCAUAUAAUAGUCUUUCAAUCAUUUCAGUCAAUUAGGGGUCUAAGUAAAUUUACCCACCCUAUAGUAGGUUCACAGUCAACUUGGGCAACCCGUGUAACCUUAGCAGUCAAUCAGUGAAAAUGGCCCACAGGCCCAUGUUCCAUGCCCAUGUAGGCCUACACGCUCUUGUGGUCCACACGGCCCAAAAUAGCCUUGCUGGCCUAAUAUUCCUACACGUCCAUAUGGUUCAUCUGUAUGGGGCCCAACGCCCGUGUGGCCCAUACGGCCCAAUUCGGCUCGGUCCAUAAAUCGUACAUGGCUGGCCUUAUUUAUCACAUGCCCGUGUUCGAUCACUCGGCCUACCACACGAGCGACCACACACCCGUGUGGCGUCGACCAUCACAUUCUUCGACUUUUCGCCGGUUUCCAUUUUCAGAGUUGUGUUUACACCCCUAGUUUGUUCAUGAUGUAAAUGUACUUCUGAGAUCACCAGCACCUAUGGUCGACAAAAGAGCCCCACAAUCAGUCCUAAUUCGUAGUUAAUUUGAAACCAAAAUAUUGACAAUGAUUCGUUCAACCCAUUCGUUACUUACCUUCAAAACCAAGCAACCCCCCACUGCGAAACCGAACAAGACAGGUCACCACUCCCUCAACUCGCCACUGCCAAUUCUACUAAGCGAGUAACAGCAGGACUACACUACUCCAACACUAACCGAAUCGUUCUAGCCCUUAAUCACCAAUGCACGAAAGCACAAUGGAGAUGGCAAGUUGUGGCAACAAGAAGAAGGUUAGGAACCAACAGAAAUCGACAGUAAAAAGGAAAGGAGGGAUUGACAGAACUAAGAGAAAAAUAAAAAUAAAAAAGGAGAGGAGAAAAUAAAAUAGCUAAAAAUCACAACAAUAUUCGACACCAUAAAAGAAAAACAGUCGAUAGGAAAAAUUGAGAGAAACCAAUGCCAAAAUUGAAAUUUGUCAGAAAGAUGGAGAGAAAACUCACUCUUUUUUUCAGAAGAAAAGAAAAAUGAUUAGAUUUUGGAUAUUCUCCCCCUAAAAUCCCUAAAUUUUCUCCCCAUUAUCCCUAAAUUCACUCCCACAGUUCUCCACACCCAUCAAACACUCCAAAUCGUCCACACUCACCCCACUCUCUUCAAAAUUUUAACUCUACUCAAACACCUCCAUGGCAUCUAGCAAAAAUAAAUCCUUUACUCGCACAGAGACUUGAACUCCUGACCCCCAACAUACUAACACACCACUUAGCCACCAAACCAGCAAGCCCAUUCUAUCAUAUUUUAUCAACAUUUACUUAUAAGCCUACUAGUUAAAAAUAGUGGUUUAUUCAUUUAAAAACUAAAAAUUUGCCCAAGCUAAUGCUUGAACUUGGGACCGCCCAAACACUCCUAGAACACAUAACCACUAAAGCUGACAGAUAAUUGUGUCAUAAACAUACAAAAAUAACUAUAUAAGGGAUUUUUUUUGGGGUGUUACAAUGUUAUCUUGUAGAUUUGAAUAUGAGUUUUUUUUUUAAUAGUGUAAUGCUCUUUCAACAAUUAGACUUGUUUAAUUGCUGAAACUCAUCAAGGUGACUAUAAGUUAGCGCUGAAAGCGUAAGAAAACAACCAAUGGAGACAAAAGACAAAGCAUCCACUUUUGAAAUUUUCCUUCAAGGUCGGUAAAGUACUUUGAAAACAUACCCCACCAAUUUAUAAAGGUAGUGUUGUUCCAGAGUCUGAAUAGUUUUAUCAGUCAUAUUCUUAAAAUCCUUUUGAUCAGUAAUAUAAAAAUAGGAAUAUUUAUGGAGUUAAUGUAAAAAUAUAUUGAAGAAUGGUCAAGUAAUCUGGCCGAUAAAAAUAUAUAGGAAAUAAAAAAUGGAUUUAUUAGGGAUCAUUCAUCUCAUGACAUUGUGUGAUAACGUAUGAUAUUGAUUUGUUAUAUAAAAUACUUUUAUAGACCAAGAAUUGGACCAAACUGGUGCUAAUUAGGGAAAAGCAAAAUUUAUAGAUUAGCCCCUGAAGAAAUCUACCUGUUUUGUGUUUUGAAAAGGUAAGUUCAUAUGAAACUUACUACCUUUCCUUGUGUUAUAUGUGUACUUGUGCUUACUUCAUUAUGAUUAGGUUUGAACAUAAAUUGAAAUAUUGAUGAAUUUGACAUGUAAGGAUAGUAAAAGGAUUGAAUUGAAAUGAAAUGUGAUAAUUGAUUGUUAUGUGACAGUACAUAGUAUAAACAUUAUGAAUGAUUAAAGGGUAUGGAAAUGAAAAUCUAAUAGAUUCUAGGGUGUGAUAUGCAAAUGUGAAUGAUACAGGUUAUGAAAAUGUAAUAUGUAUGAUAGAUGCCUACGUGAACUUAGUAAAAGGUUAGGAUACAAUUGGCAUGCCAAUAAGGUCAUAUGUACGCUUGUACAGGAUAUUUGAUGAUACGAAGAUUAUGAUAAGUUAUAUCGAGAUCCAGCAUCUGUUGGAGAUUAUCGUGUAAUAUUUAUCUCUACGGAGACUUUGGUGUGGUGGAGGGGUGUAAUUGAAAAUGUUUAUACAUUUGAUGCCUACGGGUUUUGCACUUCGUUGCCUUGGUGUGGUAUAGUUCACUCGUGUAUCUGAGUCCAUUUUACUAGGGUUUCAUUGGGCGAAACACUGAAAUUUAAUGUUGAAAUUGGAAAAAUGAAAUGAACAAAAUUUGAUAUGGUAUUUUGACAUGUAACUAAUCUGUCAUAGUUCAAUAUAGCAGAUUAAACUAGUUUCUGCACUUUAAGAGCUUGAACACAAUCAUUUUUGUUUCAUUUUAAUUACAUUUUCACAGUUUUAGUUACAUUAAAUAAAGUGUGUAAUGAGUCUUUUAUUGACCUUAAGGGCCAAAUGAAGCCUAAGGGUGAGCUAAUAUACUUUGUGAGCAUGCAACAGACCAUUAGAAGGCAUACUAACUCAAUUUUGGUCGUUGUGUUGCAACACGAAGAGCUAGAGGUCACAACAUAAAGAACGAAAUAGAAGAAUUUCAAUACUACCUUCAGUGUUGUGACACAGCCUAAUGAUGUUGCAACACACCCUUGAAGACACCUUGAAGAUGGAGUAUAUUCCCCUCGAUGUCGCAAACCAGGACCUGGUAUGUCACGAAAUCUCCUCUAUAUGGGAGAUAAUUACGAGUCAAGGGCAUUUUGGUCCACACAAUCAAACAUAAAGAACGAGGACUGUAACUGACCUAGGGUUAAGGAUGAGAAACACUCUAAAAUCUAUAAAUAGGCUCAAUUAACACAUUUAUAAACAACUUUAGAUUGUAUAAUUUUCUUCCUAGUUUUAGUCUUUAGUUUUUCUCUUUUCAUAGGCUUUAAGUUUAUUUUAUGUUUUGAUCUUUGCUUUAUGGAAGAAAUCAGAUUUGUUAAGCGUGAUCAAACUCUGUGAGGAUUCUGCAUUCAGUUCCAAUACAAAUCAGGGUUUUUCUAAACUUUAUACUCUUGAAUUAUUAUUCAUGUUUAUUCUUUCUAUCAAGUUUACAUUGCUUAUGAAAUCCAUGAGGAACUAAUCCUCUUGUGGGGGAUUAGCGAGUAGAGGUAUGAUUAAUUAACUAUUCUGUAGGGUUCUUUUAAAGGAUCAACUGUUCAGGAAAGGAAGAUCUUAAACCCUAGGCCUGACAAUCCUAGGAAGUCAUUAAGGUGGGAAUUAACCCAAAAUUGAUAUGGUCCUAUCCAUGAAGACCUUAACCCUAAAUCGGUCUAGACUGUAAGGUCUAGAGAUAAGUAGUUCUUGCCUACCCGUUAUUCUAGUGGAAGAUCGAAAGAUUCUGCUAGGAUAUUGACUAGUUGAUUGAACAAGAAAACUCAAAGCGAUAGUUUAUUAUGACUACUAAAGCAAUCUAAUCACCUAUGCUUAGAUUUGAUGCAUUUACUAUUUACUUUCUUAUUAUUUCUUUAUUUCUUUUUAGUUUAUUUCUAUCAUUAUUAAGAAUCAUAAAAACAUUUCUUCUUAUCUGGUCGUAAUAUGAUUCAUUUAAAAGUGCUAAUUAGAUUUAUUUAUGCUUAGGUAGGAUUAAUUUAGUAUUCGCCUCCCUUGGGUACGAUCCUCGGAGUACUCAUUUACUCUGUUGCAACUAUGUUACAACCCAAAUCAUAUACUUAGGGAUACCAUUUUUUUAGAUAUUUUGUGCAGGGUUUCUACUCUGGACGUUGGUGCAUCUAGAGGCGGUCAAGUUGUUGACGCCGUUGCCAAUGAGACAACGUCACUAGAUUAAUUUUGAUUUUUGUAUUCUAAUAGAAUAAUUAAGAAAUAUCUAAAUUAUACAUACGGCCUUUAUUUUAUUUCUAUUUAGUUAUUUGUUUAACAUUACUGAAAAUUCUUUUUUCUUCAAGAAUUCUCGGUACAUCCCUCUGCAAAGAAAACAAAACUACCGCAGUGACUAUUGAAAUUAGGUUAGAAAACACGAUGGAUAACUUUGAUUAUAUAUGGUCAGAUGAUGAGAUAGAUUAUGACGAUGACAUUUACAAAUAAGGAGUCUAUGAAGAGUGAGAGAUUCAAGAGAACCAGAGACUAUUAAUGCUGGAAUUAAGUCAACUGAGAGGUGAAACUCAUGUGGAUCUACAGGAGUGUCACAUGAGUGCGAACUUAAAACCCGUUGUUUCACAGUAUGAGCAACCUCAAAAUAUGGAUGAAGAGGAAAACUUAAUAACCCAAUUACCUUAGGAAAGUCUGAAUAGUCAGACACUUCUGAGUCCAGAAGAUAAUCAAGGUAAGCUAGGGUAAAUAACAUUACAAGAGAAUAUUCAAAAAGAGACAAAGCCCAACUAGGAAAUACCGACCAAAUGCAAUAAUGAAUUAAGAGUUAAAGUCAUUCCUUUAGAAAUUUCUAGGUUAUUAGGAUGGGGAAAUGAACAAGAUUAGAACAUAGUAGAGGAUAUCGAAAUUGUGAAUGUUCUCCAAUCAUUAGAGAAGAUAGUCCCUCCUAACGAAUCUAUAAAUAAGUGUUUAAAGCUUCAGGAAUUAGUAAAUGGUAACAAGGUCAGAUGUGAAAUUUGAAAGGAGGAUACAUUUAAUCCAGCUAUAUUCUACAGAGUAUUAAUUCUCAAUCAGCCACCUCAAAAUUUUAACAAAUUAGAAGGUUUCAUGAUGUUAAUCAAUAUAGAGAUGGGACACUUUGGCAGAAACUUAUAUGGUUCCGAGAUUGACACUAUGCAGCUAAUACUACCCAACGAUAUUGAUAUAAGGUUGCAAGGGUUAAGAAACACUCAUCUCCUACUAGAGCCACCUGACAAAACUCAAUUCAACUUGUAAAGGAGUAUAAAGGAGUGUGAAAUAAGCAACGUAGUUACAUGACACCCAACAGCCUCAUAAUCAGAACUUUUGAGGUAAAAUUCAAACAACCCAUUCUGCUGAAUAAGUUCAUGGUGGACCUCUUUCAAAUUAUGCAUAAGUGUGAAGGAAAGGAAAUAAAAAUGAAAAUGAUUUUAAAAAAAAUUCAAAAUCGGGAAUAUAAAAAGUAUUUAGGGUUGUUAAAUAGUCACCUGGUAUUAAGUAUAAUUAAUCGUUUCGAAUUGCAGAAAGAUUUUUUAGUGGUCAAUGCAGGGCAAAAGAGCAAACUCAAAGAGCACAAUAAACGAAUAAGAGAAGAAUGACAUUGUAAUAGCUGGAUUUUCAGUGGUGUCGGAAAUAGUGGUUUGAGACCACAAAAUCCGGCGAGUAAGCUUGUAAAUUUUAUUAUUUAAUAUUUACGAGUCAAAUAUAGUUUUAAAAAUAUUUUUGAAUUAAUAAUUAAUGUCUUAUAAUGAAUUAUUAGAUUCGAGUGAUAAAACCCUAGUUCAAGUAGUUUUGAAAAAUGAGGUAUCGGGACCUCGUUCCUAUAAACCGAACCGUAAAAAUAUUUACGAAGUGUCAUUAAAGUGGUAUUAAAGUUUUGUUGAAAAAUUUUAACGUUUUGAUAGUGAAUUAAGAGUAAUUAGGUAUAAGGACUAAAUUGCAUAAAGGGUGAAAAUUGAGUUAUAGAUUAAAAAAAUUAAAGGGGCUAAAGAAGCAAUUAAGCCAUUGUUUCUUUAUGAUGAGGCAUAAGGUAGAUUUUUUUGUGAAUUUAUUAUAUAUAUUAUAAAAUAAACCUUAAAUGUUAAGUAUAUAUAUUAUAUUAUAUUAUAUUACAAUAAAACAAAAUAAUAAAAUAAAAGAAUUAAAAAAAGAAACAAAGGAAAAACGAAACAGAAGGAAAAAGAAAGAAAGAAAAAGAAAAGGGAGAAAGAAGGAGAUGAAGGCCUUAGGGGUUUUAAAGUUUCAAGUUUAAUUGUUAGUCAAUUUAGUCCCAUUUUCUUGUAAUUUUUAUGUUUUUGAGAUUGUUACAAUUAGGUCCAACUAAACAUUACCUUUGUUUUUUAUUUUGUUAAAGAUUUUGGAUUUUUUCACUGAUGAAUCUAUAUGAUUUUUUAUGUUAAAUCAUGAAUUUGAGAUAUUAGUUGUUAAUUAAAAGUAUUUUGUUAAGCGAUUUUGAUGAAUUUUUCGAUUAAUGAUUAAUUUGUUAAGUUAGUAAAAAUGCAAGGGUUUGUUGUGAAAUUAUUGCAAAAAUGGGUUGUAUUGAAUGCCAUGAAUAAUCAAUUAGUAUGGGUUUGCAUUAAAAAUGGUUAAUUAGCAUGUUUUGGCUUCAUGGACUAAAUUGAAUAAAAGUAAAACUUAGGGGCAAUAUUGUAAAAAUGUCAAAAAUAAAAAUUGCAUGAAAUGAAUUGUUUUAUCGUCUAAAUUAAUAUAUUGAAUGAAAUUAAUAAUUUAGAUAAAGAUUGGGUGGAAAAUCGAGGAAAAUAGAAAAUUUCCAAAAUGCCUUCUAAACUUUGGUAUUUCUACAAUUUAACGAGUUAAGUUCGUAUAACUAAAUUGUGAAUAUUUAUAUGUUUGAAUUGAAUGAUGUAUAUGUGAAUUGUGUAAUUGUUAUUUCUAUGAAAUUGAUUACAUAUCUGACAAAACCCGAUAAAUGUUAAGUCCCGUUUGAAUAAAUGAAAUUCGAUGGAUACAGAAUUUCCCGUAUUAGUUGUGGUCCUGCAUAUGUUGCGGACACACCACAGCUCGAAAGAGCGUCCCUUUAUUAGCCUUAUUGAGAUUCUCGUUAUAUGGUUCUUGUGAGCUUCCAGUUAAUAGCUCUUCGGAGCAUCCCGAUUGGUUUUGAUCCUACAUGUGUUGUGGACACACUGUAGCUUUUAUGAACGUCUCGAUAUAUGGCUCUUCGGAGCUUCUCGAUUAAAGGAUCUUAAACAAGCUUUCUGAAAUAUGGCUCUCUAGAGCUUCCCGAUAUGGCUCGCUUGAACUUCUCGAUAUAUGGCUCUUCGGAGCUACCUGUUAUUGGCUCGCAUGAGCUUCCUGAUUAUGUCUCUUAUGAGUUUCCCGUUAUACAGCCUGGAUAAGCUUCUCGUUAUACAGCUCACACGAGCUUCCCGUUAUAUGGCUCGAAAGAGCUUCCUAUUUAUGUGCUCGUAUGAGCAUUCCCGAAUAUGAAUUGACAGAUUUCAGAUUUGUACACUUCAUUUGUACUACAUGUGUAAUCAUCGAUAUUUUAAAUGAUUCAACAGGCAAAGUUCUAACAUGAGACAACAUGAAAUUGAAAUGUACUAUACCAGUAUAUACCCGAAAUAUAUGGAAUUGAUAUAUUAAUACAAUAUGUGGAAAUUUGAUGAACAUGUAAAUUUGAUUAUUAUUGAUCUCAUACAUGUUUUUUUAUAUUUAUACGAAAUACAUGGAAAUGAUGGUACAUGAUAUAUUGAUAUAAUGAAAUGAAUGAUAUAUGAUUAUAAAAAAUGGUAAGAGAAUGAUAUGUAUCAUGAUAUGUACAUAUAUGAAUAUUUUUUAUAUGAUGAUACAAGGAAAUUAUGUAAGUUAAGACGAGUAAUAAACUCAAGUGUGACAUGUUGAGAAAAUAAGAUUACCAAUGUUGAAUUUAUAUGAAAUAUGUUUAAAUACACUAACAAGUAUUGUUGUUUAUUACUUAGGCAAGUGUCAAGCUAUUGGUUAAAUGGUAAUAUGUUUAUUUAUAUGAUGCAUUUAAAUGGUAAGUAAUCAAAUGAAUAUAUGCUAAUGCUCAUGAAAGAGUGAUAAGAUUCAAGUUCUGCAAUCUCUUAUGAAAUGACUUAUCAUGUGAUUAAUUUGAAAAAGGCUAUGUUUAAAUGCACUAGCUUAUGGCUAUGUUGAAUGAUAUGUUUAUAACUGGUGUGUUAUGCAUAUGGAAUAAGUGUGGAAAGUAAAGAAAUGAAAAUGAAAAUAAAGAAAUUUGGAAGAGUUAAAGUUGUUUAAAAUCCUACUAUGCUAAGAAUAAUAUGUAUAAGUGAUGUUGUGGAUUUAUUCACCUUGUGAGUUAUUGAAUAUAACUUCACGAGUAUUGCGGUGUCAAUAUUAGAUUAUUCUUUAUAUGUAUAAAUUUCAUAUUUGAAAUGAAUUGGUAUGAUUAAAGUUUAUACAAGCUUACUAAGCAUUCAUUACUUACGUAGUUGUUUUCCUUUACUUUCUAGAUUAUCGGAAGCUCAGUCGGGUUGGAAGCUUGUUGGAGAUUUAUCACACUAUCCAUUGGUUCUAUCGGUACUUUCGGAUGUUUUGAUUUUGGUUAUAAUGGCAUGUAUAGGUAUUUUGGUUAAUGUUGACCUAUAUGUGUUUUGUUAAAAUUAGUCACUUAUUUGGCUUGUGUGUUGGUACAUUUUGGUUUGGUGCAUAUUUGCCUUAUAUGAUUGAUGUGUGAUUUGGUUUAUGAUUGUAUGGUGAAAGAGUAAAAUGUUAGUUAAAAGUGCAUUUAUAUACAUGUGUUUUGGGAUGUGAUGAAUUGAUCAGGAAUCGGUACCUUAAUAUAUAAGGUAUAAAUAUAUUUAAAUAUAUUAGCAUAUGAAAUACAUUUUGGCACCAAAUGGUAUGUUUUGGUAGGCAAGUGACUUGGUUUGAAAUAAGGAAAAUUAGCUUGGUAAACCUUGGGUACAAUUAUGCAUAUACGUUAGUUGUACAUAUAAAUAUAUUGAAUACAUGAACAUACAUGUUAUAAUUUGUCAUCUGAGGUGCCUAAAGGAACAUUGGUUGUAUGUUAAGAUAUUAUAUAUUUAUGGCUUGAUUUUUACUUGUUUUGGAUGCCAUAAUAUGACUUGUUUGUAUAUAUGAUGAUAACUAUAUGUACAUCCCUUGUUGGGUAAGAAAAAUGGCUUAUAAAAUAGCCUAUUUUCGUCCACACAGGCAGAGACACGGGUGUGUGUCUCAGCCGUGUGUGACACACGGUUAGGUGACACGGUCAUGUGUCCCCUGUAUCUUUUAAAGAGUGCAAGUCAGUAUGCUCACACGGCCUAGCACACAGGCGUGUGGCUUGGCUAUGUGGCCCAAGUCAGAGAGCUUCCAAGUUUGGACACGGGAUGGGACACAGCCGUGUGCCCCUAUUUUGAAUGCCCACACAGCCUGGGACACGGGCGUGUCUCUUGACCGUGUGAGACACACGGCCUGACCACAGGGGCGUUUGUCCCCUGCACCUUGAAAAAAAAAUUUGAUGUUUUUCGAAAAAUUCUCUAAGUACCCUGUUUAGUCCUAACUUAUUUCUAAUGUGUAUUUUGGGCUUCGAGGGCUCAUAUAAGGGACUUUAUGAUUGACUUCUGAUAUGAAUACUAUAUGAUGUGAAAUAUCUGUUUACUUGAUCUGUAAAUUUCGGUAAUACUUCGUAACUCUAUUUCGGCGACAGAUACGAGUUAGGGGUGUUACAGACAUGAUGGAUGUUGGACGAACACUGAUAGAAAAGGAAUAGGAAAAGCAUCUACGAGCACACUGAUUAAGUUUACGAAUGAAUUAGAUAGAAAAACUUAACAAUUUAUUUAAACUUUAAAUUUUAUGUAUUUUAUUGUACAUUUAACUAACCUUUUAGUUUAAACUUUAACUUGUAUCAAAUUUGUGGGUGGGUUUGGAUGGGCGGUGCAUUUAGCUGUGAUUAGUGUAAAAACAGCGGUGACGGUGAGAUUAGAUAUUGUAGCGAUACUGUAACGUGAGACAAAAAGUAAGCUAAACACACUGCACCGCACCCAAUCACCCAUCCAAACCCACAUUUUGUUUUAUAGGAAUCUAAGACACUCUGAAAAAUAGAAGUUUGGGUGAAAAUAGAGUCAGUGUCACAACACAGUACCCAUGUGUUGCGACACUAUGUCCAGAAUUAGAAGAUUGAGAAAAUCAUCUCGAUUUCGAGACACAAACACCUGUCAUGACACAAAAGACAAUAAACUUAUUCCAAAAAUUCAGAGUGUGUCGCGACAUUGGACCCCAAUGUCACGACAAUGGAAAAUUGCCAAGGAUGUCGCAACACGGAACCCCUGUUUUGCGACAUCACUACAAUUUUCUACAAGGUUGCCCCGACCCAAUUUACGCAACUCGAUGAAUUAACCUUUAUUUUACCUGAUUUUUAACCCUAAAAUUAUUAUCUUUAACCUUAAAAACACCUUAAAUUCACAUUCUAACCUUUCUUAACAUUCAACACCUCUUAAAGUUCUCUUAAAUCCCAACACCCCCUUUUCAUUAAAACCUUAAAUCUCCAAAACCUCUAUUGUCGAUUUUCAAAGCUUUAUUUGGGUGAAAAGUCAUUAACCACUUGGACAAGAAGCAACAAAAAGAUUUCAAAGAAAUUAAGGUUAAGUAUCCCUUUACCGUUUUACUAUUCUAUCUAUUAUUGUUCAUUUUUAUUUGAUUAUUAUAGAACUGAGCAUUAUAGAAUGUCGCCUAGAAAAAGUAGGAAAUCUUUAGUCCAAGAAAAUUUGAUGGUUUCAGACCCUAAAAAAAUUUUAGAAGCCAAAUACCGAGAAAUAUUUUCUCAAAUUAUUAGGACAACCACUUAUACAAGAACAAGGGUUCCAACCAUCAAUGGUUCUGUGCAAAGAAAUUUGGACAUUAGUCAAUAACCAUCGAUGGGAGUGAUUUUGUGUCACUACUAAGGAAAAUACGGUUGUACCAGUGGUACAAGAAUUGUACACCUCUUUUCGAGAUCAAGAAAUGAGAAAAAAGUAAGAUGAAACUUGGGAUACUGUAACGGUGAUAAGAAAAGAAGUACCGCUUACCCCUAGAGAAAUCUGUGAGUUUUACGAUGUCCCUUAUUAUGGCAAAGACUUCCUUGAUAACACUAAUUUGAAUACAUUUGAGGAUAUAGAGAUGGAAUAUGCCGUUAAUUACUUAAUUUAGGGUAUGUGUACGUGGAAUUAUGUUAGAUACUGCCUUGCCAACUAAUUUUAAUCAAGAGAAAAUAUUUUCGAUAGCGAAAUUACGGAUGCAAUUCAUAUGUACUAGAAUUGCGUCCAUAUUGAAUGUCUCUAACGUUAAUAUUUUUUGAGCUAUUCUUUUGUAUGGUAGUUUACAACGCAAGCAAAUAUGUGUGGACAAGUGGAUUUAUUGUAAGAAGAAGCGUUGUGCGAAUAGCCAAAAAGCUGGGCUUUUCUUUCCUCACCUCGUAACAGUACUGUGCCAAAAAGUAGAGGUUCCAAUGGGAGAGAAUGAGUAGUUCAUGAAGACAACAAAUAAUAUAAUUGGAGAUUCAUUAUAUAUGCAAUACAUUGAGCUUAAGAGGAAACAAGUUAUUGAUUGGAACCAUAGGAGGAAAGAAAGGAUGGAUGUUCUGGUGUAACUCAAACGGAAGAAAAAAUCAAAAGCUAGGAAAGGGGCAAAUGGAAACACUGAAGAAAAACUUGAUGUAAUGAUUAGGUGGAUGCAAAAGAUGGGCCCAGUACUUCAAGAAUUUGCCCGACUGAACGGGUUAAAAGCUCCAAACUAACUUCCAAAUAUGUUCGGCCCAACACGAACCCAUCAUAAUGACAAAUGAGAGGAGGCGACUUAAAAGGAUGAGCGUGAGGGGAUGAACACGAUUUUUCGAGGGAUGAAGACUGCUAUGAGGCGACGUUCUAGCCAUAAUACACCACACCAAAAAGGCCCAUUAUUUGAAGCCCAACCCAACAUGCACCUUCGACAGGAGGGACUUCCCAUCACAAAUAUGGCUCGAGAAAGAAACAAAAACCAAUGGAAAUGAGACAUUUGCCUCGUGUUGAUGAUUCAAAGAAAGAUUAAAACUGAACUUUAUAUUUUUUUUCUUUUGGGAUUGUAUUAAUUUCUGAAUAAUUUUUAAAUUUUAAAUUGUUAGGAGUAAGAGUAAUUGUAGAUUAUUAGUUUUCUGGUGUUUUGUUUAAAAUUUUUGCUUAGGAACCCUACAUAGCAAAGGCACAACAAUUUUGAGCUUUCAACGAUUGAAUGAGAAAGCAGCCACCAAUAGCCUAUGAAACCAUCACGUUCAAUCGGGUAACUUCUUUCCUUAUUUUUUUCAAGGGCUACACAUUGAAGACAAUUUAUUUUCUAAAGUGUAGGGGAUAACAUAGAAAUUUUGUUUAAUUGUUACGCUUUUCUUUGAUUUUUCUUGUCACUUGUGUGCUUGAGCUUAUAGAAAUACAAGUGAUUGGUUAGGAGCAUGUACAUAGGUUGAUUGUAUUUACAGUAAAUUUGGCAUGAGGAUAGGUUAUUUUAAUUUUUUUUAUUGUUAGACUAUAAAGUUCUAUAUAUUACACUGUAAAUAGGCAUUAAGCAAUUGAAUGUACCAAAUAAUACAGAGAAUAAAAGGAAAUGAUCAUGCUAGGAUGAAUGAUAAAUUGUUGAAUUGUGAUUGUUUGGUUGAUUAAAUUUGUGAAUAUUGAGAUACCUAGGGAUGACUUAAGGCAUUGUUUGGUAUACACCCAGAGCCAAAAAUCUAACCUUAUAUAUUCAUCCUUAGUACCUAUUUUGAGCCAAAAAAAACUUCUUGAUGAACUUCUAUACAAAACCCGAGCUAAAAACGACAAUUUGUGCUUACCGUUUUCUUUGGUCAUGAAUUGCAUGAUUAUAGACGUCUGGUCAUACAUAUUGAGGGUUAAGUAGAUACGUUACAGUGAUUUUGUAAAAACAGAGCGAUAGAAAAGAUGAGUGGAGUAUAGUGAUUAUAGGUUAGCUUAAAAGUGCAAAAAGAAAAAAAAUUCAAAAAGAAAAUUACACAAGUAGAAAAAAGUAUGUGAAAAAUGAAGGAAUUUGUGAGUGAGAUACCGUGAAAAAGAAAGAAAAGUGAUAAAGUCACAACAAUAGAAAAACUCGUUCAUUAGUGUACAAAAACUCGUGAGCUAGAUGUAGUUACUAUAUGAUGAUGAGAUUUCCUAUAAGAAGAAAUAAGGAAGGUGAGAGAAGGAGAAAUAAGGUAAUGAGCAAGAAAGGGUCACUAAAGGGGAGAAUAGGGGACAAUAUGAUGUGCCAAAUUAUUUUCGUGCUUGAAACUUUGAUGCUUACUAUUCUUGAAUUACAUACCUAUCCCAAGUCGAAAAGCCCUAUGUGAUCUAGGUAGACUUAUUUACAAUUUGAAAUCAUAUUGAAUAAUUGCAUUUACGAUUAUUUAUAUUCUGCUAAGAUAAUCAAAUUACUUGCAUAAUUUAUUGAUGGAUUCCUACAUUUGAGAUCCUUAAUACUUGUAUGCUUUGUAAUAUACUGAACUUAAAUGUUUAAUAUCAAAAGUAGUAAGUCAGCUACAUAUUAUGCCGAAAUUAUCUGUAAAUAUGAAAUGCUUAUUCAUGUGCUCCAAAAUCAGCACUUGUACCAUAUCGGUUUAAGGGUCGCCUUUCCAUUUACUACUUUUGUUUGUUUCGCUUGAGGACAAGCAAUGACUUAAGUGUGGGCGAGUUUGAUCUGUCGUAAUUCAAUGUAUCAGAUUAAACUAGUUUUUGCGCUUUAGGAGCUUGAACACAAUCAUUUUGAUUUCAUUUUAAUUAAUUUUUUGUAUUUUUAGUUACAUUUAAUAAAGUGUGUAAUUUUAGUAUUUUAUUGACCUUAGGGGCCGAAUGAGGCCUAAGGGUGAGCUAAUAUACUUUGUAAGCGUGUAGAAAACCAUUAGAAAGCGUACUAACUUGAUUCUGGUCGCUAUGUUGCAACACGGAGAGUUGGAUAUCGCAACACGGAGAGCAGAAUAGAAGAAUUUCAAGACUGCUUUUAGUGUUGCAACACACCCCUAAAGACACCCUAAAGAUAAAGCAUACUGCCCUCGAUGUCCCGACAUAGGACCUGGUGUGUCGCGAUAUCACCUCUGUAAGGGAAAUAAUAAUGAGCCAGAAGUGUUUUGGUCCGCACAAUCAAACAUUAAGCACGAGAAUGAUAGCUGAACUAAGGUUAAGGAUGACAACCACUCUAAAAUCUAUAAAUACGCUCAAUUAACACAUGUUAUAGAUAGCUUUCAAAUUGUAUAAUUUUCUUCCUAGUUUUAGUCUUUAGUUUUUCUCUUUUCUUAGGCUUUAGAUCUAUUUUAGUUUUUUUCUCUUUGCUUUGAGGAAGAAAUCAGAUUUGUUAAACAUGAUCAAACUCUGUAAGGAUUCUGUAUUCAAUUCCAAUACAAAUCAGGUUUCUUCUAAACUUUAUACUCUUGAAUUAGUAUCCAUGUUUAUUCUUCUAUCGAGCUUAUAUUGUUUAUGAGAACCAUGAGAAACUAAUCUUCUUGUAGGGGAUUAGCGAGUGGAGGUAUGAUUAGUUAACUAUUUUGUAGGGUUCUAUUAAUAAAUCAACUAUUCAGGAAAGAAAGAUCUUAAACUCUAGGCCUAACAACCCUAGAAAGUCAUCAAGGUGGGAAUUAACCCAAAAUUGAUAUGGCCUAUCCGUGAACACCUUAACCCUGAACCGGUCUGGACUGUGAGGUCGAGAGAUAAGUAGUUCUUGUCGACUCAUUAUUCUAGUGGAAGAUCGGAAGAUCCUGCUGAGAUACCAACUAGUUGAUUGAACAAGAAAACUCAAAAUGAUAGUUGAUUAUGACUACAGAAGCAAGCUAAUCACCCAUGCUUAGAUUUGAUACAUUUACUAUUUGCUUUCUCAUUAUUUCUUUAUUUCUUUUUAGUUUAUUUCUAUUAUUAUUAAAAAUCCUAAAACCCUUUCUUUCUAUCUGAUCGUAAUAUAAUUUAUUUAAAAGUACUAAUUAGAUCUAUUUAUGCUUAGGUAGAAUUAAUUUAUUGCUCGCCACACAUAAUCAUCGAAGGCUCUUAAUAUGUUCUUCUUACGCGUGGCCCUCCUUGCAGCUAAUGGUAAUUCCUCAUGUGGUCCUUUUUCAAUAGUGAUCCCACGUUGUCGGUUCUUCACAUAAGAUCUAAUUAAUCCGAAAAAAAUUAUAAAGUGCAAUAAAAACUAAUCUAAAUUUUCCUCCUAAAAUACUAUAAAAAUUAUACUAAACUAACUCUAAAUGUGAGAGUCAUCAAUAUUGCUCCACAUCUUGUUGCACCAUUCUAAUGCAACAAUAAUACAACUAGACGUUUUCAGGACUCAACUUCCUCAUCUUACUGCAUGGUUUGAAUUUUGUCAUUGUUUAAGUAAUGAAAGCGUAAAAAUUUAUACCUUAGAUAUUUUAUCAUUGUUUUAAGUAAUGAAAGUGUAUAAAUUUUAUAGAUUAGAUAUAAAGUAUUUAUUCUAACAUUUAAUUCAUACUAUCAUGUCGUUUAUUUUAAAAUGAUUGUUUUCAAAGUAAAAAUCAUGUAAAGAUGUCAAUCUUUAAUGACAUGGAGCUUUAUGUAGUGGGUUUUGCUAGUUUCUUUUUGGGAGGGUGUUUUUCACUAUCGUAGUAUGAUGAUGUUGUGAGCCAUGGAUCUUGAGGUUGUGCAUGAAGUGGAGAACAUGGCUUCAUCAUAUUAUCCAUAAAGUUCUUUCUUUUGGGAUCAUAAGGACAUGUCCGGAUCUUGGUACUAACGCAAGUACCAACAUUAGUGUAGCUAUACAAUGUCACUUCCAGUUUCAUCUUCCUGUAUAUGAUGAUGGGUUUUCCUCCAUUGUCGGCAAGGUACGGUGUCGGUAAGAUAGGUUAACAUUUUUACAAAUUUUAUGCGAAAUAAGCAAAUAAAAAGAGAGGGAAAAAAAGCAUGAAGUGAUGCCAUUAACCUUAUCGUGCAUGAAGUUGCUUCCUAAUUAGAAUGAUGUAUAUCAUUAAUCUUUUAGGCUACAAACAUGCAAAAGAGAUUUACUUAUGGUUUCCCAUAUAGGAAACUCUAAUAGGAUUAUGUUAAAAGUCAUCGAAUUUCGGACUUGUUAUGAUGACAUCAAUCGGCAAUGACCUAGUGAUCUAAAUGUAACCCUUUCCUUGUCAACAACUAAAGUAAAAAAGGUUUGGAAUCAAGAUGGCUUAAUGGGUUUGGAUUAAACUGUGUAAUGGGAUAAGAUAAGGUUAAUGAUCUUAGCGACUAAGAAGUUAGAUUUCACCCAAUUAUCACUAUCCAAAUUAAGAAGGCUAAUAUCUGCUUUCGAAAAAAAAUCACCUUGGUUUAAUUUGUGUAUUCCUAUAAUUUUCGUAUACACUUUUGUGUUAUAAUCAUGUUUAAUAUAUUUUGGUAAGUUAAAAUAAUUCAUGCUAUAUACAAUUUGAUGCAUUUGUAUUAUCACCAUAGUCAUAUAGCAUAAUUGUAUUGUAUGCAAUAUUGUAGAGUGUCCGAUAUCUAAAAAUUGUACGGUGCAAUGGAGUUCCUUUUGGAGCAAUGCAAUUUGUUUUGCCAAAAAAAUGAAAUGAAAUAAAGGGGAGGAGCACUACGAAUAGAGAAAUUAAUUUCCUAUUAAAUUUGGUAAUCAAUUAUCUAGACUUUUCUGUUUUCUUAAGCCCAAAUUCAUACAAUGAGAAUAUUGGAUAUAAACAUGUGGACAAUUAUAGAGGCAAUGUUGCAUGAACUUAGUACAUGUAGGGACCUUGAAAAUUUUGAGAUGACACACAGGAGCAGAUACUGUAAAAGCUUUCUCCCAUGAAAGAACCUUUAGGAGAUCAGGCACCAUUCACACACACACACACAUAUAUAUAUAUUCAUGCUUUUAGCUUGUUUUCACAAUCCUCAUUAUUUAGCUACUUGACUCUAUCAGUCAUUAUUGAGAAGAUAAAAUGAAAAGGAAUACCUCAGAAUUAAUAUACACUUUAUCUCUUAAACUUGUUUAAAAAUAUUUAAUUAGUAUUAAAAUUUUGUUAAUAUUUAGUUCGUAUUUCAAUUUAUAUUUAAUGACAUAUAUUGUUUCAAUUUGUUAACCGCGUUAGUAUUUUAAGGAUCAACAUGUAAUUUGUCCUCUGAACUUGUCCAAAGUACCUAGUUGAUGUCUGAACUUGUUCAAAAAGUACCUAAUUGGUACUUGAACUUGUUCAAAAAAUUGUACAUUUUUAAAUUAAUUUAUAUUUUUAAAAGAAUUUUAAUUUUUUAGUUUAUAUCCAUCACGUGUUAUACUAAAAACUAUCAUGUGCCACUCUAAGAUUAACUUUUAAUGCCACAUCAACACGCACUAAUGGUGAUUGUGCAGAAUUACUAACCUAAAUAACAGAAUAUAAAUUUAAGCACUAAUUAGAUAAAAAAAUUCAGGUACCAACUAAAUAUAUUUGAAUAAAUUAACCUUAAAAAAAGUAAUUCUGGAAAGGUAUGGCAGGUAGGCAACCAAAUUUUAUAAGGUUGGAUGUCUCUAACUCCAUCAUUACUUUCAGGUAGCUCAACUUUGCUUUCUUGUAGGCAGUGCUGAGGCCAAACAAAUUUACCGGGUAAAACCCUCAUCUCAUUUUGGAGGACCAGAAUUUUUCAAAUAAUAAUAAAGAAUGUAUUACACAUCAUUUGCAAGAUAGUUGCAUGGAAAACAUAUAAAAUUUCAUCUCAAAUAAAAAUUGUGUACACGUAUCAACUUAAUUUUUUACAUCAUCUUCUUUACUACUUCACUUAAGAUUCCAUCGAUAUUAAAUGCUUUUAGAAGGUGAGGUAAUUAAAUAAGGAAUAAUGUCAAAUUUAAUAUUUAAUAUUUAUAUUUUUUGUUAAUUUAGUUAUUCUUUUUUAAUUGGAUUCGGUUCUCAAUCUUUUAAAAAGAGUUAAAUUUGACCAUCAUUCUUCUAAAAAGAGUCGAAUUGUUAUUUUUUAAUAGAAAUUAUAUUAACUAAAACAUUAAACUUUUAAACAUGGUAGCUUACAUGUAAUACACAUGUACUUUGUGCUAUUUUUUGUUUAAUUGUUACAAGUUUUUUUUUAUAUUUUAUGAAUUUUGAAUUUGAAUUUUUUAAGUUAUUUGUUGGCGUGACAUAUAAGACAAAUAGCGAUAUGUCAGCAUAAAGUACACGUAGACUAUCAGGUAGGUUGCCAUACCAACAUAGUUAAAAGAUUAAUAUUUUAAUUAAUAUUUUUAUUAAAAAAAGUGAUUUGAUUUUUUUUGAAAUAUUAAUAGUUAAAUUUAACUACAGAAAAUAAUCAUCAAAUUAAUAAAAAAAAUAUGUAAAUAUUGAAAUUCAAAUUUAGUAUUAUGGCUUCAAUUAAUUCUCACUAUUUUUCUUUCAAGCAAGUUCAUUAAAUAUUACUACAUUCAGGGGCAUAGCUAGGGGGCUGAUAAGGGCCCGACCCUCUUAAAAUGAAAAAUUUUUCAUUUAGGCCCUUUAAAAUUUUUAAAAUUUUAAAUUAAGUAAAAAUAAAAUUAUACUUUGACCCCUUAAAAAUGAUAAAAAUAUAAUUUAAUCUUUUAAAAAUUAUAAAUAUAUAUUAUUAAAAUAAUUAUUUUAUCAUAACAAAAAUUAUAAUUUACGAACCCUAAAUUUUUUUUUAAAAUUUCUCCAUGACUACAUUAAUAUAUAAAAAAGUGAAAUUUAGCAUGUCAAACUAUGAUUGCAUUUUAGAUGACAAGAAAACAUUAUAAAAAAUAAAAUAACAAAAACCUUAAUAUAUAUAUAUAUAUAUAUAUAUAUGUAUGCGUGUGUGAGAGAGAGAGAGAGAAAUUUGGUCAGAGGUUCAUGUCGGUCGAUUUCUUUUGCCAGCUUCAGACCCUAGGAAGUAAUAAUAAAGUGGUAUUACAUAGGUAUAAAAAGAAGUGAAAAAACACAAGGUCCAAAGACCUUUUGAAGUGUCAAAGGGAGGAGAGUAUGAUACAACCUUAACCCUUAAAAGAAAUAAAAAGUUACAAAAAGAAAAAAGGUUUGCAUGUGAUUAUCCAAUAGUUUAACAUUACCCUUUGAUUUUGAAUCUUUUUGACAGCCAAUUAACAUCAGCUAAUGCCUCCAUUCCUACAGUACUCAAUCAUGGUAAUUAAUUAGUUUAACUCAAAAUCCAUAUAAGAUAAAAUAUAAUAAUUUUCGUACGUCCAUGUUAAGCUACAAGAUCCACUCUUAACGAUGAAGUGAUAAUUCUUUCCUUUAUGGAUUUUCGUUUUUUGAACUGUCAAAUUGCAGUAAUUUUCUUCCUUUCCCCACGAUCUUAGUGCAUGGCGACAUGAUAUUAAGGACCACAUAAUUGGUUCCCUAAACCCAAUUAUAUUUUAAGUAUAAUUUUUAUUAUAGUCAUCCAAAAAAUAAUCUUAAAUAAGUGACUGUCAUUUUAUGUUGUUUUCAUUUCAAUCAUUCGCGGUUAAUUUAGUUAACAAUAAUAUUAUUAUACAUUCACUUAAUUUUAAUAAAAUUUCCUUUUAAUCACUUAUUUUAUCUUUUUAAUUUUUUUUUUAGAAUUAAUUUUUCCUAGUAAAAGAAAAAAAUAUGAGUUUUAUAGAGAAAAACUUAGGUUUUUAUAAGGAAAAACCUAUGUCUUUACAUAGAAAAUUCUAAAUAAAAUAAAUGACUAAAAUAAAAACUUAUUAGAGUUGGAUAACUAAAAUCAGUGUACAAUAACAUUAUCGAUAGCCAAAACAGCAGGUGACUAAAAUGAAAACAUUAUGUACCAAUAGUGCCUUAUUUUCAAUUUUCUUUUCGAUGAUCAAAAUGAAAACUUAUGAGAGUUAGAUGACCAUAUGUAAAAUUUACCCUAUAUUUUAAAAGUUAUGGAUUUAAAAGAGAAAACCUCUACGGAGAAGAGAUUGUAUGAAACUUUGAUUCCAUGUCAUCCUUAUCCCUUUCCAAUAGAAGAAUGAUAAAUCAAAUUUUUCCUCCUAUUUUUUGCAUUUUUAGUUGGAUUUGAAUUUUUUCAGGAGAAAAAUCUGAUUUUUCAUUCUUCUACUAGAAAGGGAUAAGGAUGAAGUGGAAUCAUAGUUUCAUACAUUCCCUUCUCCUACCCACGACUAUAAAAAGCUAAUCCAAUUUAUUAUAGAGAAGUGCUCUAUUUAUCCAUCAACAUAACAAUGGCUUUAACCUCAAUAUCAAAAGAAUAUUAUGGCAUGUUGACAAUUAGCUCUCUCACAACUCAAGCACAAUAUAUUUGAAGUAAUUGCAAGCACUUAAUACAAUAAGGAAAUCGGCCUCGAAUGGUCCAAAGUGGCGGGCAAAAAAUUGAUAAAAGAACUGAGCAUCCAUCAAACUAGAGAAGACGAUGACAAAAUCAUCCCUAAAAUCACUUACAAAAGUAAGACUACAUCUAUCAGCAAGAUUAAAAAACGUGCUACAAGAAAAAACAAAAACUUUUAAAAGUGAACGCUUAUUAAACAAUAAAAAACAAACAAAAAAAUAUAAAACUUAAGACAACACAAGUCCAAACUUGUGAAAUCAUUUAUUAUUCUAAAACUCUCAAAAUAGAGACAAAUUAAGAAGCCGACGAAAAGUCACCCACUUUCCAAGAGAAACUGUUAGUGACCAACGGAGUUUUAGCGGCAACAUGCACCGUCAUCUAUUCAUCAUAACUUGUGAAGGCAGCAAAGAUACUCACAAUAUAGAUCUACAAACUAAAAAGAGAGAAUACAUGAUCAGUAAAUGAGGAGAAGAAAGAAAGAGAGGGUUAAUGGGAGGGAGAAAAAGGCGGGUGGUAGCCAACCCGAAGGUUGGCAUCGUCUCUGGAGAAAACUAAAGAAAAGAAACAAAUGGCUUAGAAAAAAAUCAACGAGUGAAAAUUUAAAUGUAACAAACCAAUUUGAAAUAACAUAUCUCAAAUAUAUAUAUUUGACACAUUGUAUAACAUUUAUUAAUUAGUAAAAUAGAAAAUAGUGUAGGACUCAUGAAUAAUACUAAUAAUUUUAUUUAAAUAUAACUAAAUAUUAAUUAUAAUUAUUAUAAUAUUUUAGGUUUUAGAUUUAGAAUUUAUAGUCUAUGAUUUUGGGUUUAGGGUCCAUGAUUCAUAUCAAGAUUAAAGUUUGAGUUUAGAAUUUAGAAUUUGUAUUAAGUUUUAGAUUUGAAAUUUUAGAUUUAUAUUUAAAUAAAGUUAUUAGUAUUUAUUUGUAAAUUCAUGAUCUUAUUUCACUAAUGAUGAUGUGUCGUGUUAUUAAUUAGUGACGAUAUAUGAAACUUAUUUAUUAAGAAUGUAUAAAAAAUUAACCCAUCUCAAUAUCACACAAUGAAAAAAAUUAGCUCAACAACGUUAAUGUAUACCUCGAAUUUAUUAAGAAAUGAAAAAUUAAACGUUUUUCGAUUGAGUUUUAGUUCAGCUGGAAUUGACAUUGUUGUCAGUGUAAGAGGAUGUGGAUUUGAAUAUGCUGAGGUGCAUUAUCCUCUUAUUUAAAGGUUGGGGGCUAUGAGUAGUUCUAGACAUUAUAUAAAAAUAAAUAAAGACUAAAAUUCGUGAUGCUAUACUCAUAUGAAAGAGAGUAAAUAAAAAAUAAAAAAAUAAACAUUUUAGGUGUUGUUGGGAUGGAACUAUUCAAAUCACACACCCUCUCGUGCUAUAAGAUCUCUUUUAUGAAAUAUUUACUACCCCACAUGUGUUGAAACUAUGAUUGAUCAAAUCUCAACCAAUGUGUGGGAUUUUAAGAGAAUAUUUUUUAUAUAUGCCCUUUUAGCAACUUAUUUUCACGUGAUCUUCUACGUGAUUUCAUGGUUAAAUUUAAGAUCUUUGUUAAUUAUUAAUUUAAUUAACUACUUGUAUGCAGGAAAUCAUGCUUACUAAGCUUUUAUAGAAUACAUGUAAUUGCACGAUUUAAAACUAAUGUUAUGAUUCGCACGAUAAAUUUGAAUGAAUGCCCUAAGUUAUAUAUUUAUAGAGCCAACAACCUAAUAAAGUAAAUGAUAAGAGAUUUUAUAUUAGCAUCAUAAUUCAAGAAUCAAGUCUUGAGUAACUUAUUUUCCUGUUAAAAAGAUUAUAAUGUAUGCUUAUUUUGAUUAAAAAUUUUGGGGAUGCUAAGGUGUAAUAAAUUCCAUGAACUUGCAAUUUAUAGAGUUAUUUGUUACGAGGAUAAGAAAAUUUCAAAUUAUUUGUUACCUAGAUAAGAGAAAUUAAAGUGUGUAAAAUAGAUACAUCCUUGAACAAAAUAUUAAAGAGUUUGUUUUUACCACUUAACAUUCCUGUCAAGUUGAAGGUGGAAAAGCAAUAACUGAAAUAAGUCAUCAGAGGUAAAGUUAAAUUUUUUUUAAAGGGUCAAGAUUAAAUUAUAUAUUGUUAUGAAAGUUAAAAUAUAAUUUUAUAUCUUUAUGGUUUUUAGAAGGACUAAAUCAAAAUUCUAACAUUUUUUGCGGCCAAACUAUAAUUUCACCAUAUAUUAACCUAGCAUUCUAUGAAUUUGGAGGGUUUAAAGGUGCAAUUUUUCAUUUUAGGGGGGGUCAGGCCCCUUCCUGCCCCUCCCUUCACACCUAUGAGUCAUGAUGUUGGAAAAAGAGACAUUUACCCAAGGGCUUAGUGAGAAUGUUAACAAUUUGAUCAUCAUUAGAAAUAAACUUGACUUGCCUUGCCUUGAAAGCACUUGGAUUAAACUUGUUCUCUGAUAAAAUGAAAAUCCAACUUAAUAUGCUUUAUUUUUAGCAUGAAAAAUGGGAUUAUAAGAAAUAUAUAUUGGACUAAUAUUAUCAUACCAAAAAAAAUAGUUGGUUCUUACAAAAGAAAACCCAGUUUAAGUAACAAGGAUUUGAGCUACAUAAUUUCUACUAUUGCAUUAACAAUGGUGUUCUAUAAAAGGUUGAACCAAAUGAAGACUUGAACUUGAUGAACCUAAUUUCUACCAUUCCAGUAACAAGGAUUUGAUACUCUCGAUAGAUUAUCAAUCAAUGGUGUUCUACAAAAGGUUGAACCUGAUCAAGACUUGAACUUAUCAGUGCCAUUUUUGGACUGUUGUUCUUGGUCUCCCCUACCAUUAUUCUUGUUCUUAGGCUUGGAAGACUAGAAUUUGUCUGGAUUUUUCAUGUCAAGCUUGAUCAAGGUUUCAGAUGUGGUCAUGGCUUUGUGACCGCCUCCAAACGUACUAACGUCUAGAAUGUGAAUAAUGCAACUAAAUUUAUGAAUUUAAGGCGGUUUCCGCAAGUAUACUGGUCUGGUUGUAAUAUAGUUUUUACAAAGAAGUAGGUGAGUACUCCGAUGAUCGUAUUCAAAGGAGGCAAGUACUAAAUUAACUUUAACCUAAACAGAAAUAGAUCUAAUUAGUACUUUAAAUAAAUUAUAUUACGAUAAACAUAAAAAAUAAAGAAGCUAUAUUUUAUAAUAAAUUAAAUAAAAGAACAUAAAUGCAUGAACUUCGGAAAACUUAAAUCUAAACUCAACCAAAUCUAAGCAUGGGUGAUUAGCUCACUUCGGUGAUCAUAAUUAAUUCCCAUUUCAGAUUUCUACUUCAAUCAACAAGUCGCUACCCUAAUAGGAUCUCUAGAUCUUUCAUUAAACAAACAAAUCGACAAUAACUACUUAUCUCUCGACCUCACAGUCUAGACUGGUUCGGGGGUAAAGGGUUCACGGAUAGGCCAUACCAAUUUUGGGUUAAUUCCCACCUAAUUGACUUCAUAGGGUCGUCAAUCCUAGGGUAAGUUCUUCCUUUCCCAAACAGCUGAUCCGUUGGGAAAACCCCAUAGAGCAAUCAAUUAAUCACACUUUCACUCACUAAUCCCCUAUAAGAGGAUUAGUUCCUCAUGGAAUCCAUAAACACAAUAAACUUGAUAAAUAGAAUAAACAUAAAGAACAAAUCAAGAAUAAGGUUUAAGAGAAUCUUGAUUAUAUUGAUGAAAGAAAGUUGGUCGAAUCCACAAAUUAGGUUCUCCGUUGAACAUAAAUAAAACAACUGAAAACAAAUUUAAAGCCUAAAAGAAACUAAAAACUAAAUUACAAGGAAAAUUAUAAAUUAAGAAAGUUGUCCCUUAACAAGUGUCUAAAGAGCCUAUUUAUAGAAUUAGGGUUGACCGUUGUCCUUAGCCCUAGGUUGGCUAACGUUUUUGUGUUAAUUUUCAUUAUGCGGACCAAAAUUCCCUUCACUCGUAAUUCUUCACGUACAGGGUCGAUGUCACAACAUUAAAGGUAGUAUUCUUUGGCCUUAGGUCCAGCUUCAAGGGUGUGUCACAACAUCCUCUGGCUGUGUUGCGACACCAAAGGCAGUAUUUCCAUUUUUUUUAUGUUCCCUAUGUUGCAACAUUAGACUCCUCUAUUGCAACACGACGACCAACUUUUAGCUCUUAUGCCUUUGAAUGGUGUCCUGCACACUCGUUAAGUACGUUAGCUCACCCUUAGGCCUUAUUCAACCCCUAAGGUCAUAAAAUGACUCAAUUUAUACUUUUUAUUGAAUUAAAACUAAAAUAGAAAAACUAACCAAAACAUAAUAUAAUUAUUUAUAUCUGAGCUCCUUAAGUAUGAAAAAUAGUUUAAUUUGCUACAUCGAAUUAUAGCCGAUCACUUUGGUAAGAUCCUAGACAACUUCUCCACUACAACUCUUGUUUGGCCCAAGCCUUUAAUCCACCAUGAAAUAUAAACAAGUAACACCCCUCGCUCGACCAGAUUGCUAGAUCCAAGCUGUGGAAUGUCACAUUCGUUACUAGAGCAACUACAAUUAGAUUCAUAAUAAAAUAAUCAUUUUACAUUCGUUCACACAUCAAUCAUGAUUUAAAUACAAUAAUAUCUCAUUUCCUAGUCUCAAUUGAGCUUACAAAAGCUCUUUUGACAACUCGAGCAUGAAAUAAAAUCAAUUUCCAAAGUUUUAAAAGUUCAAAGCCAACGUGACCUUAGGCCACUAGACGUCACGACAUGACUCACUGUUAACUGACGUUGUGACGAGGAAAGUUGCUUGUCAUGACGAAGACCUUGUAUUUGGUAAAAAUGAACCAAUUUGGUACAUAUUUCAAUGCUUCUGGCCACAACCAUUCAAUAUAAUCACUAAGUAUCAACUUCAUUUGAUACAAACAUACCAAAAACAUACCCAAACAAGCUCAACAACCAAAUUCUGCUUAUUAUCAAGACAAACAAAACUUAUGUACAUAUAUAUAUGUGUGUGUGUCAAUUCAACUUAAUAACUAAUUCCAUUAAAACAUAAUAUCCGAACCAAACCAAUCCAUAUGCAUACCUAAAAAUCACUAUAUCUAGAUUUAAACCGUACCAUAAUAUGUCAAUUAAGUUGGUACAUACAAAUUCAAGUUGCCAUCAAGUAUUCAAUACCUAUCCAUCAUUUAAACUUCAACAAUUCAAUGCCAAUUAACACACAUUCAUCAAGUCAUUCCAUACCAACUUUACUUAUGUCAAUUCACUUAAAACCAUGCAAUUUCAAAUGCCAUAAUAUCUUAAGCAUAUACAUCAAAUGAACCAUUCCAAACAAGCAUCACCAUAAGCAACAUAACAUACCAAGCUUUGCAAUUCACUUCAACUAAUAUACAUCAAAAUAACCUUGAGACACCUUAGAUAUAUACAUGCUACAACCCAAGACUCAAAAUGAUCAAAAGCUACCAAAUCGAUGAUAGGAUAGUGGAGCUUUUAUUCGAUUUGGCUUGACACAUUCCAUAAGGUAAUGAUCUACAAAGAAAAGGGGAAACAAACGGGGUAAGAAUAUAGAAUGCUUAGUAAGUUCAUAAGCAUUAAACAAAAGCUUACCUUAAAUUUCAAUUAAGCACAACAAGUUACUAAGCUUAACAUAGUUGGCUAGACAUGUCAAAACACAUAUCAUUAAGCUGAGUUUAAUAUAUAAUCAAAUCAUAUGAUAUCACAAUCAUAUAACAUGCCAAUUCAUGUCAUUUCACAACAAAUCUCAAAACUCAUUCAAUUAACAAAUGAAUCAACCACAUACAUAUCAAGUCAUAGUAAUAAUACAUGGUUCAAGCUCAAUUCAACAUUUUUCCCAGUGAACAUCAAGAUUAUUAUUUCUCAUGUCAAUUUCUCAUUUCAUAUAAACCGUUUUACCCAAUGAAACCUAGUAAAUGGACUCGAAUACACAGGUAUCUACGUCACACCAGUUGCUCAUCCGAGCUAAGUAUAUUCAUAUCGGGUUACUAGUCCAGGCCAAACCUUUAUAACUGCACAUCUAAUUGCUUAUCCAAGUUGAAUAUAUAUACAUGUCAGGUUGCCCAUCCAAGCUAAAACUUUAAAACGGCAUUAGGUUACUAGUCUAGGCUAAAGUUAUGUCACAUGUAUCUUCAAGUCCACAAAAAAUGUUGGAUCUCAGUAACAUCUGUAACCAAUCCUGUACAAGCGCGCACAAAACUCUAUUGACAUGCCAAUCGCAUCCUAACCUUAACUAAGUUCACAUAGGUCUCUUUUUCAAUUAUAAUCAUCAUUUUACAGUUUAGUCUAAUUCUCACUUUUUUCAUCAAUUCAUAAUUAAACACAUAUAUAAUUACAAAUCAAAUAAACAACAACAUAUAUAAACAAAUACCAUAUGAACUUACCUGGUCAAAACAACAAGCAAAUUGAAUCUUCAAGAAGUAUUCGACAAUUUUAGCUUUUCCUCAAUUAUCUCUGGUUUGAUUCAAUUCUUGGUAUAAACAAUUAUUUUAGACAAUUCAUUAAUACCAAAUAUUUUUAUAUCAUUCCAUGAUAUGCAUGAACCUAUUUAAUUCCAUUUUUUGAAUGCCUCUUAAGUUUUUCAUUUUAUUCAAUUUAGUCCCUAAAAUUGGAAUAACUAUAUCUUUCAAUUUUGAGCCUCGAUUUUAAAAUCGAUUUCAAUUACAUCUCUUAGGGACCUACUAUCUAUUAUUACUAAAAUUUCACCUCAGUUUCAUAAUUUAUUCGUUUUAGCCAUUAUGUACCAGCCAUAUCAAAAGACUCUAGUAAAGGAAGAUACAUGCAAUUGACCUUGUUUUCAUAUUCCUCAUACCAUCCAAAGCAUCCAAGCUUUGGCAUAUCGAUUAACUUCGUCUACGAUUGCAUGUCAUGGAGGGGCCAAUUUGAGAAACCUCUUCAACCAUGUGCAUUUCACUCAAUUUUCCUCUAAUUUGAUCUCUUUCUUAAACAAAAUGGUAUCUAUCAAUCGGUCAUGCUCAUACUUCGAUUCAUUUCUAUUAGCUCUAAUUACCACCUCCUCGUCGAUUAGAAGGUCAGUUUUAAAAGGACUCUUCUAGCAUUAUAGUCGCCUCCCCACAUGAAAAAUAUGAUUUAUGCAUUUUAGACUUCCAUCUUUUCAACAAAACGAAAGGAAACUUGAUAUCAUUAUGAACUUUCUCAUUGUAGAUGCCGCAUAUAAACCAACACUCUUCAAGCAAUCUACAAUUUGUCCAUCACCUCCAAAAUUUUAAGUUAUGUCAAGCGCAAACAACUCGAUCUUUCUGUUGUUAAAAACAUCAAAGUAAUAUUUAAUUUCACAAAACCUUAAAAGAAUUUUUGCAAAUAUUAUAAAAUUUAAAAAAAUUAAGUUGAAAAUUUUACCAUAUUGGUUGCAUAGCUUGCUAAAUGUUUAUAAAAACCUUAAUAAUGCAACCAUUUUUCUCCAAAAAAAAAAAGGAGUACAAAUUAAAAAGUUUUUUAAGAGAGUAUGAGAAAACUUUUAGUGGAAAAGAAGAGAAAUAGAUGUGAUAUUUAUAGGAGAGAAAGUGGAUUCCCAUUACUGUCCAUUUGUUUGUAUUAAAUGGGUUUUUUGAGGAACAGAGAAAUAAAGUAUCUACCUUUAAUGAAAUUAACAUCCAUAACUGUAAUUUAUAGUUCUUCUUUCCUUACUUGCAAGGCACGCACUUGUAUGAUAGAUUUGACAUAAUAUAAAAUAGAAAUGUUUAAUUUUUGUUUAUAUUGUAAAAAAGAAAAAAAGGAAAGUGUAUGAAUUGGUUUGGACAAUGGUAGGAGAGAAGAGAUGAGGAGGAAGGAAUGAUCCAGGUAUAGUUUUAUGCCGUGUCUGUACCUUUUAUGUAUUUGUUUUAUAAAUUCCCCGGAAGUAAUAAUUAUAUCCUACUUCUUCUCCCCCACCAAUUUUACCUUCUUAAACCAAUUUUCUCGAGAUGUUAAAAACUAAAAAAAGAAACACUAGAAAUAAAAUAUGUGUUAUUGAAGUAAUGUCAAAGGUCAAAGAUUUGCAUUACUGUCUCUGUCUCCCACACUCACACAUUCUCUAUUCCCUAAAGCACAACAAAUUUACAUUUCAUUCCCCUGCCUUUGGCCCAAAGCACUAUGCACUCCCACUUGCCUCUGCUCCUACCAUGGCUGUCCCACUUUUCCCUAAAUUAAUUCAUUUUUAUACUGUAUGUAUUUGAUGAUUUAAGGUUUAGUGUAUACUGUAUCGGGUAAGUCCAUUUGACUGGUCAAUUGAGUCCAGUUGAUGUGGUGGCAUAGUAUGGGUUAGUACACGUGGCGUAAGUGAUGAUUUGAUGAUGUGGCAGUGACAUCAACUUGAGGACCCUUUACCCAACAACUUCACAAGAUUUCAGGGCUCUGAUAUAUUGUGUGAAACUAUUGAUACCCUGACGUGGCGAUUUGUUCAUUCUCUUAAAUCGCCUCUUCUCAUCUGUAUUUAAUUAAUACAUUAUCCUUCUUGGAGACUAUAGAUUUCAGAAUGAAGAAAAUGUGAGUAAUAACAAUAUGUAAAGAAAAUUGGUGUGACAAAACAAUAUUAAAAGCUAUGUUUUACCGUAAAUAGAAUCAGAUCCUAUUAAAUGGCAUUCCAUGAUUCCCAUGAAGAUAUUUCUAUAUAUACACAAAUAAUUCAAUUAUUAUUACAGUCUAAAAAUUGGCACUAGUUUUUAUAGGAAGUAAAAGGUGAAGAAUGUGAGAAACAUGUGAACUUGCAACAAAGUAAAUUAUAUUAUUUAAGAUUCAUAUAAACAUUUAAUGUAAGGAGAAGAUAAGAAGAUUUGGCAAUUAUGUUAACAACGUCAAUUAAUAAUGUUUAGUUGGAGUGGAACUUAGCCUACAUUUGGACAUAUUGCGUGUACCCAUACAGAUAUAAUGUAUUUUACCUAAAAAAAAACAUACAAAAAAGCAGAGAUUGUUUGGGAUAUGUUAGGUAGCGAAUGGAAGGACAAAUGGCUUUCAAUCAAGUUGAAACAAAAACCCUUGUCAAACUGAUCUUAUUGAAAAAGCAGUAAAUGAAACAAACUUGCUUUUCAAGAGGGUUUGCAUGAUUUUUCUUUGUCAAAGGUUGUUAGAGAUGGGUUUGAGAAAGUAACAUACACUCUCUCUCUUUCUCUAACCAUGCCUUUUUAUAUCAUGGGUUGUUGUCCCCUUUCAUCUUCCCAUUUCAUGUCAACUACAAAAUGCUUGCCUCCUUCAAUGUACUAACCCACAAUUGUUGGCUUUAAGAGUAGUCAUAAUUUUUUUUUAUCACUCAACUAUCAAAACUUCAUUCAACUAUUAGUAAUUUUUUCUUUUGAUCACCAAAUUAUGAAAAACUACAAAUUAAUCAUUCAAUUAUUUAAUUUUAUCUUUUUCGGUCACCCAACUAUCUUGAAUUUUUUGGUGUUUCCAUUUUUACGUUCACUGGCUAGUAACCAAAAAAAAUAAAAUUGAAUAGUUAGGUGACCAUUUUAUAAUUUUUCAUAGUUGGGUAACCAAAAAAAAAGUUUACUAAUAGUUGUGUGACUACUAGUGUAGUUUACCCAAUAAAUAAAGAACAAAAAGUCAUAAUGAUAACUUAGCUUCUAGUGUUUAUUAUUUUUGUCACUUUGGUCCUUAUUUCUUUUAUUGCUUUGACCAAUUCAACCUUUAAAUUUUAGUUAAAUUGAUGUUUUCUUAGACAAAAAAAAGUUAAUUGGACUGUUAAAAUUUAAACGUAUCCCACAUGACAGUCUACAUGUACUUUACUGUUUAUGUAUAUACUUUUUAAAUUUUUCAUAAUUUUUUAAAUUUUUUUAAAAUUUUUAUAAACCACGCAUUGAUUGUCAUGCAAGUUACCAUAUUAACGCUAUUAGAAUUUGAACAAUCUAGCCAGCUUUUUUAUCCAAAAAACAACAAUUUGAUUAAAAUUUUAAGGUUGGGGGCUAAAGUGAUUCGAAAAAAUUAGAGUCAUAGUGAUAGAAAAAGGUAAAUGUUAAAUGUUAAAUUUAUCAAGGUAAACUACACCAUUAGUCACUAAACUAUGAAUAAGUUUUUGUUUUGGUCACUUAACUAAAAAAGUUACAAUUUGGUCAUCAAACUAUUCAAAAAUUUUCAUUUAAGUCACUGAGUUGUUAAAAUCGAUGCUAUAUGACUUUCUCUAUUCGCACUACUUGCAUAAUCAAAAGCUCUCUUUCCCCUUCUCUUUUAUAGUUCAGUUUUUUCAUUAAACAACUUUGGACAUCAGGAAUCUGUGAACCAAAAUUCAAACAGUUUUUUUCUCCAAUCUCUGACAAUGACCGUUAGAUCGACUUAGAUCUAAGAUAUGUUCUUCUACUCGUCAAUAAGUAUUGAUCAACUGUACCAAUCAUCAAAUCGUCUCUUGGAGCUUGCUGGAGAAACUUAAAAAAAAAAAAACUUAACAACCCAAUGACUUAAAUAAAAACUUUUGAAUAGUUCAAUGACUUAAAUGAAAACUUUUCAAUAGUUCAGUGAUCAAAUUGUAACUUUUUUUUAGUUAAGUGAUUGAAAUAAAAAUUUCCCAUAGCUUAGUAACUAAUGGUAUAGUUUAUCCAAUUUAUUAUUAUGUCAAAAAAACAAAAAAAAUAAUUAUAUCUGAGUCAUAGUAGGAAGAUAUUAGUCAACUUAUCAUACCAAGAGAAAAACUUGACAUAUAUAUUAACCCUUUUAUUUGGCCAAACUCCGAAGUCAAGAAAAAAAAUAAUUGAAGGCAAAAUGAAGUAAGAAAUGGAAAGUGAUGGAUGAAGAUAUUGUUUCACAUUGUCCACCGUCUUUUAAGUAUUUACUGUUUUAUUGUAACCCUACCUAUGACUUUCAUGCGUCCUUCCAACACAUGCCUUCUUAUAUAAUCUUAUUUUAUACAUUACAAAUAACAAAAAGUCAUAGUGUGUUAAUAAUUUGUAAAAAAGUCUUACAAAAUAUUGGUGCAAUUAUAUUAGUUAUGGGUCUAUUCCACCACCCGGCGUGCAUUUUUGGUUUGGUCAACAAGUUUUUCCUCUUUUUUCAAGCUUACUAACUUAUCUUUUUUUUUUUUUUUAAUUUUGGGUAAAUUACAUUAUUACUCACUUCAUUAUGGGUAAAUUUUCGUUUUAGUUAUUUAAUUAAAAAAAGUUAUAAUUUAGUCACUAGCGUUUUCGAAAAAAAUUAUCACCAAACUGUUAAGUGGCUAAUGGUGACACUUUUUUAAUCGAUAUAAUAAUAAUUUUAAUUCUUAUAUUUUAUAUUUUUUGUCAAUUUGACCCUCGUUCUAUAUAAAAUGAUAAAAAUUAAAAUUCAUUUUAAAAAAUUUAGAAAAUUAUAAAAAAUAUAAAAAUACAUUCAAAAUAAAAAUAAAAAUAGAUAAACAAGGGAAAAUUGUUUUUCAUUGUGCGAAAAGAAAAAGAAAAAGAAUUGGAAUAUAAUUUAUUUUUUAUUAUUUGGGUUUUAAAAAAUAAUUUAAAUAAAUAAAAAUUUUGUAUUUUUUGGGUUAAAAAAUAGAAUUGAAUUGAAUUUCACAAAUCUAUAAUAUCAAUUCUGAAAGAAUUUCGUCAACAACAUAGAACUCAACUUGUAGAUAUUAUUACUAAUUUAGCUCUAUUUUGUUUUUAAUGUGUUAUUAGAUUUAAAUGAUCAUUUUGGUUCUUAUGUCUUAAAAUUGAACAAUUUUGAGCUUUAGUACAAUAUAAUCUUGAGUUUUCUUGUAUGAACAUUAGUCUUUAAUUAUAUUUAAGUUUUAUAUCUAAUGAAUAUUAUGUUAAGAGAUUGAAAUUGAUCUAUUUGGUUAUUCAUUUUUGUGAUUUUAUGGCAAUGUUGAAGAUUUGUGGUUACAAUAACCUGAAUUUUUAUAUAGAAUUUUCUAAUUCUUUAAAUAAUUUAAAGUUUUUAUAAUAUUUAUAUAGAAUUAGAGUUAAAUUGAUCGAAAGUAUAAAAGUUAAGGACUAAAAUUAUUAUUAUACAAACUAAAAAGUGCCACCAUUAACCACUUAACAGUUGAGUGAGUAAAAAAUUAAUUUCGAAUGCAUUAGUGAACAAGUUGUUGCUUUUUUAGUUAAGUGACCAAAAUAAAAAAAAAACUUACGCAUAGUUGAAUGACUAAUAAUAUAAUUUACCCUUUAAAUUAUUAUUAUAAUAUUAUUUAAUAUUUCUUAUAAUUAACUUUUGUUCACAUGAAAAUUGCAAUAGAAAAGUAAAAUAAUUAGAAGCGAAAUUACUUUAGGCUUGUUUAUUAAUUCAUUGAAAAUAGGUUUAAUGUUUUAAACUUGUUUGAUAACAUAUAUAUAUAAUAAAAAAAAAUCAUUAGUUAGAAUUUUUCAGUGAAAACUCAUUGAAAAGGAUAAGUAAAUUAGGGUCAUUUAUCAUUUAAGAAGACUAUAUUCAAUGAAUUUAUACUUUAAUUUUUUUUAUCAUUAUUGUUAAAUGUCUGUUUUAUAAUAUUUCUAUAUUUAACACAUUAGCUUUUACCAUAUAUAUUUUUAUUUUCAAAAAAAUAUUAAUGGUAAAAUAUAAACUGAAAAUUUUCAAAAUCUAACCAACAAUUUAUUUAUAUUCAACAUUUAAUUUUUAUAAUUCAAGUACAAUACUUGCUAAAUUCAACAUUAAAAAUCCAUAACUUCAUUUUUUUAUCAAAUACCAACUUAGUCUCCAUUUUUAUAUAUGCUUUGUGUUUAUAAAAUUAAAAUAUUUCAUUAUUGAUUAAGUGUUGUUUUUUCUGUUAAAAAUAAGUCAUCAAUUUGUUUUUAAAUUAUAUUGACAUAAAGUCAGGAUUCAAACCUUGAUAAGUCCUUACCCAGUAAAAGUGCUAAGAAGGUCUAUAUAUUAAGAGUCAUAUUGUAAUUUGCUCCUUCUAUUUAAAAAAUAGGUAAAUUAGUCCAUAUACAUUAGAUCAAAGAUAAACUGGUCAUUCUGUUAAAAAUUUCAUUCAUUUUUAUUGUUAAAAAAUUAUCCUUGUAUGUCAGCAUAAGAUAUUGUUGAAAUAUUUUCAAAUAUUUAUAGUAUCCCAAUAACUAUAAAUGAAUGGGUGUAAUUAAUCAAAAGAUAAAACUUUUGGUCAUUGGUCAAAAGUUAUAUCAUUUGAUUUUUUUUAAAAAAAAGAAUUAUAACUAUUUAAAAAAUAUUAUUUGAAUAGUUACAAAAUUAAAUGAAUAAUUAUUAUUAUUUAUUUAUUCAUAAAGACACCUAUUGAAAGAUGUCUUUAUGAAGAGACAUGAAAAUUCCUAUAAAUAGGAAUGGGAUUUCAUUUGGAAAUCAUAUCAACAAAUUCUAAUAUUAUUUCUUCUCUUCCUUCAUUUUCUAAUAUUAUUAGAUUAUUCUAUAAAGUAUUGCUGCAGAAAUCCUUUGUAGAAAUUGAGUUUUUGUUAUACAUUACUCAGUGCAUAGUGGACUAUUCUCGUCAGUGCAAAACGUAAAUAGUCAUUGGCUUCAUUGUAUCCUCGAGGUUAAUUUGCUUGGAACUCGUUUGCACACUGAAGAUAAGUGGGGGCGAAUAUAACCUUAAAGAUAGUGGCUUGAUACACGCCUUGGAGCCUGUCCUAUUUCUUCUUUUUCUUUUCGAGUUCCGAUCGUGUGUUCGAGUUUUUUCCUUACCGGAGUUUUGUACUAACAAUUUUAAGGUUAUAUUUCAUGAUGACUACCACAACACAUGAAAGUGGAACACUAAGGGAGUUGGCUUCCAACUUUGUUAAACUUGAUCGUUUUGAUGGUGGCAAUUUUCGACGAUGGCAGAAAAAGAUGCACUUUUUGUUAUCAACUUUGAAGAUUGCUUAUGUUUUGGAUACUCCAAGACCUGAAGAGAAUGAAAAUGAAUCUGUUGCUGCAACCCGAGAAAGACAAAAAUGGGACAAUGCUGAUUACAUGUGCAUGGGCCACAUAUUGAAUGGUUUAUCUGAUGGUUUGUUCGACACCUACCAAAACGACGUCACCGCUAAAGAAUUAUGGGACAAAUUGGAGGCAAGAUACAUGAUCGAAGAUGUUACAAGUAAGAAAUUUCUUGUCAGUCGUUUCAAUAAUUAUCAAAUGGUUGAUGGUCGUUCUGUUAUGAAACAAUUUCGUGAUAUUGAAAAGAUGCUGAAUCAAUUUAAGCAAUAUGAUAUGAAAAUGGAUGAAAUGAUUGUGGUAUCCUCCAUAAUAGACAAACUUCCUCCAUCUUGGAAAGACUUUAAAAGAAGUCUAAAACAUAAGAAAGAGGAAAUAUCUCUUGAGGCUUUGGCAAAUCAUCUUCGUAUUGAAGAAGAGUAUCGAAAACAAGAUCAGAACCUAAAUUCUGAAAAUGCCAAAGUACAUGUUACGGAGGAAGUACAGACUACUAAACCAUUCAAGAGAAAGUUCAAUCAGACUGAUAGAGCACCUAAGUUCAAAAAGAAACAAAAGGGCUCAUGCUAUCAUUGUGGAAAGCCGGGACAUUUCAAGAAUGAAUGUCGAUUUUUAAAGAAGAAAUCAUCUUCUAAGGCUGAUAAUAACGAAAAGUUCGUUGCAAUGAUAUCUGAAAUUAAUAUGGCACAAGAUGAUAAUACAUGGUGGAUUGAUACCGGAGCAACCAAACAUGUGUGCAAAGACAAAAGCAUGUUCACAAAGUUCACACAAUGUGAAAAUGACAAUGUCUUGUACAUGGGAAAUUCUUCCACCGCAACAAUUAAAGGCAAAGGGUCUGUUGAACUACAAUUCACUUCUGGAAAGGUUUUAACCUUAAAUGAUGUAUAUUAUGUACCAGAAGUUAGGAAAAAUUUAGUGUCUGGAAGUCUGUUGAAUAAGUUUGGUUUCAAACUUGUUUUUGAGGCAGAUAAGUUUAUUUUGUCUAAGGGAGGAAUUUUUGUGGGAAAAGGGUAUAUGUAUGAAAGCAUGUUCAAACUUAGUAUUAUUAAUAAGAAUAAAAAUACUAUUUCUGCUUAUAUGGUUGAAUCAUUUUGUUUGUGGCAUUAUAGAUUAGGUCAUUUGAAUUAUAGAAAAUUGAAUGACAUGUAUAAAUUAGAUUUAAUUCCUGUUUUUAAUAAUAAUAUUGAAAAAUGCAAUACCUGUAUGUUGACUAAAAUUACAAGAAAUCCUUUCCCUAAGGUUAAAAGGAAAACAAAAUUGCUUGAUUUGAUACAUAGUGAUUUAUGUGACUUGCAUAAUACUCCUACAUUAGGUGGAAAAAAAUAUUUUGUUACUUUUAUUGAUGAUUGUUCUAGAUAUUGUUAUGUAUAUUUAUUGCAUUCAAAAGAUGAAGCGCUUGAUAAAUUUAAAGUUUAUAAAUCUGAAGUUGAACUUCAGUGUGAAUCAUUUAUCAAGUGCUUAAGAUCGGAUAGAGGUGGAGAAUACUAUAAUCCAAGUUAUUUUGAACUCACUGGAAUUGUCCAUCAAGUUUCAGCCCUUUACACACCACAACAAAAUGGUGUAGCUGAAAGGAAAAAUAGAGUCUUGAUUGAAAUGGUAAAUUCAAUGUUAUCAUAUUCAGGUCUUGGACAGGGUUUUUGGGGAGAAGCUGUUCUAACAGCUUGUUAUAUAUUGAAUAGAGUUCCUAAUAAGGAAACUAAAAUAACCCCCUAUGAACAAUGGAAGAAAAGGAAACCAAACCUUAAUUAUUUAAAGGUUUGGGGUUGUAGAGCUAUUGUAAAAGUUCCAACACCUAAACGUAAAAAGUUAGGUGAAAGAGGAAUUGAAUGCAUAUUUAUAGGUUAUGCACAUAAUAGCAAGGCAUAUAGGUUCAUAGUAAUUGAACCAAAUGAUUCAAUUUCAAUUAAUACGGUUAUUGAAUCAAGAGAUGCUAUUUUUGAUGAAAAUAGAUUUAAUUCUAUAUCAAGACAAUUACAACCAUAACAAUUGAUUCAUUCUUCAAAUGAGAAUGAGAUUCCAUUGAAACAAAUUGAUAAUAAUGAUGAAUCUUGUCAAGAAUUAAGAAGAAGUAAGAGGAUUAAAAAGGUCAAAGAUUUUGGACUAGAUUUCAUUAUGUUUCUUGUAGAAGGAAAAAGUGAAAGUAUAUGCAAUAAGAUACCUUAUUGUUAUAAUACCAAAUCUGAUCCUAUUACAUUUGAAGAAGCAGUGAAAUCUCAAGACUCUGCUUUUUGGAAAGAAGCAAUAAAUGAUGAAAUGGAUUCAAUAAUGGGAAAUCAAACUUGGAUCUUAGUUGAUCUUCCACCAGGUUCCAAACCAAUAGGUUGUAAAUGGAUCUUCAAAAAGAAAAUGAAGGUCGAUGGAACCAUUGAUAAAUUUAAAGCAAGGUUGGUAGCAAAAGGUUUUACACAAAGACAAGGUAUUGAUUACUUUGAUACCUAUGCUCCAGUAGCAAGAAUUGCUACAAUUAGACUAUUAAUAUCACUUACCUCUAUAUAUAAUUUGGUUGUUCACCAAAUGGAUGUUAAAACUGCAUUUUUAAAUGGUGAAUUGGAAGAGGAAGUGUACAUGGAGCAACCGGAAGGAUUUGUUGUUCCAGGACAAGAGCAUAAGGUAUGUAAGCUUGUUAAAUCUUUAUAUGGGCUUAAACAAGCACCAAAACAAUGGCACCAAAAGUUUGACAAGGUUGUUUUAGCUAAUGGCUAUAAAAUAAAUGAAUCCGAUAAGUGCAUAUAUAUAGUAAAUUUGAUAAUGGAAAGGGUGUUAUAAUUUGCUUAUAUGUAGAUGACAUGCUCAUUUUUGGCACGGAUUUGGAACAAAUAGAAAACACAAAGAAAUUCUUGUCAAACAACUUUGCUAUGAAGGAUAUGGGUGUAGCAGAUGUUAUUUUUGGGAUUAAAAUAACCCGAGAUGAAAGCACUAUAGCUUUAUCACAAUCACAUUACAUUGAAAAUAUGCUUAAAAAGUUUGAUCUUUUCAACUGUAUACCAGCAUCUACACCCAUGGAUCCUCAAUUAAAAUUAGUAUCUAAUGCUGGUAGGAAAAUUGAUCAAUUGAAAUAUGCAAGUCUAAUUGGUUGGCUUAUGUACAUAAUGACUUGUACAAGACCAGAUAUUGCAUAUGCUAUUGGAAAAUUGAGUAGAUACACAAGUAAUCCAAGUAGUUUGCAUUGGCAAGCUUUAAAUAGAGUACUUAGGUACUUAAAGAAAACUAUUAACUAUGGAUUGUGUUAUAAUGGAUAUCCUCCAGUUUUAGAAGGGUAUUCGGAUGCUAGUUGGAUUACAAGUUUGGAAGAUCAUGCAUCUACUAGUGGGUGGAUCUUCAUUCUUGGUGGAUGAGUCAUUUCUUGGGGUUCCAAGAAACAAACAUGUAUUACUGAUUCCACCAUGGCAGCAGAAUUUAUUGCAUUAGCCGCUGCAUCUAAAGAAGCAGAAUGGUUAAGAAAUUUGCUUUAUGAUGUACCUUUAUGGCUUAAGCCAAUUUCACCUAUUUCUAUCCGUUGUGAUAGUGAGGCUACUCUAGCAAAGGCAUAUAGCCAAGUAUAUAAUGGAAAGUCUAGACACAUUGGAUUAAGACAUAGUUAUGUCCGACAAUUAAUCUCUGAUGGAGUGAUCACUAUUAAUUAUGUGAGGUCAAGUGAAAAUUUGGCAGAUCCUUUGACAAAAAGUCUUGCUAGAGAUGCAGUAAAAAGGACCUCAAAAGGGAUGGGACUCAAGCCUAUUAAUUAGAGUCACCCAUGAUGGAAACUCGACUCAACGCUUGGUAUAACGUCAAGUCUUGAGUUCAAUGAGACAAAGUACAUCAUUAGUUUGUGACUGUUAGCACUAUAAAUAAAUCCAUCCUAAGAUUAAAGUACUAGGUACCCGUAAUGAUAAGGGAAGGAUGAGUAAUGUACUCUUAAUGGACCCAUAACAUAAAUAUGUUAGAAUGUUAUAAUUACGGGAACACUUUUGAUGGGAUCUACCUAUGUGAGUGGAAGUGUGGCCGCUUCUAGGAGCUUAAGGGCUUGGUUCUGAUAGCACUCAUGAAAAGAGGACAUAGACACAUGGCUAUAAUAGUGUCCCUAGAUACUAUGCAUUGACUGAUGUUGAAAUCAUUGUGUGAGAUGUGUUCAGUUAAUCAAAUGGAAUAGUUGGUUCAAAGCUUAGUCUACCAUACAAUUUCGAUUAACUUUAACAUGUUUUCACUAAGUGAAGGUUCAAUCGUAAGACACCUUUAUUUAUGCAAAUUGAUUUCCAAGAAUAUCAAAAUCUAAAUAUUUUGAAAAUGGGGGGAGAUUGUUGGAAUAUUUUCAAAUAUUUAUAGUAUCCCAAUAACUAUAAAUGAAUGGGUGUAAUUAAUCAAAAGAUAAAACUUUUGGUCAUUGGUCAAAAGUUAUAUCAUUUGAUUUUUUUUUAAAAAGAAUUAUAACUAUUCAAAAAAUAUUAUUUGAAUAGUUACAAAAUUAAAUGAAUAAUUAUUAUUAUUUAUUUAUUCAUAAAGACACCUAUUGAAAGAUGUCUCUAUGAAGAGACAUGAAAAUUCCUAUAAAUAGGAAUGAGAUUUCAUUUGGAAAUCAUAUCAACAAAUUCUAAUAUUAUUUCUUCUCUUCCUUCAUUUUCUAAUAUUAUUAGAUUAUUCUAUAAAGUAUUGCUGCAGAAAUCCUUUGUAGAAAUUGAGUUUUUGUUAUACAUUACUCAGUGCAUAGUGGACUAUUCUCGUCAGUGCAAAACGCAAAUAGUCAUUGGCUUCAUUGUAUCCUCGAGGUUAAUUUGCUUGGAACUCGUUUGCACACUGAAGAUAAGUGGGGGUGAAUAUAACCUUAAAGAUAGUGGCUUGAUACACGCCUUGGAGCCUGUCCUAUUUCUUCUUUUUCUUUUCGAGUUCCGAUCGUGUGUUCGAGUUUUUUCCUUACCGGAGUUUUGUACUAACAGAUAUACCUAACACGCCAUGUGUCACUAUCAAGUCAUUUCGUCAAUUAUAUCAAUUUUUAAUAGAAAGAGACCGAUUUACUUUUUUUAUUUAAUAUAUAAAUAUUAAUUUACACACCUUUUAAUAAAAAUAUAAUUAAAUUUUUAAUACAAAAACCUCCAUAAUACUUUUGUGAUUGCCCGAACAUAUUAUUAUUAAUAAAAUAGGGGUAUAGGAAUACAAAGUCAAAGUGGUAAUAGAAAUUUGUAUAGUAAAAGUUGGGGGCAUGACUACUCCUAUAAAGUAUGUAAUAUUAUACAACAUAUGUAAGAAGCCGAGUUUUUGCAGCCGAUUAGGUUCCUAGUAAAAAUAGAGUACGUGAAGGAACUGAACUCCCAUUCGUACACGUGUCAAAUUAUAAAAUUUGGCAGCCAGCUGGCUAGCCGGUCCCACUUAAAUCCUUUAAACAAGAAAAUAAUAAGGAAAACGCGCCCCUCCCAAUUAUUUACCGUACGCAUCUAACACACACACAUAAUUUGUUUCUCUUCUCUUCUCCUAUUUAUCUUUUCAAGAGAUAUUGACAUAUUGUCUCGCGAGAACUUCAAAGUAAACGCCGUUUUUUUCAUAUCUUACUGGGAAUUGCAAUUUACAAUUACUUGAAACCUAAUUUAAAGGAAAUUGGCUGCCGGUAUUUUUUGAGACACCCGCGGUACAAGCGCGUUUGUACCGGUGAUUCUACUGCGGGAUUACCGGGAAUUGCCUGUCAACCGUUUGUACCCGGUUGAACUGGUUCUUUUUCUCCAUAUCUAUAUCAAAUUACGCUUUAUCAAUUGUAUUUAAGCAUGUAUAUUGUCCUUUGGGAAAAAAAUCAGUAAAUUAAUUAUGUAUUUUAAGUGAAAAUUUCGCGAUAUUUAAUCAAAUAAAUUGGUUUUUUAUAUAUUAAAUUGUGAAUAGAAAUUUUUAAAUAAAAAAUUAAUAUUUUUUUUAAAAAAAUGAUAAAAUGGGAUAAUUGGGUACUUGGGAACUGAUCAAAGUUAAGGAUAGAACUUGAAUUGGGUAUUUUGGCAUGUUUUACUUUGAUAGAAAAAAAAAUUGAAGCAUAUGGGAAUAUUCAAAUUUCUUUAUCUUAAGGCAUGCAAAAAAUAAAAACAAAAAUAAUAAUAAUUGAUAAAUAAUAAUGAGAAAUUGACGUAUAUACCCUUAAUUGUACCAUUAUUUUUUAAAGCUCAAGCAACUUCAAUCCUCCAUCUAUUUAUACCCAACUCCUUCCUUCUUUUUCCCUCACACCUAAACCCAAACCAAAACUAUAGACAUCCAUUUCAUCUAUCAAACACCCUCCUCUCUCUCUCUCUCUCUCUCUCUCUCUCUCUCUCUUGGCUCUUAAAAGAAAGGCCUUUCUUCCCAUUGAAAAAGUGCAAACAACAAAUAUCAGAAUCAUGCCUGAAGCACCUAAGAACACACUUAAACCUACUACAGAUUACAACCUGGAACUGAAGAACAAGAAAACCCUUCAGUUCAUUGAGGAUGUGACUUCAAACGCUGAUGAAGUUCAAAAGAAAGUCCUUGAAGAGAUCCUUUCACGCAAUGCUCAUGUUGAGUACCUGCAAACACGUGGCCUUAAUGGUCACACUGAUAGAGAGACUUUCAAAAAAACCAUGCCUGUCAUCACCUAUGAGGAUAUCCAACCUCAUAUUGACCGUAUUGCCAAUGGUGAUACCUCUCCCAUACUUUCUUCCAACCCCAUUUCUGAGUUCUUGACAAGGUCAGCAAACUAAGCAACCCUUUUUUCUUUUUAUGCUUAUGUUUUUUUAAAAGGUUUUUCCUGUUUUUGUUUCCUCUCCUCCUAGGCAGGCCAUUUCAAACUUUACCUGUUUUACAAGCACAUCAGUGAUAGCCUGCCUUGUAGAUUUCAUGUUUAUUUUGGUUUUGGCUAAACGGAUGGUCUUGGUUUCUUCUUUGCAGCUCUGGGACAUCAGGUGGGGAGAGAAAGCUGAUGCCAACAAUUGAAGAGGAGUUAGGAAGGAGGUCACUGCUCUAUAGCUUACUGAUGCCUGUUAUGAGCCAAUUUGUCCCUGGUCUAGACGAAGGCAAAGGAAUGUACUUUUUGUUUAUAAAAUCCGAGGCUAAGACACCUGGUGGCCUUGUGGCACGCCCUGUUCUCACUAGCUACUACAAAAGCACCCAUUUCAAGAAUAGGCCAUAUGACCCUUACACCAACUACACUAGCCCAAAUGAAACCAUCCUUUGUCCUGAUUCUUACCAAAGCAUGUACUCUCAAAUGCUUUGUGGACUUUGCCAACACAAAGAGGUCCUCAGGGUCGGUGCUGUUUUUGCCUCUGGCUUCAUCAGGGCCAUCAAGUUCCUUGAAAAACAUUGGCGUCUCCUUUGCAAAGAUAUAAGAACGGGAACCAUUGAUUCCCAAAUCACUGACCAAUCUGUGAGAGAGGCUGUUAUGAAAAUCCUGAAACCUGAUCCUAAACUUGCUGAUUUCAUUGAGGCCGAGUGCAGCAAAGAUUCAUGGCAAGGGAUCAUCACAAGGUUAUGGCCUAAUACAAAAUAUGUGGAUGUGAUUGUGACUGGGACAAUGUCACAGUACAUUCCCACACUUGAUUACUACAGCAAUGGCCUCCCUCUCGUCUGCACCAUGUAUGCAUCCAGUGAAUGCUAUUUUGGUGUCAACCUUAACCCUCUUUGCAAGCCAAGUGAAGUUUCCUACACUCUCGUUCCCACAAUGGCCUACUUUGAAUUCUUGCCGGUUCAAAGGAACAAUGGCGUCACUAGUUCUAUUUCUGUGCCCAAAACUCUCAAUGAGAAAGAACAACAAGAAUUG
This 136205-nucleotide long non-coding RNA is filed under the name Gossypium barbadense (sea-island cotton). Its description in RNAcentral is "long non-coding RNA (GBAR_LNC013248)". Lineage: Eukaryota; Viridiplantae; Streptophyta; Magnoliopsida; Malvales; Malvaceae. The record is from RNAcentral.